UCUUUUCUUCUAUUUUUUUUUAAUAAUAAUAAAUUUCCUUGAAAAGUGAUUACAUAACAAACAAGAGAGAGUAUGCAAGAGAGGAGGGGCUAGCUUUAAAUAUAUUUUAUAUAACAUAAGAAGUGAUUUGUACAUAUAAUUACAAGCGGACACAUAUACAUAUAGGCGCAGAAAAUAAGCUAGCUUAGACUGUAGGCUAGCUAUCCAAACCACUUCUACAUCUGAUAUACAUACAUAUUCUAUAUUACAGAGAGCUUCAUUAGUUAACUAAUUACUUAUACCAAACUAAGUUGGUAAUAAUUAGCGGCGAACCUUGGGGUACUCUCUUAUCUCUAUGCCCCCAAAUAGCAGGGCUGCGUCCUUGCUAUUAAGAACAGCCUGAUCAUUCCUAAGAGGAGCUGGUUGUCUCCCGGAACGAGCUUGUUGGUCUUGAGAAAAUGGAGACCUCUUGCUGGGCUGGCCACAGAACUUGUCUAGCAUGGCAAAAGCCUCCAUUCCAAGCCUUGCUAGCUCUUCUUGAGUUGCCAUAAUAAUAUUGCUAAAAUUUAGUACAAGCACACAAAACACAGAUGCACGAAGCAGGUCAGGUAAUUUGGUUUGCCUUUGUUUUCUUGGUAACAACGGUUUGCGGCCACGCCCCAUUAUGUAGGAGUUAAAAAGGCGAAUAUGGAAGAUUUUUUGUUGCUAAGAAUUUCGUGCAGGUUGACAGACGGAUAUGGUUGGUACAAAAAACAUUAAUGAAAAAUAGGAAUAAGCACAAAUUGUGGGAGGUGAAGAUAUUAUCUUCCUGAAGAGAUUGGAAGGAAUCAAUAUCAAACUUUAUCUGGGUUUACUUUCUUUGCUUGAGAGCUGCAAUGAUGGAUUUUUCAAAUAAAUAUUUCAACGUUUAUCUCUUCAAAAAAUCACACAAAUUGACAGGUGCACAUGCAUGUGAUAAAUACUCAAAUAAACUUAUUUGAGGGGUAUUUUUGUAGAGUUCAAUUGUAUUGUACGUAUUUCAACAAUUUGAACCAUCUAUAUCAUUGAUUAUAUAUCUUUAAACAAGCACCCGAAUUGAAUUUUGGGAGAUUCACUAUUAUACCCAAUAUGGGGGCCCAAAUUAUAAAAAUAUCAUAUAUAAAAUGGACUUUAGAAACACACCCAAAGCCCAUUUACAACAUAACAAAAAAGCUUUUAACUUCUUAUAAAUUACAAAACUGCCAUCAAUUUCUUAAAACAAGCCCAACCCCAAAAUCUCAUAAAAAUACCCAAAACACUCAAUAGGGCAUCAAAGUAAUUUAAUAAUCAAUAUUAAAUUCAAUAAGGCCAGCUAUCAUUUUUUGGGUUUUUUUUGGGUUUGUUUAUAGGAAUUCAAUUGUGUAGGGUUUAUUUAUAAUAUUAGUGCUAGAAAUGGGUAUAUCACUAAAUAUCUCUUGAAUUUUUUUCGAGUGCUGAUUUUCUCCCUCCUCUUUUGUUCACUUACACUCCAUUUUGUCUUUUUAAGGGAGUGUAAGUAGACAAAAGAGGAGUGAGAAAAUUAACUUCCUUUUUUUAAAACCAUUUGAUUGAAUAGUACAUAAUUUAAGUAUUUGUCUAUUUGUCUAGUCACAUUUACAAUUUGUUCAAUAUUUUAUAAGGAAAAUCUGUGAAUGAAACUUGAAAAUUAGAAAGUGGAUGAACCCUAGAAAGUGUCAAUAGAAUGAUAACCUUACACAUAUUUGUUUAUUUUAUAUAAAUAUCACAACAAACAUAGAAUAAACAGUUCUGCAAAACAACAUAAAACUUCUAAUACUCAACAAAUACAUACUUUUAGGAGUGCAUCUUAUUUAUGCAUAUUUUUCAAUAUCUUUUGUUUAUUCCUUCUUUCUUGUUAUUAUUAAAUUCCUACUUGUCUCUCAAGUAUUUUGAUUGAUAAUUACGUUGGUAUUUCCUUGGGACUCAAGUGUGAUUAUGCUUUGAAUUGAAAUAUAUAUUUUUGAAUAAAAAUCAGUCUUUAAUAGUGUAAUUAUCAAAAAUCUCAUUUUGAUUAGAAUUUUCCUCUUUUAUUGUUUUGGGCCUCACGUGUAAUCACCUUUAGCAUAGGAAAGUAUCUUUGUGAUUACUUUCAUGUCUUGCAAAUUAAAAAGGUUUUGUAGGUGGUUGGAACCGGGAUAUAGUAGAAAGAACUACGUGUGGCUUGAUCCUUUAGUAAGGGUACGUAGGUAGCCUAGAGUAGUGCCUAGGUGCAGCCGCGGCACUACUACAAAAAAGCAAAAAGACGACGGUAAAUCACCGUCGUUGUUACAAUAUACAACGUCAUCAACAAAUACAAAACGACGUCUUUGUACUGCAAAAAGAUCUAUAAAAGCAGUCGAGGAUGAGAAUAGACGACCAACUCUCUAAAAAAACCGUCGUUAAAAAGGAAAAAUAUGACACAUUAACAGAACAAGGCCGCAAUAUAGACAUACAACGACGAAAAUUUAAAAAAGACGCCGUUAAAUAUCAUUUUCACGACAAUAAAAAAUAUGACGUCUUUAAAUACAUUAGAAGACGACGUUAUUGAUACCUACUACGUCGCCUAUAUAAAAACAGCCGUCGUAAAAUAAAUUUUCCACUUCGAUUUUUCUAUAAAAGAUGACGUGGAAAUAGUUGUCAGUGUCAUUAUUUACGACGUAUGUAUUUAUAGAGUAGACGUUGAACAAGGAAACAACGUCAGUUACAAAUAUAUGAGAGUCGUAUUACAAAAUUUAUACGUCCUAUUUUCAGAAACAAACAACGACGAUAAAUAUUAGACGUUGUUAAAUAAACCAACGUCGAAAACAAAUAAAAAUAGACGUGUUUAGUCUGCUAAAGUUCUAAAAAAUAGUCGACGAUGAGAAUAGACGACCAACUCAAACAAAUCACCGUCGUUAAAAAGGAAAAAUAUGACACAUAUUAAAAGAACAAGGCCGCAAGAUAGACAUACAACGACGACAACUAAAACAUUACGCCGUUAAAUAUAAUUUUCACGACAAGAAAAAAUAUGACGUCUUUAAAUACAUGAGAAGACGACGUUAUUGAAAUAUACUACGUCUCUUAUUUACAAACAACCGUCUUGAAAUAAAUUUUCCACUUCGAUUUUUCUAAAAAAGAUGACGUGGAAAUAGUUGUCAGUUUCAUUAUUUACGACGUAUGUAUUUAUAUAGUUGACGUUGAAUGCGAAACAACGUCGGUGGCAUUUAUAUUGUCGACGUUGUAUUUAUAUGUAUUCAUUACUCACGACGCACUUAUUAAUAUAGACGACGUUGAACUUCUAAACAACGUCGGUUCCAAAUAAAUGAGAGCCGUAUUACAGAACAUAUAGACGGCGUUGAUUAUGAUGGGAGCCGUAUUACAAAUAACGUCGUUUAAUUGAUAUUAGACGGCGGUUAUAAUGAAUUACCGUCGGAAUUCUUUUCGUUCCUCUUCGUUUAUAAAAGAACUUGCGACAUGGAAAAUGUAUGAUGACGUCGUAUUUUUUAACGUUCAGAUUAUAUAUCUCGUUUUUUAGACGUCGGUAUUAUGGGAUUGGAGUCAUGUUAUUUUGAAUUACAUGGCGGUUCUUAAUCCUUUCCCGACGUGAUAUCCUGAAUAAUUGCUUCACAAUAGCGUCGUGGUUCUUCAUUGUUACGUUGCUUUAAGACGUCGGUAAAUAUGCUGAAUAACUGGUUCACAAUAACGUCGUGUUUUAUUUGAACGUAGAAAGUGAAGAAAUCACAUUACAAUAUAUUACAAAAUUAAUGUCAUACACUGCCAAUUACAUAAGCAUCAUUCAAUCCAUAUAUCUUCACACCCAUCUCGAAUAUUUUGACCGCCUAACUCACCCACCAGUUCAUCAAAUGUGUCAACAUUUGGCAUCCCUCUAGUAAAUGGCUCACACUCAAUUAUCACAUCACCUAAGACUUCAUCACCAAUAACAUCAUUAUAUUCUCUAUUAGGCAUUGAUAACACUACCGACUAACCACGAUGCAUCGGGUCGUCAACAAAAAAUAUUUGUUUGACUUGAGAAGCCAAAACAAAUUGGUCAUUCCUAUGUCCAAUUUUACUCAAAUCUACAAGGGUAAAUCCAAGUUCGUCGACUACAAGACCAGAACUAUCUAUCCAAUCACACCUAAAGACUGGGAUUGUAAACUUUUGGUAGUCAAGGUCCCAAAUUUCUUGAAUGACACCAUAGAAACCCAUAUUUGAGAGAAUUGGGUUUUUAUCCUUGGCACUAGCAACUUGCAUGGUAUGUGCAAGUAAAUAAACUCCACUAUUUUGAGUUGUCCGCACAUCAUCUUGUGCCUUGAUAUUGAAUUUAAUACCUUUAAUAAGAUAGCUCCUAUAUAAUGGCACUGCCAUGUUUGGACCAGCUGCUAGCCACCUUAAAUUUUCUGAUACGCCAUGAUUGUCUUCCUCAAGUUCACUUUGAACCUGCAAAUUAAUCAUAUAUCUUAAUUCAAUCUAACAUAGAAAUAAGAAGAAAAUUAAAAGAGAAAUAUGUUAUUCAACAACAUAUACCUUGAAGCGUAGCCAUUGAAUGAAAGUGCUAUUGUGCUUAUCCUGCAGCCACUUUGUUCUCUUUCUAAAUUUUGGAUAAGCAGUCUUGAUGUGGAUCAUAUGUUGCCUACAUGACACGAAAAAUUCAAGCAUUACGGUCCCAAAUAUAGAAGAUAAACAUAAGAAAUAAUUUAAAAUGGAAACUUAAAGAAUAAAACUCAUACGUACUCGAUAUAAGGUAGGACUUCCUCCGUAUUCUCCAAGACAUAUAGAUGUGCUUGAUUCAACAGGUCCUGAUCAACUACGCUCACUGUGCAACCUGAUAAUGGCUUUGAAAGUCCCAUCUUUUGGCUUGAAGGCACUCCAACUGUACUAACAUCAGAUAAAUGCUGAGUACAAAACUCUACCGCUUCUUCAGCUAUAUACCGCUCAGCAAUGCAACCUUCGGGACGAGUACGAUUCUGAACAUACCCCUUCAGAACUUUCAUAUAUCUUUCAAACGGAUACAUCCACCUAAAAUAUACUGGCCCACAUAGACGAAGUUCUCUGACAAGAUGUACUACUAGAUGAACCAUGAUAUCAAAGAAUGAAGGGGGAAAGUACUUCUCAAGCAAACACAGAGUAACUACUACAUCUUCUUCCAACUUAUCUAGCUUGGAAACAUCAACAGUCUUUGCACAUAUAGCAUUGAAAAAGAAGCACAAACGAGUUAUUGCAUACCUUGCAGGCUUCUCCAAAACAGAACGAAUUGUCACAGGGAGCAAUUGUUGCAUUAAGGUAUGACAAUCAUGUGAUUUAAGGCCAAGAAGUCUUGAAUCUUGUAAAGAUACAAGAUUUUUAAUAUUUGAAGAAUAACCUUCAGGGACCUUCAUACCAUAGAAAGAAUUGCAAACUUCUCUCUUCUCUGCUCUUGACAAAUUCCAAGGCCCAGGAGGCAAACGAGUACGUCUUUCUCCAUACUCGGGUUGCAAAUCAGUUUUGACCCCCAUGUUCAAUAAAUCUAAUCGAGCAGCAAUCCCAUCUUUAUUUUUUCCAGGGAUCUCCAGCAAUGUACCAAUAAUACUAUCGCAAACAUUCUUCUCAAUGUGCAUAACAUCUAGGGCAUGCCUCACAGGAAGGUAUUUCCAAUACUCGAGAUCAAAGAAUAUUGAUUUCUUCUUCCAACAAACUCUGUCACCAUUUUCAACCAUAUGCAGCACUUCUUCUCCGGUUAAUGGCUCGGGAGGUAUGCCAUAUUCAGGUUUCCCAUUAAAAGCUGCACGUUGCCUCCUAUAUGGAUGAUUGAUUGGUAACCAUUUUCUAUGCCCAAUGUAACAAAUUUUGUGGCCAUUUUUCAACCUGUGACUAGGUGUAUCAUCGCCGCAUAUUGGACAAGCUUUAUAUCCUUUAACAACACAACCAGAUAAGUUUCCAUAGGCGGGGAAAUCAUUAAUUGUCCACAUUAAUGCAGCUCUGAGUGUAAAGUAUUCUCCAUUAUGUGCAUCAUACACUCCUCUAAUCCCAUCCCACAAAGAUUUUAAAUCAUCAAUCAAAGGCUCCAAGUAGACGUCUAUAUCAUUUCCGGGUUGUUUAGGACCGGAAAUCAAUAAGGUUAACAUCAUGAACUUUCGUUUCAUGCACAGCCAUGGAGGGAGAUUAUAUGUAACUAAGAUAACCGGCCAACAACUAUAUCUGCUACUUAGAGAACUGUGGGGAUUGAAUCCAUCAGAUGAAAGAGCCAAUCUCAAGUUUCUCGGCUCAUUACCAAACUCAGGCCAUUUAUCAUCAAGAAGUUUCCAAGACGGGGAAUCCGCCGGAUGAGACAUCUGACCAUCAAUUGAUUUUCUAGCAGCAUGCCAAGUCAAACUCUUAGCUGUCUCAUGUGAAUGAAACAUCCUUUUAAACCUUGGAAUUGGAGGAAAAUACCACACCACCUUCGCUGGCACACCUUCUUUCAAGAUUGAAUCUUUGCCUUCCUUCCACCUUGAGAUACCACAAGUAGGACAAUUAGUUGAAUCCUCAUACUCCUUCCUAUACAAGAUGCAAUCAUUGGGGCAUGCGUGCAUUUUCUCAUAACUCAGCCCCAAUGCACACAAAGUCUUUUUAGCCUCAUACAUAGAGGUUGGUAUUGUAUUUCCUUCUGGAAGCAAAUCGCCUUGAAGUAUCAAUAAUUCUGUAAAACAGACAUCACUCAUCCCAUGUUUUGCCUUCAAAUUAUACAACUUCACUAAUGCCGAUAACUUCGUGUACUUUCUACAACCAGGGUACACUAGUUGAUCUCCAUCCCCAAUCACAUUGGCAAACUCAUACGGAUCGGAACCAAAAUCACCAAAAUCAUUAUCAUCCAUAUCAAUUUCUUCAGACACAAAACUGUACCUACUAUGGCCAUCAUCUUCUUCAACAUUUCUACUAGCAUUAGUAGUUGCUUCCCAAGGUUCUCCGUGAAAUGUCCAAUUCUUAUAGCUUUGGUCAAUUCCAUUAAAGUAUAAGUGAUCCCUUAUAAUUCCAACCCCAAACAACUUCAAAUUAACACAUUUAACACAUGGACAACGGAUAUGUGUUGUAGUUAGAAGAUUUUCUACAGCAAAGUUCAAAAAUGCUUCCACCCCAAACUCAUAUGCCUUCGAUCUUCUAUCCGAGUGCAUCCAUGACUUAUCCAUCUCCGACACUAUAACCUAUUAUCUAUAAUAAAGUGAAAAUACAGGCAAUGACCAUCACUAUAGCAGAUUAUACAAAGAUCUAAUAGCAAGUAAUACACAACAGAGACGACGGGUUUUAAACAAAAACAGACGUAUUUGGCAUAUAUAGACGACGGAUUUUCAACAGACGUCGUCUAAUAUAAGUAAUACAAACGACGGUUUAUGAAAAAAUCGUCGUGUAUAAGUAAUACAACGACGGUUUUUUCAUAAACCGUCGUGUAAUCGUCGUCGUAUGCCUAAAAAGGCGUCGUGUCUCAGUUUAUUUUCAAGAACCCAAAACCCAUUAAGAACACAACAUAUAUAUGAAACCAAGCAAGAAACCAACAUAUACAUGAAAUCACUAUAGCAGAUUAUACAAAGAUCUAAUAGCAAGUAAUACACAACAGAGACGACAGGUUUUAAACAAAAACAGACGUAUUUGGCAUAUAUAGACGACGGAUUUUCAACAGACGUCGUCUAAUAUAAGUAAUACAAACUAAAAAGGCGUCGUAUGCCUAAAAAGGCGUCGUGUCUCAGUUUAUUUUCAAGAACCCAAAACCCAUUAAGAACACAACAUAUAUAUGAAACCAAGCAAGAAACCAACAUAUACAUGAAACCAAGCAUGAAAACAAUAAAUCCAUUCCCAAUUCAACAUAACAUAGGGUGAUUAAAAGAUCUGACAAAAUUAAAUCCAUUCCCAAUUCAACAUAACAGAUAAUGUAAUCCAUGAACCCAUUAAACAGAAAAUUCAUGAACCCAUUAAACAGAAAAUCCAUGAACUCAUACCUAUAAGCACAUUAUUAACAGAUCGCAAAGCAUAUACCUAAAACCCUUUAACAAAACAACCUAAUAUCAUUCAAUGAAUUUACAAGGGGAAGAUAGGGUUUGUACUUACAGGUUGGACGAGCUCACAGAUUCGACGGAGCCUGGAGAGUGCAACUUUUAAUUAGAGCAGAAGUGAAAGAGCGAAUGUUAUGUUGCGCGAAAUCUGAAAAUUUUAGGGUUCAGGGUUAGAAGUAUAAGAAUAAGAGCCAAAUAUAAAAAAUUUAGGGCGCGCGAAAAUUUUUAGAGCGCGCGCUCUUUAAAACGUCGAAAGAAAAACCAUGGCGAAAGUUCAACAAGAACCGACGUAAAUGUAAUAUUCCACGACGGAAACACUGAACGUAACGCCGUUUCUUUUGACGCUUCAUUUUUCGGAUUAAUUUUAAAUUUAUUUUGAAUAUUUUGAUAUAAAGACGACUGAAAAACCACGUCGAAGUUAAGAAACUGAAAACGUUGUAAAUUAUAAUAAACGACUUACAUAUUAAAAUGACGUCGUUUAAAGUGGAAACCAUGUCGAAUAUUUUACUGCACGACGUAACAUAUGUAUUCCACGACUCAACCACCGUCGUUAACAAUUAAUACCCUAAACCCUUAAAACUAAAUUAUAUAAUUUUAAAAAUUAAGUUUAUAAAAGGGUUUAUGGUUUUACAGCCUAAUAUAUACCCUAGACUACCCAAAAAUUAUACUUUAAAACGAAACAACAAAAAACGACGGCUUUUGACUUUAUUACGUCGUUGGAAAAGUAUUACACGUCGUUUACGCAAUUUGUAUGUUUGUUUUUUUUUAAUUUAAGAAAACCUCAACAAAUUUUUACAUUAUAUAUUAUAGACAAAAUUUGUACAUUAUACAUAAAUAUCAAGUGUUCAAUAAUUCCCCUAUUCCAGGUGAAGGCAAACAAACUCUGCCCAUUCAUUCCGGACUUCAUCAAUUGCUUCUUGGGGGUAUGGCGCUUCCUGUUUUCCCUUGGCAUACUGCAUAAACAAUGACUAUUAGGGUUUAUAAAUAAAAAGAAAUUAAAUCACAGACGACGAUAUUUUUCAUAACCGACGUACUAUAUCUAUUCAACGACGGUAAUUUUACAUGACCGUCGUUGAUAAUACAUAAAACGACGUAAAAUGUAUGAAGGUAAUUUCUUCUUACCUUCUUCUCAAACCCCAAGGAAGGAUCCAUGAUGAUGUCCCUCAUGAAGCGCAUCACAUAAUACCCGCAUUCGACACUGCUGGGUUGCUUUGGUGUGCCUGACAGAGUUUUCCAAAUGACUGCCUUACGGCCUGGUCUAGCUAUGUGAGAAUUAUAAAUUUUUAUAGCACUGUUCACAAUGUUUUUGGCCUCUUCAUCGACCACACGAUUUCCUGGCAGAGAAUCCAGAAAAUAGACGGUUUCUCUCUUUGCUCUUACAAUCAGCAAGAUCCAAUGACGGCUGCACAAAAUUAAUAUAAAAACGACGGUUAUUUACAAAAACGACGUAUUAUAAUAUUUCACACGACGAAAUAAAGAAGCAAUCGACCACAUUAUAAAUUUAUCACGACAAUAAAUAACUACCGACGUGGUUAGUAGUUUCAAACGACUCAAUAAAAUAAAACACCGACGUGGUUAGUUUAUACGCUAUCAUUUAUUGAAAAUCAUAAAAACAAAAUCCUGUUAAGGAGACUAACCCUGGAUUGUAAGGCAUCAGGAAAAUCUGUUCACCGUCAGUCCUCUGAAGUCGAGCUGCUAGUAGGCGUGAUCUGUCAGCUAUUGUGCCAGAGCUGGCACUAACUGUAGCAGGGUCGAUAAAGCCAACCAUGGAGCACAUAUUUGCUCGUUUCAAAACAUCGUGUAAGUACCUAGAUAUAUAAAAUAAUAUAAACAAGUCAGCACAAAAAAACACACGACGGUUAUGUAUAACAAAACAACGUAUUAUAAAAUUUCACACGACGUACUGGAAUAGACAACGACUUUAUAAUAUAUUUAUCACGACGGUACAUACUAACGACGUGGUUAGUUAGUUAAGACGACGCAAUAAAUAAACCAACGACGUAUUAUUUUAGAAUGACAAACCUCAUAUAUACAAAAAACACACGACGGUUAUGUAUAACAAAACGACGUAUUAUAAAAUUUCACACGACGUACUGAAAUAGACAACGAUGUUAUAAUAUAUCUAUCACGACGGUACAUACUAACGACGUGGUUAGUUGGUUAAGACGACGCAAUAAAUAAACCAACGACGUAUUAUUUUAGAAUGACAAACCUCAUAUAUACAGCAAUGACAGUGGCUCCUAUUUCUUCCAUGCCUGCAAAUUGUGUAAUAUCUUCAGGCAGGAGGAAGGUAUCGCGCUCUAGACCAAACACCUCCUUAUCAAUUGUAAAGUGCAGGGUCUUAUCCUGAGUCACGAGUGUCGUUUCCACAUAACGACAAAGGGAUUUUAAAGAAGAUGGCGCCUCCAUAUUUUAAUAAUCAACACCUUGAAUAACCUGUUUAAAGAAAUAAAAAAAAUGACGUGGUAAUUCAAUAAAAACGACGGUUUAAGGAAUACAACGUCGUCUGAAAAGAAUUUAAACGACGGUGAAGAAACCGUCGUGGUGAAUAAUUUAUUACGUCUUAGAAAAAAAUUCCGCCGUCUAAGUUAUAAACAAACGACGGUUUAAAGAAAAAUAUCGACGUCUGGAAUUUUGAAAAACAAAUAAAAAAGGCAAAGUUAUGUGAACAUACCUGGUCGUCAUCUUCUUUCUCCUUUUCAUCUUGUUUUUCUUCUCUCUUCUCUUCAUCUAUUACGGCGGGAAUGACUAACUCCGUCGUCUAAAAACCACAAAGUUUUAAAAAUAACGACGUUUAAUGGCGUGUAAAACAAGUAAACUAAAUACGACGUGGUAUUGAAAUACAAACGACGGCUUAUUUUUAAAAUCGUCGUGGUAUGUAUUUCAAACGACGGUUUUAUUAAUAAUAACGACGUCUAAUGGUUUUUAAAAAAACAGAGAAUUCAAAGUUCAGAUAUGUUACCUUUUCUUCCUGAUGUUUCCCAUUUUUGGCAGUAUCAUCCUCAAAAUGCUGGGAUCUCACAUCACCUCCAGAGCAGCUUGCUUUGUCAGACAUUGGAUUUUUGGGACUUUGGCUAAUUCUGGGUUUAAGCAUGCUUGGAUCAAAAUUGGGAAUUAAUUGGGAAAGCUGACUCAGGAAAUGCUCCCUCUCAGCCUCUACCAAUUGUUUCGUUCUAGCCUCCAUCCUUAAAGCCUCUUCCCUUGCCUUAGCUUCCAUCUUUUUAGUCUCUUCUUGAAGGAGAACUCUUAAACUGUCCUUCAAACGGUCGUCAGAGCUCACUCUCUGUGGUUUGGGUAAAUUGAAAUAUUGCCUUGGUGAGAUCCCAGCACCUACUCCUCUCACUCUGCCUGGAUGCUCGGGGUCCAAAGCCAUGGUCAGCACAUCAUUGCUGCCAGAAACAGUGACUUUGCCUUCCGAGACUUGUUUUUGCAAUUCAUCCUAAAACAAAGAUAUAUAAAAAAGUAAGAACAAAAACACACGACGGUUAUUUAUAUACAAACGACGUAUUAUAUAAUUUCACACGACGCAAUAACAUAUAAAUCGACGUUAUUAUAAUUUAUCACGACGGUAGUUAUACCGACGUGGUUAGUUUUUAAAACGACGAAAUGAAUAAACCAUCGACGUCUUAUGCUUUAUUUACAGAUAACAGAGGGAUGAUUCAAUAUUCACACCUUUAACGACCUUGUUUAAAACAUUUCGACGUAGUAAUUCAAUACAAACGACGCGAAAAUGAACCACCGACAUCUUAUGCUAUAAUUACAGAAAACAGAGUAGUGAUUCCUAUUUAGACCUUUAACGACGUUUUUUAAAAAAUUUCGAUGGGGUAAUAUCAUUCACACGACGCAAAAUAUAACAUAAGACGUAAUAAGAAUUAUUCACAGUUUAAUAAAAAUUUAAAACAGAGUGAGUAGGCUUACAAUUAAUUUUGCUUUCUCUGCCACCUUUGGAUCCGGGAUGUUACCAUGUUUGUCCUAUCUAGCUCUCUUCCAUAAGGUAGAUCGAUCAAUUUCUACCCAAGGCAUGGUUUCCUCCUCCAAACCAGCAUAUCCUUUUCGAGACAAUCGAUGAUUGUACUCAAGUUUCUCCCUAAUCUGUGCAUGUUGAGAAUGCACAGACUCAAAAUCUUUGGAUAACCUUGAAGCUACAAAGGCAUCCCAUUGUGCUUUCUCUAUGAAUUUAUAUGUUUCAGGGGGUUGGCUUAAUCUCUCCCUGUCAUUGGUGUAUGGAAGGAUAUAAUGCCUCGUUAGUGUAGACUUGAAAUCCUUCCAUUUCUUGGCAGCAGAAGCUAACACAGAGCUCUUGCCCCCUUGACCUACCACAAAAGCAAUGUCAACUGCUUUCCAAAUCUGCUCCUUUAUAUCCUUGGGGAUUUGAGCCCAUUUCAUGUCCACAAGUGGAACUCUGGAGCGUGCCAACACACCAAUGUAGGACUGCAUCUCACUAUGUGCUUGGCCAAUUCCUUUCCCCCUUUUAUUGUACUCAACAAUUGGCCUCAGUUUCUGAAGUUUUCUCUUCACAACACGAGGCAUUGUGCUCAUACCUCGACCAGACUUUGAAUCAUCAGAGAUUGUUGUAGUGCUGGUUGGUUUUGUCUCAGCAGAUGAUGAAGCAAACUUCAUCUUCUUCGAAGGCUUCACUUGAGGAGGUACCAUUCCAAGCUCCUUACCUCCAUUUUUCUUGGAGCCAGAAUCCUUACUUUGGUCUUGGUGAGAAACCAUUUUUACAGACAAAACUGCAAGUGAAAAUAUUUCAGGAAAAGAUUAAGAACACAAACGACGGUUAUUAAUAAAAUACGACGUAUGAUAUGAUUUUAAACGACGCAAUGAAAUAAUCUCAGACGUAAUAAAUGUUUAAAACCAAGGUAAUUAAACAACGACGAAAUAAUUAACUAUAAACGACGUGAUAAUUAACUAUAAACGACGAAAUAUUUAUAUAACGUCGUGGUAUUGAUGUUCACACGACGUCAGUAGUAAUAUACCGUCGUCUAUAUAAGGAUCCAAAACCCUUCUUUCUUUCUCUGUGAAUGUUUGAUUGCAUAUUUGAUUUUUCUGAACCAUGGUUUUUGUUUUCUAAUUUGAUAAAAUACAAGGCCAAGAAAGAAAGUUUUGGAAUCUUAUAUAGACGACAGUAUUUUAAUAUGACGUCGUGGUAUUAACAUUCACACGACGUAAAAUAAUAAGAUACUGUCGUCUAUAUUAGAUACCAACCCUACUUUCUUUUUCUUUAUAUUUUAUCAAAUUAGGGAAAAACAAAAACCAUUGUUCAGAGAAAUCAAACCUGCAAUUAAACAAGCAAAUAAAAAAAAGACUAUAACUUUAAAAACAACUUUGUCAAUUUUCAGACGACGCUAGAACGACUGACGAACUGUCGUGGUCUACAUAUUUAACCACGUAAAUAAGAAGCUACCGUCGUCUUAUUUAGUUGAGGUAGUUGUCUUCAAAGUUGGAAACUUUCCCUCUUUGUCUGUAUAUUUUAUCGAACUUGGAAAGAAGUAAAAUGAUUUUGGCCAGAAAAAAGGUAAAAAGAUUUUUCAAACAAAAAACGUAUGAGCAUGCAAAACAGCAACCAAAAUAGUGAAAAUGAAAGCUUACCUUUUGCGUGCAAUGAAAGCAAGAGGAAGAUUAUGUUUAAGUUCAGAGACGACGAAGAAGACGAGAGGAAGACGAUGAGAUACUCUGACAGUGCUCUGACAAGGAAAAAAUUCUAAAAGUUUUCUCUGGGAGAUUGAAAUUUUUAAUCGGGUUUGGAAACAGCGCAUGUGUAUGUCAGGUAGACGAAAAGUUGCUUACAUAUAAAACCAUUUCAAAAAAAUAAUACGGCGGUUACAUAUAACUACGACGUAUAAAUUACAAAAUACGACGGUACAUUUAACUUCGGACGUGGUAAAUAAAUACGACAGUAGUGUUGUAGGUACCGUCGUAGUAAACUCAAAAAUUAAAGUACAUAAGUAAUAACUCGCGUCAUGGUAGAUUAUUUAACACGUCGUUUUUAUUAAUGUACCGACGUGGAUUUCUGUAAUAUACGUCGAUCAUAUCGACGUUGAUUUUACAAUUUAAACGGCGGUUUUUUUGUAAGGACCGCCGUUGGUUUUAAAAAUUUAUUAUAUAAAUUUGUCGCUUUCAUUCAUUUUCGGUUUACAUUUAGGGUUCCAAGUUCUUCCUCUCUCAGUCUCUCACGUCUCAAAGACAAUAAUUUGGAUGUCUUUCUCAAAAAGAAAUUGAGCUUACUCGCAUCAAAUAUAUGUCCACAAGAAGAAGCUUGUCAACUAGCCUUCUCACUUCCUUGAUCAAGCCUGAUAGGACACUUAGUGCUUCUGAAUACUCCUUGCUUUCCAUCAAAAGAGAUGCAAGCCUGGCCUCCACUCGCUGUCGAAGGAAAGUUCGCUUUUCAGGGAAAUCUGCUUGAUUUUCUUGGCUAAGAAGAUCCGUCAGAUUUGUGAUAGCCUCUUCCUUUAUCCGUAGAGCUUCAGAAGAAGAAGAUGGGUUUCAAGAAUGCGAUAAAGAAUAGAAAUGGCUUCAGAUGGCCUCUAAAGCAUGAGCAAUCGAAUCAGUAGUUGCUGGGAGAUAUGAUGAAGACAUUGUCAAUGCUUUGAACUAUACAAGUCCUGCAGAAAGAUAAAGGACCAAACUGUUAAAGAAACUGAAACAACGGCGGUUUUCUGUUCUACCGUCGUCUUUUCUCGUCGUCUAUAUUAAGGUAAGAUGGCGGUAGAUUUAUAAUUACCGACGUAGAUUAUUUUGUUAAACGUCGUUAAGUGUACUACAACCGACGUGGAUUUUAUUUUUAAAUUAUAAAUAGAGUUUUUUUUCCCGAAUUCUUUCAGUUUUAGUUUUCAAUUACAAAGCGUGAUAAAUAGAUUUUUCUUUCCCGAGGAAAUUUAAAAUGAGGGAAAUUAAUGUUCUUGAAUUUGUAAACUAACACGACGCAAUAUUACUAACCCGAGGAAAUUAUAAAUAGAUUUUGCUUUCCCGAAUAAAUUUUAAAUUAAUUCAGUUUGAAACAACAACGGUUUUUUGUUAUGCCGUCGUUUUUAACUAACACGACGCAAUAUUUGUUUUGCGACGUGGAAUCUUUUCAUUUAACGUCGUUAUGUUUAAUAUAACCGACGUGGAUUUGAAUUUUUAAAUUAUGAAUAGAAUUUUUUUUGCCGUGACCUUUCAGUUUAUUUUUCAAUUACAGUGCGUUAUAAAUAGAGUUUUUUUUUCCAGAGGAAAUUUAAAAUGAAGGAAAUUAAUGUUCUGGAAUAUGUAAAGUUUCUUUUUUGGAGGACAGAUUUAAAUAAAAUAAGAAUAUAAAAACAACGACUGUUUUUUUAUUGCUGUCGUCGUUUUUCGUCGUCUUAAGUAAGACUAAGACGACGUAAUAUAUUUGUUUAGCGACGUUGAUUUAUUUUUUAAACGUCGUUAGGUAUAAUAUAACCAUCGUUGAAAAUUGUCUCUCUGAUUGCAAAUUUGCAACGACGUUAGGUAUAAUAUUUGUAGAUACACAAACGCACACACAUCAUCAACUUCCAAAAAAUUGUCUCUCUGAAUGCAAAUCUGUGUCAUCUGUUAAGAUUAUGAUGUGGAACAGAGUUCCAUCUGGUAAGAUUUCGUAACCCUUGGGAUCUCAGACAAAUCUGAUUAUGUCGGCGGUUUUCUAUAUAAACCGUCGUGGUUAUUUCAAUUCUUGUCAUUAAGUAGAUCUACCGACGUAGGAUAAGAAAAUCAAAGAAAAAAAUUGUUAACAAAAAUUCUUAUUAAGACGACGGUUAAAAUUAAAUGUAUGACGUAUAAAAUGAAUAAAUACGACGUUAAAUUUUAUUGUACGAUUUAAAGAUAACGUCGUAGAACUAUACGAGAAUGACGUCCAUAUAUUUAUAUUUUCCGUCGUUGUACAUUAAUUUAAUACGGCGAUAUUUUGUAUUUUAAAGCCAUGGAUUUGUUUGUAAUUAUACGGCGUCUUAUACGAAAACCUCGUCGUGUUAUUUUAUGAGUAAAAACGGCGGUUUUUAUUGAAAUCGUCGUCUUUACUUUCUACGUCGAUCGAUUCAUAACUUCUGCCGUUCUUUGUUGGCAUUGAUUUUACACUGCGGAAAUCUGUUUCAAAUAGACGUCGGUUGUUUAAUUAUGUACGUCGUUGUUUUUGAACAGCCAUUUAAAUCUCCAUUUUUUAGUUGUCUAAGGUUGUAUUACACGACGGUGUUUUUAGAACCGUCGUCUUUUUAAAAACCACGAUGGUUUUCACUUAGACCGUCGUUGUUUUCUGGUCGUCUUUUUCACUUUUUGUAGUAGUGCGAGUUAAACUUUUAUUGAGCAUGGUGCGGACCUUGUCGUUGGUCCUGGAAUUCGGGUGAGAACGAGAUGUGAUUAUGUUAGAAGGUUAGAACCUCGUAUGUUGGAAUUGGGAAAGUUAGAUGUUGUGAGUUGCGUUUGGUAUUCAUAGUUCUUAUUUGAGUUUAUUAUUUGUCUUGCUUAAUGCAAUAUUUGGUUUAAGGGCUUUGUUGGUAGUUUGGUUUCGCUUCGGUUUAUGUGAGGGCCGAAGGCCAAGUUUGUAAAUUGCAUGAAAUUAUAUUGUGCGUGCUGCCUUUUUGGGAUAUUAAAUGUGUUUUAUGCAGGUUGAAAUUUUUGGGAUUGUUCAAAUUACAGGGGAGACUCUGCCAAAAGUUUGGUAGAAAGUCUUGGUCUUUAGUAAGUGGGCCCGGCAUCGGAGUGAUGUCGGAAUUUUCAUAGGAUUCGUCUCGGAUUUCGAGAAAUUCAGGGCGGGUCAUGUCACAAUGUACCUGCAACCCUAGAAGAUUACUAGUAACAACCUAGGCACUCGGAAUGACCCGUCAAUCUAGGCAUCCCCUGUGCUAGCAACAACUAUAGUGAAAGUGUGAAAUCAUCAUAAUCAAGUAAACACCAAACAACAGAUAAUGAUGACUAGUCAACUAUAAGGACACAAACCCAGAAUUCAUACAAUGACUAGUCAACCACUAAGAACAGAAACCCAGAAUUUAUACGAUGACUAGUCAACUACAAUUCAUACGAUGACUAUUCAACCACUAAGAACACAAACCCAGAAAAAUUACAGAGAUGCAAUCAGAAAUUAUUCACCCAGAAACCCACCAUUGGGAAAAACUGGGGGUCAUUAACCGACAAGGCAAUCCACUAAGUAGAAAAAGAUUCUUACAAAGGAACACAAGCAAGCUUAAGAAAAACCUAGAUCUAUUUAGGAAGAUGAGCUAUACCUCCUUUGUGCAAUCUUCUUCUCCAACUUAGCAAAGCUUGAAGGUCAGUUCUUCAUGGCAAUGACAGCUCUUUCUCCAGCUCAUUCAUCCCAUGGCACCGGCUUGCAAGCUCUAACUCAGACAGAAACCAAAAUUUGGAUUCAAAGGAGAAUGACCAAUUUCUUCAAGAAACCAUAUACUCUUGAAGAAAUCAAUCUUGAAUCUGACCUAGAUAUAUAUGAGAGAGUGUUUGAUCUAGCAAGAUGAGGUUUUCAUAUUUCAAAUGCAGUUUUCAAAAAGAAACAUUUUGGAAAACCCAAAGAUGAAAAAUAUGAAGGUUACACUUGAGGAAGAAGAGAAAGGUUACAGAGAAACUUUCCAAAACUUGCCUGAAAAGUGACAACUGCCAAAUGAGGAAUCCUUUGGCCUUUACACCCAAAAAUUCCUUAGGUCAGAAUCAACACAUGGUAGCAGAGAGAGAAAGGAGAAUAGGACAAAAUAGUUGGUUAUCCAGUUGGAAAUCUUACAGAGCAAGGAUGACUAGUCAUACGAGAAACAGAUGACUAGUCAUUAUUUUAUGAAAUCAAUUUAAUGCAAUCACAAUUUACCUUUGUCAAUUUGCUUGAAUCUCCAUAGGAUAAUUGUUAGUUAAGAACACCUAGAGAAGCUAUUCUUAAUCUAAACUUGAGCUUGAUAAAAACAAUAAUAAUUCUAUCACAAAAUUGUCAAGGGAAGCCAAAAGAAAAACCCAAAAUACAUACAUUAACAGUACACCCUACUACCAAACUAUUUAUUAAAUUACUAAUUUACCCUAAUAUAAACUAAAAACAAAUAUAUUGAAUUGUGAAACAAAUAUAAUUUUAAUAAGUGCACCUUACUAACGCGGAACCUUUGGUUGUUUUUUCUCAAUUUGCUUGACUUUUCUUUUAAGCAUCCCACAUCAUUUAAAAAAUAUCUAAAACAUGACACCCCAUAUUUUUGCCUACAAUCUUCUUCUCCAUCUUAGCAUUUGGACAGCCGAACUCUUUUCUCUCUCAAAACCAAGCCCAGCAGAACCUCUUCUCCUUUCAAUCACUCUUCUUCUCCAAGCAUAUAAUUUUUUCAUUUUUCUCAUCUUUCAAUUCAGGAAAUUUUCUAUAAUAUUGGAAGCCCCUUGUAAAACUUGUUUUCUCCUAUUUACCCCCACAAAAGUAGCCACACGAAUCAUAUUGGGACUUAAUUAUAUCAGCAAGCAAGGCAAUCAAAGUUGUUUUUUGGUUUUUGGAUAUUGGAUUCAAAAAACAAAAAAUUAUUUUUAAAAAAUCAGAAAGAGAAAAAUUAAAAAAACAGACUGCAUGAAAUACUGUGUUUCUUGGGAAAAAAAAUUAAAAACCCCCGAAGCUGCAAAAUUGAGUGUUUUAAUAAGAAUGAUUCCCUUACUGAGUAUUACUUAUUAUUUGAUUUAGGAUCAAUAUCAAAGAAUUCUAUUGAACGUUUUUGUGCUAUUAGUUAUAUUUUGGAUAUAUAAAAAAGAACAAUAUUGUCCAGAGUGUACAGUUAAAAACUUUGAGAAUCAAAGUAUGGGGAAAGGGAUCGUGGGGAGAUGAAUGUUGUUGGUCUUUUUUUGAAGAGGUAGUGUAUUAGGGUGUAUUAAGGGUAUUUUUGAUAGUUAAAUAGGGUGUACUUUGUUAAUUUUAUAUUUUAAUUAGGGCGUACUCAGUUAAUUUUAGGGUUUAUUUAGCAGCACUCAUAAAUUAUCUCUUUAAAAAAUCACACAAAUUAACAGGUAUUUUUGUAAAGCUCAAUUUGUAUUGUAUUUCAACAAUUUGAAUCGUCUAUGUCAUAGAUUAUAUCGCUUUAAAAAAGCACCCAAAUUGAACUUUUUUAACCAUUUGAUUGAAUAGUAGUUAUUUAUUAAGUAUGUGUCUAUUUGUCUCAUCACAUUUAUAUAUGUUUGAAUGGUUUACAAUUUGUUCAAAUAAAUGAAAUGCAAAGUGGGUGAACCCUAGAAAGUGUCGUAUUUGAAAAAUAUAUAAAUAAAAUGAUAACCUUACACAUAUUUGUUUACUUUAUAUAAAUAUCACCACAAACAUAGAAUAAACAGUUGCAAAACAACAGAAAACUUCUAAAUGAUUACUUUUAUAUAAAUAUCACCAUAAGCAUUUUUCAAACAUCUAGCAUAUUGCUGAAACAUCUAUCGCUAGAUCACAUCUUACAAAAGUUAUUCCUCUGUAUUUUUUAUCACGAGGGUCUAAAUUGUUACUAAAAUUAAUCGUCAAUUGUUCAAUACAUAUAAAUUACUAAAUGAUUUUCAAUUGAUUGAUUUUUCGUAAAAAUGAUGUUUAAAUUAUGAUUUAUUAGGAAAUCAACAAUUCCGAUUAUCAUCAAAACCUUUUUUUCAAGCUGCUGAUGACUUGAUCAUAUCUUCAGUUUCGAAUUAAUGAGAGAGAGAGAGAGACAGUAAAAACUUUAAAACACACACGAUGGAGUAGUACUGAUAUUACAAGUAGGGAAUAAUUAGAAAGAUGUUGGAGUACAUACCAAAUGGACUUCAUUCACACAUAAAUAUACACACACUAUACUAUACUAUACUAUUCAUACCGUAUAAUUAAUUAAGCCGCAUGCUUCCCUUAGUAAUAUAAUUAAACAGCUCUAUAUCUAAAGCUGUAGGAAGAUUUAGCUUAUAAACAAAGGAUCAAUAGUAGCCAGGGUAUUGGUUUCAGUAGAAAUGCAUUCAUGAUCAUAUUCAGUGACCAAAAUCGGUACUUUUUGUGACCAACUAGCUGGCCACUAAUAAACGUUUUUCUUGUUAGAGCUGAUGAUAGGCUUAUUGUAAUUAGGCCAUUGCAGCUUCUGUGGAGGUCCAUGAUUCUCCAUGUUGGCUGCCGCUGCUGCCGCCACUGCGCCUCCAUAUAUACCUUCUGUGGAGGUCCAUGAUAAUCCUGAGAAGGUGUAGGAGAAGAGGAAACUUGAUUCCCCAUGUUAAUUACAACUUAAAACUGAUUACAAGUUUUGCUUUGAUUUGAAUUCCUUGGGGUCCAAGCCUCAUUAUAUAGUAGUCCCAUUACUCACACAAGCUUAUAAUAAUACUUCACCCUUAGGGGCCCGCAGAAUGUAUAUGAUGUUAUAUAGGACUUGCAUGCACAUUCUGCUUAAUUAAUUAAUUAUAAUUCUUUGCGUAAAAUAAAUGAAAUUAAUAGUGCGCUUCUGGAUUUAGUAUAUAUGCUAUACAUGCUUUAUUCUUCUCAUACCAUUAAAAAAUAGAAAAAAGAGGAUUUGCAUGAGUCAGUAAUAAUUUGAUUCCGUACUCCAUAAUUUUCUGCUUUAUAUUUUUAGUUUAUUUUUUAAUUGGCCUAUUCAUCUUCUCUAGGCGUUUGUUAGUCAUCUUAUUGAUAUUUUCAUAUUUGAUUCAGUACUCCAUAAUAAAAAAUAAAUAAAAAGAGGAAAGAAUAGCUAUAUUGAAUCUUGUUUUCCUGUAUCCUCUAGUGCUUUUUUGUUAUUGCAGUUAUGAUAUUAGAUUGAGUGUGAGAUAAAUGAUGAGCAGACCAAAAACAAAACGAAGAUAUGUGUUUCUAUAUUAUUAUAACAAUAAGAUCUCUUCACCUUUCGAAAUGAUACUUGCAUUUGAUAUUUCUUUAUUUAUGAUAACACCUUUCAUUGUAAAUUAGCUUUCUAUAUAUUUCUAGAACUAUUUGGUGAAUCAGAUCGAUUCACCUAUGUAACACAUAUAUAUAUGUGUGUAUGUUGACAGGUCUAAUCAAUCUAAUAGGGUUUGUUGUCGUAAUUUUAAAGGAGUUCAAGCCAGACAAACACACAUACAUCCACGUUAAAAUUCACAUUGACCAUUAACGCGUUGAGUUAAACUUUAUAUCACAUCACCAUCUUUUAAGUUAAACUUUAAGUGUCGUAUUGAUCACAUUUGCUAACUCAUCGAUAAAGAUAAAUCUCUCACUUUUAUAAGAAAUAUGACCCACGAAUGAUGAUGGGUAAUGAAUGUGAAACUAUAAUAUGCGCACGCACCCACACCAUUUCUAUAAGGAUGAGAAAUUGCCAAGUCAGUCUAUGGCGAACCUCUAGAAUUAGGAGUAGUCAGUAUAGUGCAUCUGAUACCAGCGCUGACCUUUUCGCUCUCUACUUCAACUCUAUAUUUCUUCUUUAUUAUUUUCUUACAUGAAUAAAAUUCUUUGAUAUUGCAAGGAAAGUUGUUUUCUUCCUUUCUUUUGUGCUAUUUUUUUAAUAAUAAUAAAUUUCCUUGAAAAGUGAUUACAUAACAAACAAGAGAGAGUAUGCAAGAGAGGAGGGGCUAGCUUUAAAUAUAUUUUAUAUAACAUGAGAAGUGAUUUGUACAUAUAAUUACAAGCUGACACAUAUACAUUUAGGUGCAGAAAAUAAGCUAUCCAAACCAUUUCUACAUCUGAUAUACAUACAUAUACUAUAUUACAGAGAGCUUCAUUAGUUAACUAAUUACUUAUACCAAACUAAGUUGGUAAUAAUUAGCGGCGAAUCUUGGGGUUACUCUAUCUCUAUCCAUCGAAAUAGCAGGGCUGCAUCCUUGCUAUUAAGAACAGCCUGAUCAUUCCUAAGAGGAGUUGGGUGUCUCCCUGCACGAGCUGGUUGGUCUUGAGAAAAUGGAGGCCUCUUGCCUGGCCGGCCAUGGAACUUGUCUAGCAUGGCAAAAGCCUGCCUUCCAAGCUUUGCUAGCUCUUCAUGUUCAGUAAUUAACACUCCCCCGUAGAUCUCUGCUGCCUCAGUGCUACUAAGAUAGACGUCCUUUAUCUGAUGAGGCUUCUGAGCUGGAACUUCCACCGUCUUUACAGGCCUUCUGAUCUGACGAUGAGGAGGAGGAACAUGAUUUUGAUCCAUGUUGGGGUAUGGAUAAUAUUGUACCUGUUGAGGAGGAGGAAGAGGCCUUACGGUGACAGUCUUGGUGGGCCAGCCGCCAUGGUACUCGUCUCUCAUGGCAGGUGCUGGGAAGUAUGAAACUUCUUCUGCAGGGUAGACAUGAUCAUAUAGCACGGGACAUGUGUGCCUGAUAUGAUAAAACAUUUUCUCCUCUUUCAUGGUCAUAAAGCCAUGCCUUGCCUUACUGAAACAAAGGUUAAGAGACAAGCAACAUUUAUAGUCGUGAGAGUCACAGAAGCUCACAAGUGGGCUAUCUGAUCGAUCGUGUGAUUUUCUUUUGAUGCUUUUCUUUUUCGUAAAAUAAUAAAAAGUAAUUCUUAUACUUUAGGGUCUGUUUGUAAUAGCUAACUAGUAAUUAACUAGUAGUUCUAAUAGCAUAUUGAUUCCCCAUAUUGAUGAUAUUUUCUGAGAGUUGAUGAUAUUUUUCUCAAGUAAAAAGGCUAUGAUUCCCCAUAUUGAUGAUAUUUUCUCAAGUCCUUGGUGAAUCUGAUUCCUCAUUUGACCCAAAAGGACAAUUAAUAAUUGAAGAUCAAUCUACAUCUAUAUCAGCCAGGGAUUUAUUAAUUAAAACAAAAUUAUUUUAUACAUAUCAUUUGGUCGUUGAAUAAUGCUACUCUUAUCACAUUUGUAUACUACAUUCUCAUACCACCUUAUGUGGCAAAUGAGGUGGACAACUACAUUAAUUAAAUUUAUUUAACAUUUUCUUUUCUUUUAUGAUUUAUUAACACUUUAAAAAACACUGUUAAUUAACAUUUCUUUAUUAAAAAUACACUUCAUUGAUUUAAUUGAUGUGACAUAUGAUAUGAACAUGCCACAAUAUGUGAUAUAGAAAUAUGAGAUAAAAUGUGAGAAGUGUAGCAUUACUCUUUGAUAGUUUAGUAAAACAGUGUUAUUGUGUUAUAUAUACUGUCUACAUAAGUCUGGAAUAAAAGGCUAUCAAGUUCUAUGAAAGCUUAAGAAAGUUUAUUAAAAAAAUUAUACAGAAGUCUUCUGAAAGUCUAUCAAGUUCUAUACGAAUUAUAAAGUUCCAUCAAGUUCUAUGAAAGCUGGCACUUAAACAAAAUCUUUUUAAACGCUCUAGAAUACUAAUGGAAUACACCCCCCUAAGCUAUUAAAUUGAUUGUUUGGUUAGACGUUAACUGAUGUCGUGUCAACUGUGGGACCUACUUACUAACCAAUCCCAAUAUAUAUAUAUAUAUAUAAUUAGAAGAAAAAAACCUUAAAAAACCUAGCCUCCUCCCUACCUAGCACCCCCUAUUCCCCACCCCAUCACGACGACGCCUACUUCCCAACCUCCGUCUCCCACCCUUUCUCCCUCUAUCUCAUUUCCGUCUCUCAGACCCUCCGUGACACCGUUUCGCUAUCCCAGAAAUGCCAAACCCCCAAUCUCUCCGUCGGCAAGCUCCGCACUCAACGUUGAUUCAAUCCUCACUCGCCUCCACUACCACGUCGUCAAGAUUUUGAUCAAGAGUGGCAUCCCCCUCGACGCCGAGGUUUGCUCAGUAAUUAGCAAACCAGUGGCCAAUCAUGGUAAUUAUUAGGGGUGGGCACUCAAACAGGCGAACCGAAAAUCCGAGCCAAACCAAAAAAAAAUCGAGUUGACUAAAAAGUCAACAAUUGGUCAAAAACCGAAUCGGACCGGUUUCGGAUCCAGUUCCAUGUCUUCAAAAAUUGGACCGGGCCUAACCAAACCGGUCAAAUUAAAAAUAUAUAUAAUUUCAAUAUAUAUUUAUAUUUAAUGCUAUAUUUUUAAUUUUACUUAAAAAAAAACUAAUAUUUAUCCAAGUUCAAUUUCAAAAUAUCUCUUUUCUAACUUUAAUAUUUAUUUUUACAUAAAAUUGGAUAAUUUGUUAAUUUUCAAGUAAAAUAAUAAUAUUUCAUUUGAGAAUUGUAUUAAAAAAUAAUUUUUAUAAUCCAGUUCAAAACCAAACCGAAAUCGAAAUCGGACCGGAACCGAUUCAAACAGAACUGGACAGUUUUUGAAAUUUUUUUAUUAAAACCGAACCAAACCGAACCAAACCGGAUGAAUAGUACCAGAUCGGUUCUAAUUUGAAGCAAAAACCAGUCCAAACCAAACUGUGUCCACCCCUAGUAAUUAUUUUUCUUCCAAUUUUUUGUGGGUUAAUAGUUAUACCAGAAUAUUGCAAAGGUUGGGUGAUUCUCUAGAUUGUAUUGCAGGGGUUGGGCCACCAUGUGUGGUUCUGUAUUUUUGUUUGUUCUUUGUGAUUUUGCUGGGAUGGGAUUAUUGCUCGAGUUGUAUGGUCAGGAGUGGGGUGGAUCGCGUUGCUGUUUGGUGUGACUUGGUGGGUGUGGGCGCUGGUUUAAUCGUACAAAUGGAGCUUCUUGUUGGUGGUUUCCCUUUAAUGAUACAUGUAGUUUGUUUCAGGAAUUUAUCGAGACAAUAUUAUAAAAUAUCAAUAAUAUCGACGAAAUAUCGAGGAUAUUAUUGUUUUUUCAGAUCACGAUAUUUCGGAACAUAUCCAUACACAUAUUGUAUAAAUAUCGAUAAUAUCAAAAAAUAUCGAUGUCCAUAAUUUCGCUCACACUUCAGCAAUAUUUUGUCAAAAUAUCGCUAUAAUAUCGUUAUAAUAUCGAAAAUAUCAAAAAUAUCAAUGUAAUGCAAAAAAGGAAAAAUAAAUCAAAAAAUAAAGCACACACGCAAAGAAAAUUCAAACCCUUGCAAUUUCACUCAUCCAACGCCUUAACCACCAUGUUGCUUGUGUUUUUGAGAUAAUACGCAAAAGGGAAUUCUAUAUGGCACUAAGUCAUUCAUGUAUCUUACUAUGCAAUGUAUAAAGUGUAAAAUAUUAUAGUAAAUCAUUAUAUAUAAAUGAUUAUGGUGUGUUUAAUUAUCUUUCAUUAAUUACAUACAUAUUUUCUACACUCACAGUGUUUGUCAGCUCGCUAUAUAAUCAACUUAAAUCAGUUAAACCCAUCAUGCAAUGCAUUUCCUUCCAAUUUUUUGUGAUAAACUAAUAGAUAAUUGAAUAAAUAAACAUCCUCCAAAGUUUCAAUAAAAAUUUUCAAGUUUUUCUUACAAUUUCCGUGAUUUUUAUUCAACUUUUAUCAAUAUCGAUAAUAUCCCAAUAUUUCCAUUCAAAUUUUCGUAUUUUUGGACUACCGAUAUUUCCGAUACCAUCGAUAUUUUAGACAUUGAUUGAGAUAACUAAGGAGCCCGGAGUCAUUUUUGGUAGCCAAAUUUGAUGGCAUACUUGGACUUGGAUUUCAAGAGAUAUCAGUUGGAAAUGUUGUACCUGUGUAUUUCAUGAGAUUAUGAGUUUCGGCUUUGUUUGAGUCAGGUUGUGUUUUCAUCAAUAGGAAUUAAGAGAUUCCAUCUUGCUAUGUUUCUCAGAGGUGGAGGUGGCUGAGUUGAGGGGAUGGGGAACAUGGGGGCGCUGGGUUGUUGGGCAAGGAAGGGGUUGGGAAUUUUUAAGUUUUUUUCUUUUUUUAAUUUCUGAUUAUUCUUAUGUUAUUAUUUUAUAUAAUUUUUUUAAUUUAGGUAUUGGUUAGUAAGUAGGUGUCACAGUUGACACGUCAUCAAUUAAUGUCUGACCAAAUGAACAACUUAACGGAAGGCUUAAAUUGGUCAGAUUUGAAAACAUUGAGGUGUAAAUUGAUGAAAUUGAAACCCCAUAGUCCAUAUUGAGAAUGAUCCCAAACCUUCAGGAAGUCUAUUGUUAUUAGCCCUAAAUUAAAUUAACUCUUUUUUUUUGCCCUUUUUUACAAGGGGAGUAUAGAAGAUUUCAUUUCAUGUAAAAAAUAGUUGUGAAGCUGCAAAAAUGAUUGAGUGAUACUAUCAAAUAGCAAUAUUUGUGUAACAGAGUUUUUUAAAUAGUAUUAUGAUUGUAACAAGGUUUUCAAAUAGAAGUAUCAUUAUAGCAAAUAGUCUCGUUAUAUCGAUAUCAUGUCGAUAUAUUGCCAAGACUAUUACUACCUAUAGUGUCUAUUAUUUCGAUUACAAACAGUCUUUUUUUUUGUUAUUGUUGAGAAAUUCUAGAAUUGUAUUCAUAAUUCAGCCAAAAAUGCCACAGCCAGAAAUGACCAUUACAAUAACAAAGCGGUCUAACAUCUAAAUUAAGACAAUCUGGUGCACUUUCACUAACGAUCAUGCAUGAUCGAAGAAACUCUGACAUAUGCAUUUCAAUUAAGAUUGCAAAAUAAUCAAAAAGAGAUAAAGCUUGAAAAAACCAAGCCAUAACAAUACAAAUAAAACUCUCAUAAGAAAGAGAUGAAAAGUUCUCACAAAGGAGAGGUAAAAAGCUCUCACAAAGAAGAAGUGAAAACUACACAUAGAACCCAAAGAGUCUCUGUGACUUAUUCUAAACAUAAAGAAAUCACAACAAGGAUGGUGGUGGAGAUCUGAAGCCGAGACGCAGCUGCUUGUGAUAGUUGGAGGAAAUCAUAAUAAAAUAAAGACAAAUAGGAAAAACCUUUUGUCUCUCUGAAAAUGAGGGGAGAAGAGAAGGAGGGAGAGAAGAAGGGAGAGGGGAGGAAGAACAGUGGCUUCCUUCACCUCCAAAGUGAAAACGGAUUUAGGAGAGUUUUUGGGAGAGAGGGGGCUAGGGUUUGGAAGAGAGAAAAUCUUUUGUCUACAAUUUGAUACCUAACGUUUCAAUAAAACAGUCUAAAAGUUUCGAUAUGAUUUAAACAAAGUAUAAAUAUUUUGUCCAUAUUGUCAGUUUGCUGCAGUAAUAGUGGUAUUUGAGAGGAAAUUCCUCAAAAUUAUUAGGUGUGCCUAAAUUCAGGUCCAUACAUCACUAGUAAAAUGAUAUAUGUGAAGUUACUAUAUAUUAGUAGAUCCUACAAGUGUAUGGCGAAAUGUUCUUCGAAACGACGAAGGCCAUCCCUUACAAUAAUGAAGUUGCCUGUCUGAGUCUUACAGCAGACUCUUGGUGUUAUAAGUGCCACUGAUGUUGUUGUUCUUGAUGUAAAUGUCACUAAGCUUCACUUGAAUCAGCAUUUGACAAAUAUAUACAACAGAUAAAAGGAAAAGAAAAACACACACACAUAUAUAUACCGAAAGAAUAAUUUAUAUUAUUUAUAAAUUUUGGGGGGGCCAUGGCCCCUCUGGUAAUCAGAAGCACACCGAGACUGAUGCUGCAAAAUAAUAAACCUUCCCCGUUUGAUGAUAGAAUUCAUAGUUUUGUGAGUCUGUAUUUUGGAUGUAUUUGGGAGAGAAUGGAUGAGAGAACGUUGCUCUCUGUGAAAAACAGAAAAAUUGGAAGAGUGAAGUCUGCUUUUCUUUCAUUACCAGCAACCAAAAAUAUAACCGUUGAGGAGAGAGAAGAGAGAUUCUUCUCUAACUGCCUCUAUACAAGAUUUAAUCCUAGCCAUUGAACUAUCAUCCUAUAAGAUGAUUACACUUGUCACAAUCUAACACCUCACUUAAGAAGCCACUUGGACUCUAAUCCAAUGGUCCUUAUUACAAACAGCAGAAAAGCUUUUAAACUAAAACAGAGACAUUCAAAACGAAAUGCGAUUAGGCGGCAAGGGGUUUUAGCUCAGCUCAAAGGGGUUACACAUCAACAUUUGAGAGAUGAAUACAUAUGCAUCAACCCCAGAGACACCCCCAAUAUUAAAUCUUCUUCUUAAACCCAAGAUGCUCUCCUCAUCCUCUUCAUGUAUAUAUACAUACGUAUAUGUAGCCAAGCAGGACAAGGGUGCUUGUCUUCAACUAGAGCAGGCGUUUAAUGGCAGGCUGGUGGGUUUUGUAUGCCACCAAAUCCUACUUCUGCAUUUUUGCAUAUGGAGGUGAUAGGCCCGCCAUUGCUGGGACCAAUGUAGUUCAAAUUGAUGUCCCGAAGCUCAACAUUUUUGCAAGGGAACUGGCUGCUGCAAAUGAAAUCCACUGCAAUCUUUGAUGCUGUGGUCCCUUUGAUGUUUAUGUAGUGAACAUUGCUGAUCUGUACGCGUGAUGGCUGCAAAAAAUUCAACGAUAGAACGUUAAAAAUUUAAGAUUAGGAUAAGUCAUGGUUCGAUCUCAUUCGAUGUACUAGAAAAUUGGUAAAAUUGAAGAAGGUAGUAGUUUGUGAAAAGGAGGCAGGUUUGAAGAGAAUUAGUUAAAACAAACCUGGUUCUUGUUGCAGCCCCCUGCGCAAUACUCUUGGUCAAUUAUGAUGGGUUUCUUAACAUUCUGCAUGAUAAGGUCCUGGAAAAUCAUGCCUGAGGCUCGGCUUGGGGUCGAUCCUGGCCAUGAUUUGAUUCUAAUCCCAUUGUCUGUGUUCAAAAACGUCGUCUUCUUCACGAUGAUCCCCGUCACGUCAUUUUCAUUCUGAUACUUGCCAAGGCUACCGAUACUGCCAUCCGUAAAAAUGGGCAUACAAAUUCAGCCAUGAGACAAUUUGAUAUGUUAUGUUGAUAGACCGAGAAAUAUGGACUAUUAACGACGUUACAAUAUUAUAGCAAAAGGGUUUCGAAGUCAUUAAGAAUUGAGUUAUGCAUGUACCUGAUGCCAUGUCCAGGGCCACAGACAACAUUGUUGAUGGCAACGUUGGUGGAUCCCUGAAUCAUGCCAAUGCAAUCAUCACCAGUUCCAAUGUGAACUCUGGCGAUCUUUAUGUUGUUGGAGUUGCUGAUGUGGAUGCCGUCAGUGUUGGGGCUUGUGUCAGGGGCAGAGAUGUUCACUCCUCGCACCCUAAUGUUCUGGCUGUUAGUGAGGAAAACGUGAACUCCUUUGCUGUUAAGGGAGGUGAUGCCUCGGAUGACCCCGUUUUUGACACCGUUAAAUUUGAUGCUCUGCAUAAUUAUUUAAGUAAAUAAAUUAAUUAAACUAAUAGUUAAGGUCAGUUUCUUUCUUAUGAUGGUAUACAAUUUAGAAGUUAAUUAUAAAUCAUUAAAUUAAACUUACAGCUGGGAGUGGACUGCAACUGCUGCAGCCAUCAAUGUUUUUCCAGGAACUUGAACCUUGCCCAUCAAAGACGCCAUUGCCUGUGAGGACCAAGCCCUCUACAUGUUCAAACAAGAACCAGAAUGGUUCUUCAUACAAGGAAAUAUCAUUCAGGCCUUUGAUGGUCCCUGAAACUUGAACAACAAUGGGUUUUGAGCAGCUGCAUGGCCCUUGAAAUAUGACUGGCCCAGUCUUGAAAGUCCCUUUUGGGAUUACAACCCUUGAUCUCCCGGUGUGGUUGCGGCAUGCUGCAAUCCAUGUUUGUAUGAAAGCCUGCGCAAUUUAAAACCAAAAACCAUCCAUUUCUCUCAUUAGACCCAAAAUUUAAUUAUCAUAAUUAAGUGUGCGAAUAAUACUAAUAUUACUAGAGUCACUAAAUUUUUACAAUGCUUGAAUCGCCAGACCCAUCAGGCUUGGCGCCAUGAUCCAACACGUUAAAGAUUUUCUCUGUAGGAUCCACUUUGUCAUGGACACCCAAAUUAGUGCCACGGAAAAUAUCGGGCACAACCAGGGUAACUGCGGUUGCGGCGGCUUGACAGGCCAGUGCAGCUAAGCACAAGAUAAGAAUGGCGUGGCUCGACAUUCCUGCAAUGGCCAUGGUCCCCCCUUCAAAUUCUAGGUCUUACGAACUAUAUAUCUAGCUAUGAUUGGUAAAACAAAAUAAGCCUCCGGGGGACGAGGCUGUUAUGAAGAUGAAUUAAUUCUCUGUGUGCGUGUUAUUUAUAGGUGCUUGUUUUCAUGUCGCUAAUUAAACCAAAAUUUUUAAUGGCAACCGCUGCUGUGUGUGAGGAGGCUCGAACUAUACGGUGAAGGUUGGAUUAAUUAGUUUUGUCAUUGUUGGUUUUUAGUUGGUUUGCCUAAAAUUGGAGAUAUGCUUUGUGUGUGUAUGCAUGGUGCAAUGUCGUCCUUCACUCCCUCAGUUGUAGCCUACUUCUUCUCCAUUUUGCCUUCUUUUUCAUAUCUUUGCCUCGCCCACCAAAUUAUCACCAGCAUUUUACCCACCAGCAUAUGGCAAGAUACCGAAAGCGGCAACAUAAUUUGUUUUGUUUUAUUUUUUCUUUUCUCUUUUUCCUUUUGGUUAGAACAAGAAAAAAAAAGAACUGGGCUAAAUUAUAGCAAUGCUCCCUGGACUAAGACCAAACUUUACUUAUUGUCCAUCAUAUUAUUAAAUUGUUACGGUGGUACUUUAAUUAUGUCUCCAUUUUCAGAAAUCGUCAUUUCCGUCAUCUCAGUCAACUUUUUCGUUAAAAAUGAUGACAUGACAAUGACAAGUCCUACUUGGCAUGGACACAAAUGUCUUUUCACACAAAAAAUUUAAAAAUAAAUCAAAUCUCUCCCUCUCUCUCUCUGUGAAAACCCAAAAGGUGAUGGAAGGUGAUCCAUCCUCCCACUAAGGAGACGGACAAUGCAAGCGGCCCACCUAAAUACCAUUACAAGAAAGAUCUUAGUUGUAGGAAUAAAUAAGUGCCUAUUUCAUCAUGAAUUUCUUUUUUUAAUUGCUUUUAUAAAUAGUAGUUAUGUUUUAAUUAUCAGCGAAGACAUGGAAACCAUUGGUUCUAUUGAGUACAUGAUGAAAUUAACACAAACAAUACUAGGGGCAUAAAAAGAACACCAUGAGAUUAUCAACAAAAUAAUAAUCACCCAUCAACCAGAUUAUCUGCAAAUUGAAAUUUCAUCACUUGAAAUAUGAAUACCCAUCAACCCUCAGCUUCUCUGUUUUGACCAUAUUUGAGGUGAAGGAUGGGGGCUGGGGUUCUGGGUUCAUGGGUGCUGGGGUUGCGGGCUACGAUAGAGGGUGGUAGUGGGAUAGGUUUGAGGGUUGGAGCUUGUAGGUGGUAGUCAUGGGGGAAGAAGAAAUCGUCAGGGGAAGAGGGAGAGCGCACAGGAGGAGAGAGAGAGAGAGAGAAAGAAAGAGAGAGAGAGAGAGAGAGAGAGAGAGAGAGAGAGAAUUAAUUUAACUAAGUUGACGGAAAGACCAAUGAUGCAACAUGAGAUCUAAUUGAAACACCAUCGUAACAAUUUAACAAUAUGAGAGACGAAAAGUAAAGUUUGGUCUUAGUCCAGGGACCAUUGCUAUAAUUUUGCCAAAAAACUAUUUGCGAUAGGUUCCCACUUCUUGUUUGACUGGUCUAGAUAUGCUUGUUUUUAUAAGGAUAUUUUCUUUUGGCAAAAAAAAAAGAAAAGAAAGAGGAUAUUUUCGGAGAGUUGAUGAUAUUUUUCUCAAAUAAAAAGGAUAUGAUUCCCCAUAUUGAUGAUAUUUUCUCAAGCCCUUGAUGAAUCUGAUUCCUCAUUUGACCCAAAAGGACAAUUAAUAAUUGAAGAUCAAGCUAUAUCUAUAUCAGCCAGGGAUUUAUUAAUUAAAACAAAAUUAUUUUAUACAUAUCAUUUGGUCGUUGAAUAUGCUAUUCUUAUCACAUUUGUAUACUACCCAUACCAUCUUAUGUGGCAAAUGAGGUGGACAACCACAUUAAUUAAAUUUAUUUAACAUUUUCUUUUCUUCUAUGAUUUAUUAACACUUUAAAAAACACUGUUAAUUAACAUUUCUUUAUUAAAAAUACGCUUCAUUGAUUUUUUUUUUUGGGUCAAAUUAAUAGUCUAAUCAACCUAAUAGGGUUUGUUGUCGCAAUCACCUUGACCACUAUCACGAGGAUUUAGAAACUUUCCUUCUUCGUGGUUCAAAUUUUGGGAAGGAAGAUAAAAGGAAAGCUCAAUAAUUGUACGUAUAAGUUCCUCUUCAUUUUUGACUAUUUUUAGGAUUUUUUAUUCAAUAACGCUACAUGCACCAACUUGUUUAUCAACUCUUUAACACUAAGUUACCAACACUGACAUGGCAACCCAUGUCAUCUGCCAUCUCAUUUAUUUUAAGUACAUAUUUUGUUCAAAAAAAGAAUUUCAUCGGCAAAAAUAAAAAAUAACGAAAACAAAAAGUUUUUAGAUUUAGCGUUAAACUCAUCUCCUUCGUCUUUCGUCCUUCUCCUUUGUGCAAUCUUCUUCUCCAACUUAGCAAAGCUUGAAGCUCAGUUCUUCAUGGCAAUGGCAGCUCUUUCUCCAGCUCAUUCAUCCCAUGGCACCGGCUUGCAAGCUCUAACUCAGACAGAAAUCAAAAUUUGGAUUCAAAGGAGAAUGACCAAUUUCUUCAAGAAACCAUACUCUUGAAGAAAUCAAUCUUGAAUCUGACCUAGAUAUAUAUGAGAGAGUGUUUGACUAGCAAGAUGAGGUUUUCAUAUUUCAAAUGCAGUUUUCAAAAAGAAACAUUUUGGAGAACUCAAAGAUGAAAAAUUAUGAAGGUUACACUUGAGGAAGAAGAGAAAGUUUACAGAGAAACUUUCCAAAACUUGCCUGAAAAGUGACAGCUACCAAAUGAGGAAUCCUUUGGCAUUUACACUCAAAAAUUCCUUAAGUCAGAAUCAACACAUAGUAGCAGAGAGAGAAAGGAAAAUAGGACAAAAUAGUUGGUUAUCUAGUUGGAAAUCCUACAGAGCAAGGAUGACUAGUCAUAUGAGAAACAGAUGACUAGUCAUCACUUUAUGAAAUCAAUUUAAUGCAAUGUGAUGCAAUGCACAAUUUACCUUUGUCAAUUUGCUUGAAUCUCCAUAGGAUAAUUGUUAGUUAAGAACACCUAGAGAAGCUAUUCUUAAUCUAAACUUGAGCUUGAUAAAAACAAUAAUAAUUCUAUCACAAAAUUGUCAAGGGAAGCCAAAAGAAAAACCCAAAAUGCAUACAUUAACAGUACACCUUACUACCAAACUAUUUAUUAAAUUACUAAUUUACCCUAAUAUAAACUAAAAACAAAUAUAUUGAAUUGUGAAACAAAUGUAAUUUUAAUAAGUGCACCUUACUAACGCGGAUCCUCUGGUUGUUUUUUCUCAAUUUGCUUGACUUUUCUUUUAAGCAUCCCACAUCAUUUAAAAAAUAUCUAAAACAUAACACCCCAUAUUUUUGCCUACAAUCUUCUUCUCCAUCUUAGCAUUUGGACAGCCGAACUCUUUUCUCUCUCAAAACCAAGCCCAGCAGAACCUCUUCUCCUUUCAAUCACUCUUCUUCUCCAAGCAUAUAAUUUUUUCAUUUUUCUCAUCUUUCAAUUCAGGAAAUUUUCUAUAAUAUUUGAAGCCCCUUGUAAAACUUGUUUUCUCCUAUUUACCCCCACAAAAGUAGCCACACGAAUCAUAUUGGGACUUAAUUGUAUCAGCAAGCAAGACAAUCAAAGUUGUUUUUUGGUUUCAGAUAUUGGAUUCAAAAAACAAAAAAUUAUUUUUAAAAAAUCAGAAAGAGAAAAAUGAAAAAAACAGACUGCAUGAAAUACUGUGUUUCUUGGGAAAAAAAUUAAAAACCCCCGAAGCUGCAAAAUUGAGUGUUUUAAUAAGAAUGAUUCCCUUACUGAGUAUUACUUAUUAUUUGAUUUAGGAUCAUUAUCAAAGAAUUCUAUUGAACGUUUUUGUGUUAUUAGUUACAUUUAGGAUAUAUAAAAAAGAACAAUAUUGUCCAGAGUGUACAAUUAAAAACUUUGAGAAUCAAAGUAUGGGGAAAGGGAUCGUGGGGAGAUGAAUGUUGUUGGUCUUUUUUUAAAGAGGUAGUGUAUUAGGGUGUAUCAAGGGUAUUUUUGGUAGUUAAAUAGGGUGUACUUUGUUAAUUUUACAUUUUAAUUAGGGCGUACUCAGUUAAUUUUAGAGUUCAUUUAGCAGAACUCAUAGAUUAUCUCUUUAAAAAAUCACACAAAUUGACGGGUAUUUUUGUAGAGCUCAAUUUGUAUUGUAUUUCAACAAUUUGAAUAGUCUAUGACAUAGAUUAUAUCGCUAUAAAAAAGCACCCGAAUUGAAUUUUUUUAACCAUUUGAUUGAAUAGUAGUCAUUUAUUAAGUGUGUGUCUAUUUGUCUCAUCACAUUUAUAUAUGUUUGAAUGGUUUACAAUUUGUUCAAAUAAAUGAAAUGCAAAGUGGAUGAACCCUAGAAAGUGUCGUAUUUGAAAAAUAUAUAAAUAAAAUGAUAACCUUACACAUAUUUGUUUAUUUUAUAUAAAUAUCACCACAAACAUAGAAUAAACAGUUGCAAAACAACAGAAAACUUCUAAUACUCAAAAAACAUCCUUUAGCUUACAUGAUAGAAACAGAAACUGCCUUUUUCCACAACACUUCUAUUCAACUGAGCAUCUUAUAUCUUCUUCAGUUGCAUUAUUUGCAAAAUUUGUUCCUCUGUUUGCAAAUAUGAAGCAUUUUUCAAACAUCUAGCAUAUUGCUGAAACAUCUAUCACUAGAUCACAUCUUACAAAAGUUAUUCUUCUGUAUUUGUUGUCGCUACUUUUCUUCUAAUUAAUAGUCUAAUCAAUCUAAUAGGGUUUGUUGUUGCAAUUCCAAAAGAGUUCAAGCCAGACAAACACACAUACACCUGCGUUAAAAUUCACUUUGACCAUUGACUCGUUGAGUUAGAAACUUUCCUUCUUCUUGGUUCAAAUUUAGGGAAGGAAGAUAAAAAGGAAAGCUCAACAAUUGUACCUAUAAGUUCCUCUUAACUUUUGACUAUUUUGGGAUUUUUUUUUUAUUGUUAUAGCAACAAAAAAAUAAUAAUUUAUUUUGAUAAUUUUAAUUUUUUGAAGGGAAAAAUUCUUUUGAUAUUUUGGGAUUCACCUAUGUAACAUAUAUAUAUAUAUAUAUAUAUGUGUGUGUGUGCAUGUUGACAGGUCUAAUCAAUCUAAUAGGGUUUGUUGUCGCAAUUUCAAAGGAAUUCAAGCCAGCCACGUUAAAAUUCACAUUGACUAUUGACGCGUUGAGUUAAACUUUAUAUCACAUCACCAUCUUUUAAGUUAAACUUUAUGUGUCGUAUUACUUGUACCAAACUAAGUUGGUAAUAAUUAGCGGCGAAUCUUGGGGUUACUCUAUCUCUAUCCAGCGAAAUAGCAGGGCUGCAUCCUUGCUAUUAAGAACAGCCUGAUCAUUCUUAAGAGGAGUUGGGUGUCUCCCUGCACGAGCUGGUUGGUCUUGAGAAAAUGGAGGCCUCUUGCCUGGCCGGCCAUGGAACUUGUCUAGCAUGGCAAAAGCCUCCCUUCCAAGCUUUGCUAGCUCUUCAUGUUCAGUAAUUAACACUCCCCCGUAGAUCUCUGCUGCCUCAGUGCUACUAAGAUAGACGUCCUUUAUCUGAUGAGGCUUCUGAGCUGGAACUUCCACCGUCUUUACAGGCCUUCUGAUCUGAUGAUGAGGAGGAGGAACAUGAUUUUGAUCCAUGUUGGGGUAUGGAUAAUAUUGUACCUGUUGAGGAGGAGGAAGAGGCCUUACGGUGACAGUCUUGGUGGGCCAGCCGCCAUGGUACUCUUCUCUCAUGGCAGGUGCUGGGAAGUAUGAAACUUCUUCUGCAGGGUAGACAUGAUCAUAUAGCACAGGACAUGGGUGCCUGAUAUGAUAAAACACUUUCUCCUCUUUCAUGGUCAUAAAGCCAUGCCUUGCCUUACUGAAACAAAGGUUAAGAGACAAGCAACAUUUAUAGUCGUGAGAGUCACAGAAGCUCACAAGUGGGCUAUCUGAUCGAUCGUGUGAUUUUCUUUUGAUGCUUUUCUGUUUCGUAAAAUAAUAAAAAGUAAUUCUUAUACUUUAGGGUCUGUUUGUAAUAGCUAACUAGUAAUUAAAUAGUAGUUAUAAUAGCAUAUUGAUUCCCCAUAUUGAUGAUAUUUUCUGAGAGUUGAUGAUAUUUUUCUCAAGUAAAAAGGCUAUGAUUCCCCAUAUUGAUGAUAUUUUCUCAAGUCCUUGGUGAAUCUGUUCCUCAUUUGACCCAAAAGGACAAUUAAUAAUUGAAGAUCAAUCUACAUCUAUAUCAGCCAGGGAUUUAUUAAUUGAAACAAAAUUAUUUUAUACAUAUCAUUUGGUCGUUGAAUAAUGCUACUCUUAUCACAUUUGUAUACUAUAUUCUCAUACCACCUUAUGUGACAAAUGAGGUGGACAACCACAUUAAUUAAAUUUAUUUAACAUUUUCUUUUCUUUUAUGAUUUAUUAACACUUUAAAAAACACUGUUAAUUAACAUUUCUUUAUUAAAAAUACACUUCAUUGAUUUAAUUGAUGUGACAUAUGAUAUGAACAUGCCACAACAUGUGGUAUAGAAAUAUGAGAUAAAAUGUGGUAAGUGUAGCAUUACUAUUUGAUGAUUUGGUUAGCAAAAUAGUGUUAUUGUGUUAUAUAUAGAAUGAUAAUCUACAAAUCCUCGGUUUGGUGGAAUAUCAUCACACACUUUUCGAGUGUAUCUAUGGUCGCAUACAUAAUUCCUAUAUAUGAUUUGGAAUUUUGUAAUACAUUUGUUAGGAUUGAAACAAGCACAAAAUUAAAAAUUUAAAAAAAAAAAAAGCACUAUUGCCAUUUCCCUAGCAUGAUAAAGUUGAAUUAAUGUCCAGUCAUCCAUUUCUCUUUAGUCUAUCCUAAAUCCUGAAUUGUACAAUAGAUUAUGCAAAUAUUAAAACCAAAGAGAUAUUAUAGAUCGAGAAUACAUGCACGAAAUACGUAUGUAGGUACGUACAUAUUCUAUCAAUUACAAGCUUAUCAUGAGGACGGGACAACUCGCUGGCAUAUUGACUGGCGGGAACUUUCACAGGGUCAAUCUUUGUUGGAUAACCACGGAAGUCAUGUCCAUUGGAAAUCCAAGUUAAGAAAAAAAAGAAAAAGAAAAAGAUACACUCUUCGCAGAUAUAUAGGGUAUAUCUAGUAGUUAAAAGGAUCACUAGGAGGAGAGGAAGAAAGGCUGACUAUGUUUCUUGUGUACCAAGAAAAUUAAGGCUAAUUGGGUCGAGGACCAUAUUCAGUAAUUACCACUCCCUUGUACAGCUCUGCUGCCUCAGUGCUAGUAAGAACGCGGCCCUUUGCCUGAUUAGGCUUCUGAGCUGGAACUUCCACCGUCUUUACAGGCCUUCUGAUCUGAUGAUGAGGAGGAGGGACAUGAUUUUGAUCCAUGUUGGGGUAUGGAUAAUAUUGUACCUGUUGAGGAGGAGGAGGAGGCCUUACGGUGACAGUCUUGGUGGGCCAGCCGCCAUGAUACUCGUCUCUCUUGGGAGGUGCUGGGAAGUAUGAAACUUCUUCUGCAGGGUAGACAUGAUCAUAUAGCACGGGAUAUGGGUGCCUGAUAUGAUAAAACACUUUCUCCUCUCUCGUGGUCAUAAAGCCUUGAUAAAAAGCCAUGCUAACUUAAUUAAAAGCUGAGAAUUGAAGUAGAACUAAUUGAUCAAGGGGAAGCUAGAGCUAGCUAGGUUUGCCUUGCCUUACUGAAACAAAGGUUAAGAGCCAAGCAACAUUAUAUAGGAGUGAGAGUCACAGAAGCUCACAAGUGGGCUGUCUGAUCGAUCUUGUGAUUUUCUUUUUAUGCUUUCCUUUUUCGUAAAAUAAUAAAAAGUAAUUCUUAUACUCUAGCAACCAACAAAUAUGAUAAGACAUUACCAUAAGAAUACUGUUCUUAUAAGUAAUUCAUGGCUUGUUUCGUAAGUCUUUUUGAAAAGAAAAAAAAAAUCAAUGGAGGAGGGACGGGAGUGCUUUCUAACAGUCUUGGUUGAGAGCUAGUUUGUGACUUGUGUUGUAAGUUGGGUCCUUGAAAGAUGGAUGGUGGGAAGUUUAAUUAGUAAUUUCGAGAAAUUCCUAUAACUUUGAGGAGUUCCAUUCUUGUGAUAUUGUAUGUUUAAUUUUAAAUAACUUGAGUUCAAGCAAAUCCAUGCAUGGCAAGUUCGAAUUUGAUAAGGAUAAUGAAAGUGAUAUAUAUUCUUUAUUGAAUAUUUUUUUUUUCCAGUGACGAUCUUUAAAUUGCGAAAAUUUGUUAAUAACUACUCUCGUCCGCAGUGCCUCAAUCAAAAUUGAACCUCCAAAGGAUUUGGUUAAGCAGUGAGCAAUUCUGGUAAGGUUUGGCCACGAGUUACAUAUAUAUAUCUACUACAGAGAACAUAAUGUUAUGGUAUUAAUAACAUGUUAGUUAGAUGUUUUGUAUUAUUUUCUUCCCCUCCUAUUGGAGAGUUUUGAAUAUAUGCACAUGACUGUGGACCCUAUAACGUUACCCUUCGUAGACAUUUAUCCUUUGCAUCGACUGUGGACCGUAUAACGUUACCAAUUUGUUUUAGAUCCCAACUGCCACCAUCAAAGAAAAAGCAAUGAUAUAUACAUAAUAUGUAUCCAUGGAUAACAAGUGUUGUGGAUAAGUCAUAAGAGAUUAUAGAUUAAACUUAUAAAUUUGCAUUGUAUUAUGGGUCUCUUAUUUUCCCAUUCUCUUUUUGUUCACUUACACUUUUUUUUAUUUGUUUUUGUUUUAAUACCUUUUAUUAUAACAUACAAGGGAAUGUAAGUGGACAAAAGAGAAGUGGGAGCAUACAAUUUUCAACAAAAGGAGUGUAAACGGACAAAAGAUUAGUGGGAAAAUCUGCUCCUUAUAUUAAUAGUUAUUAAACUAGGUGCUUUCCAAUAUAUUAUUGAUGUUAUUUUCAUUGGAUUUAAAAUUGUUUCUCCCAUCUUAGAAAUGUUGAUAUAGGUAACAUUUAGUAAGGAGAAAAAACUGCAAAAGACUUAUUAUUGAUGUAAUUUUAUUUCUUGAUGAUUUGGGAAAAAAGUAUUAGUGUGGCGUGCAUAUGCUUACGAUGGCAAGUUUACGUAACAAAUUAUUCUGGCCUAUCUCAGGCUCUGUGCUUGAUAUCUUCUUGGUAGGAAAAUAUAUUCUUGAUCAUAUAAUGUUGCUUUAAAUUACAUGUAGUGGAGGAAGCAUUUGCCUCCUGUUGCAUGUAUGUAUUUGCCCAAAUUACAAAUGGGUUACUUUAGAUUUAGAGCAUAUAUAUAUACAUAUACAGUACGUGAAUGUGAUCGAUUCCAAUUUUCCAACAGAAAAAGAUACCACAAUCCCCAGCCACAACAAUCUUGCCUGGGUCCUUAAUUGGGAUAAGAUAUUUGAAGAAGCUUGGGGAAUAAAAUGGUAUAUUCUUUUUGCAUCUCUUUCUAAUUUGCAUACUUAAUUUUCUUUUUCUUUCUAAGUUCUAACUAAUAGUCUAAUCAACCUACGAGGGUUUGUUGUCGCAAUUCCUGAAAAGGAGUAAAAAGAACAUAUUCAAAGGGAAAAAAAAGGAAAAAAAAGGGAGAAGAACGCUCCUUGGGGGAAAUGGGAAGGUAUUAAUUCCUUGCAUAACUUGGUAGAAGUUCACCUUCACCAUUGACACAAUCAGUUAGAAUCUUUCUUUCUCGGUUCAAAUUUCGGAAAGGAAUAUAAAAGGAAAGCUCAAUAAUUGUACGUAUAAGUUCGUCUUUACUUUUAACUAUUUUGGGAUUUUUUUAUUCAAUAACGCUAUGUGUACCAAUUUGUUUAUCAACUUUUUAAUACCAAGUUACCAACACAUGUGGCACAUGACAUGACAACCCAUAUCAUCUGCUAUCUUAUUUAUUUUAACUACAUAUUUUGUUCCUAAAAAAAGAAUUCACCCAGCAAAAAUAAAAAAGAACGAAAAACAAACGAUUUUAGAUUUAGCGUUAAACUCAUCUCUUCCGUCCUUCCUUAUUCCCCUCUGAAGACCCUAGAAAUUGAACAGUGCGUCCAAUUACGUAUCAAAACAUGGGAUAGCUGGUCCAACAAGAAAAAAAAAACCAUAUGCAGCCAAUUAAGCUUAUGGCUAUUGUAGGAGGAUGUGCAUAUAUAAAUAGGGAGAUUCACUAUUAUACCCAAUAUGGGGGCCCAAAUUAUAAAAAUACCCUACAUAAAAUGGACUUUAGAAACACACCCAAAGCCCAUUUACAACAUAACAAAAAAGCUUUUAACUUCUUAUAAAUUACAAAACUGCCAUCAAUUUCUUAAAACAAGCCCAACCCCAAAAUCUCAUAAAAAUACCCAAAGCACUCAAUAGGGCAUCAAAGUAAUUUAAUAAUCAAUAUUAAAUUCAAUAAGGCCAGCUAUCAUGUUUUGGGUUUUUUUUGGGUUUGUUUAUAGGAAUUCAAUUGUGUAGGGUUUAUUUAUAAUAUUAGUGCUAGAAAUGGGUAUAUCACUAAAUAUCUCAUAUAAAUAUUCAUGUCUAUUGUCACAGAAUUUUUGUUGUUGUUGUUGUUGAUAUUAGAACUUAAUCAUACCGUAGCAACUAUACAUCGUCUUUUAUAUCACAUCAUCACCAUCUUUUAAGUUAAAAUUUAUGUGUCGUAUCAUAUCUAAUGAUUACAUUGCUAACUAAAUCUUAUACAAGUAGUAUAACCCAUCGAUGAAGAUAAAUAUCUCACUUUUGUAAGAAAUGUGACCCAUGAAUGAUGAUGGGUAAUGAAUAUGAAACUAAUAGCAAAUACAUUCACUUAUAUAAGGAUAAGAAUAUAGCCGGUUCUAAGAUUUUGAGGAUCCUGUGUGAAACUUAAACUGGAGCCCUCACAUAAUCUAAUAUGAAAAUACUGGAAAAAAAAGUUGCCAUGACUUAAUUUCAUAAAUAAAUUAUUUUUAUAACUAAAAAUCAUCAUCAAUUAGCAUGUAAUAAAAAUCACAAAUCAAAUUCAUAAUUUUUUUAACGUUUUCAUUGAUAAAGUUAAAUAUUAGUUUGUUCGGUAAAAAAAAAAAAGAGUUCAAGAGAAAGAAGAAGGCAUGAUUUUUUAUUUUUUAUUUGGUUGUUUUGAGUGGAAAGUGUUUUUUUUAGGAGAAAGCGUAUGGGUGUGAUAUAUUAGUUUAAUUGGAUCCACCUCCACCAAAUACACUUAUGCAUCAAUGUGUUGCAUGCUAGUUUAUAUAUAUAGUUUUUAUAAUAUUAAUAUAUAAUAUAAAAUAAAAAAAUUUCGGGGGCCCUCAAAAAUUAAGGACCCUGUGCAGUGACGCCACUUGCACCAUACCAGGGCAGUCCCUGUAUGAGAAGUUGCUGAGUCAGUCCAUGGCGAACCUUUAGAAUUAUUAGAGUCAUUAUAGUGCAUCUGAUACUCUUUUUUUCUUCUUUGUUAUUUUCUCGUUUUCUUUUCUUCCCUUUUUUUAUAUAUAAAUUUUAUAAUAAUAAUAAAUUUCCUUGAAAAGUGAUUACAUAACAAAAAAGAUAGAGUAUGCAGGAGGGGAGGGGCUAGCAUUAAAUAUAUUUUAUAUAGCAUAAGAAGUGAUUUCUACAUAUAAUUAUAAGCGGAACAUAUAAAGACUAGGCUAGCUAUAUAUAUCCAAACCACUUCUACAUUUGAUGUACAUAUAUUUGUUUAUUUUAUAUAAAUAUCACCACAAAAAUAGAAUAAACAGUUCCGCAAAACAACAGUAAACUUCUAAUACUUAAAAAACACAUCAUUUAGUUUACAUAAUAGCUUACAUAUUUGAAAUAUGUAUUAGUAAUAUUCCAAAUUACAGAAGUGCCUUAUAAAGUAUUAUGGUAGCAUUAUUGAAUGUAUGGAAGAUUCUUUGGAGCUAAGAAUUUCGUGGCAGGUUAACCCAUGGAUAUGGUUGGUACAAAACACAUUAAUGAAAAAGAGGAAUAAGCACAAAUUGUGGGAGGUGAAGAUAUUUCUUACCGGAGAGAUUGACAGGAAUCAAUAUCAUAGUUUAUUUGGUUGCUUUUCGUUGUUUGAGAGCUGCAUAUGAUGGAUUUUUCAAAUAAACUUAUUUGAGAGAUAUUUUUGUAAAGCUCAGUUUGUACUAUGUCUGUGUGAAAUUUGUUUCUUUAUGAAAGGUUAUUAUGAGAUAAUUUAUCUUCAAUUUUGAUAUGAAAGUGUGUGCAACUAAUGAUGAUUUUGGUAUAAAAUUUUGGUAGAGACUUCUUAUUGUCUUAUAGGUUCAUAUUGAGAAUCGACAAGAUAGAAUUUCAACUUGGAUAUGUGAUCAUGAUUUUAGCCAUUUGGAGUGCACAAAAGGGAGUAAGAGUAUCAUGAAAUACUUUGUGAUUAUAGUUAAAUUUAUUAAAUGAAUUAAUUGUUAUAUUGUUGUUCAUAAGUGGUAGCAGGUGUACUCAAAGUUUCAUGGAUUUGAGAGGUACUCUUAAUCAUAAGAUUUAAUGUAUGAUGCUUUUCCGUUAUACUUAAAUGUAUACCAAUGCGUAUUUAAUUUCCAAUUAUACUGAGGUGAAAUCCACUAAUCAUUUGUGUGCAAGAUUGUGUAGGAAAUAUUUCCAAAAACAUGCAUGUUUAGAGCGCGUUAAAAUGGAGAACAAAGACAUGACCUACAUUAUAUAUGCCUUGUGAAGGCUAGUCUUGAUAUGCAUGCCUCGUGGAGGAGGCUAUUAAGGCAAAAUGUUGAGGGGGAUGUGCUUAAGCCCAUAAGGGAAUCACUUAGGGAGGUAACCCAACUUCUGUGAUUGGAGAUCCCAUGAAGGAAGUUCAAUGUGGUAGAAACAAUUCAUACUGCGUGACUCAUAUAGCACUCAUAAAAUUAUGGAGAUAUCCUUGAGAUAUUCUUCUGCUCAUCCCUAAGGCAAAAGUUCUAUUUUAUGUGACGUUAUGAAGGGAUUUAUCCCUGAAUGAGUUUCGAGGCGGGCAAACUCUCGCAGGGUGCAGGUCACAUGUACUUUUGGAGAACUCACCUAAGUGAGAGACGUCGUGAGGCCACGACUGUGAGAAUUGGGCUAUUCUCUAGUAACUCUCAUGAGAAUCAAGAUUAGUGCAUGGUCAUAAAUAGAGCUACCCCGCAUCCAAGUCUCAACCAAUACUAUGUGUGGGAUAUGUUGAAGUUUGGUCAAAGGUGCCGAGUUCAAUACUUUGUACACUCAGGUUCCUCAAAUGGAGACUAUCAUCACUAAGUGAAGGUUCAAGCCCGGAAGGCACCUACACCUAUUACAUAGUAUUAUAUUGCCCGUAUAUAUUAUAUAUUUUUCACUUUUUUUUGUCACGGUAAAAUUUUGAAAACGGAUUGUUGGAAUUUUAAAAAGGUUUUAAAAUUUAACCGUUUUAUUUAAUUAUUUUGGCUGUUUUAUUUUAUUUUAUUUAUUGUGGGGGUUAUAAAUAUUUAAUAUUCAUGUUUUAUUUUUGUAUUGAAUGCCUUAAUUUUCUGGUUGUUGAACUUUUCUAGUUGGUGAAGGUUAUAUGUUUUUGGAUGUCUAUAAAAGGCCACUCCUCAUUCACAUUUGAAAAAAUCACACACUAUCAGAAUAUCAUAUACCACAUUCUGAUUCUCUCCUUUUCUACUUUUACAUAUAUUCUAUACUUUAUAUUAUUAUUAUUUUGGGCAAUGGUUAUGUGACUUGGAUACCUAUAUCUGUUUAUGAACGUGCUCAUAGCGGAUCUUGAGUUUGUGUACAAAGGGUCGUAUCUUGGAGUCUUGUAGAUCGUCAGUACCUGCACGUGGGAGACUACAAAGGCUUUAGGAUAACGUCUUUGAUGUGCUUCACCGUACCAAACUCACCUUCUUACUAAUUAUUUAUUUUCCUUUUACUUACCUAUUAUUUUGUUUUCUUCAAUUUCAUUAUACCUUCAAAGCUUUCCAAUUUGUUUAUAUGUUAUUUAUAAUAUAAAUAUUUGUAUUUGUUUUAACGGAAAUAAGGAAAACUUAUUAUUUUACACAACAUAAGCUUGUAGGUGGUAGUCAUAGGGGAAUGGGGGAAGAAGAUAUCAUCGGGGGAAGAGGGAGAGCGCACAGGAGGAGAGAGAGAGAGAGAGAGAGAGAGAGAGAGAGAGAGAGAGAGAGAGAGAGAGAGAGAGAGAGAGAGAGAAUUAUGAAUUUCUCAAUUUGCCCUUAAUUUUGACAGAAAAUUUAACUAAGUUGACGGAAAGACCAAUGAUGCAACAUGAUAUCUAAUUGAAACACCACCGUAACAAUUUAACAAUAUGAGGGUCGAAAAGUAAAAUUGGGUCUUAAUCCAGGGACCAUUGUUAUAAUUUUGCCAAAAAACUAUUUGCGGUAGGUUCCACUUCUUGUUUGACUGGUCUAGAUAUGCUUGUUUUACAAGGAUAUUUUCUUUUGGCAAAAAGAAAAAGAAAAAAGAGAGAGGAUAUUUUCUAAGAGUGGAUGAUAUUUUUCUCCAGUAAAAAGGAUAUGAUUCCGCAUAUUGAUGAUAUUUUCUCAAGUCCUUGGUGAAUCUGAUUCCUCAUUUGACCCAAAAGGACAAUUAAUAAUUGAAGAUGAAUCUACAUCUAUAUCAACCAGGGAUUUAUUAAUUUAAAACAAAAUUAUUUUAUACAUAUCAUUUAAUCGUUGAAUAAUGCUAUUCUUACCACAUUUGUAUAUCACAUUCUCAUACCAACUUAUGUGGCAAAUGAAGUGGACAUCCACAUUAAAUAAAUUUGUUUAACAUUUUCUUUUCUUUUAUGACUUAUUAACACUUUAAAAACACUGUUAAUUAAAAUUUCUUUAUUAAAAUAUACUUCAUUGAUUUAAUUGAUGUGGCAUAUGAUAUGAACAUGCCACCACAUGUGGUAUAAAAAUAUGAGAUAAAAUGUGAUAAGUGCAGCAUUACUCUUUGAUGGUUUGGUUAGCAAAACAAUAUUAUUGUAUUAUAUAUAGACAGUCCCGAUCUCUUGGACCACAGGAGUCCAAGAGAUUGUGGUCACCCACCGUUGGAUAUUAAUCCAAUGGUUCAAAAAAGUUUUCUAAAAGAAGUGCAAGAGUGAGUGAACCGUUGAAUUUACAUCCAACGGUGAGUGACCACAAAUCUCUUGGACCCCUGUAGUCCAAGAAAUCAUGACUGUAUAUAUAGAAUGAUAAUCUACAAAUCCUCGGUUUGGUGGAAUAUCAUCACACACUUUUCGAGUGUAUUUAAGGUCACAUACAUAAUUCCUAUAUAUGAUUUGGAAUUUUGUAAUACAUUUGUUAGGAUUGAAACAAGCACAAGAUAAAUAAAUAAAAUAAAUAAAAAACACUAUUGCCAUUUCCCUAGCACGAUCAAGUUGAAUUAAUGUCCAGUCAUCCAUUUCUCUUUAGUAUAUCCUAAAUCCUGAAUUGUACAAUAGAUUAUGCAAAUAUUAAAACCAAAGAGAUAUUAUAGAUCGAGAAUACAUGCACGAAAUACGUAUGUAGGUACGUACAUAUUCUAUUAAUUACAAGCUUAUCAUGAGGACGGGACAACUCGCUGGCAUAUUGACUGGCGGGAACUUUCACAGGGUCAAUCUUUGUUGGAUAGCCACGGAAGUCAUGUCCAUUGGAAAUCCAAGAUAAGAAAAAAAAGAAAAAAGAAAAAGAUACACGCUGCGCAGAUAUAUAGGGUAUAUCUAGUAGUUAAAAGGAUCACUAGGAGGAGAGGAAGAAAGGCUGACUAUGUUUCUGGGUAUUUCUAGGUAAUUGACACUUCCAUCGUCUUUACAGGCCCGUAGAUCUUUCGUGCCUCAGUGCUAGUAAGAACGCCACCUUUUAUCUGAUGAGGCUUCUGAGCUGGAACUUCCACCGUCUUUACCUGUUGAGGAGGAGGAGGAGGAACAUGAUUUUGAUCCACCUUGGGGUAUGGAUAAUAUUGUACCUGUUGAGGAUGAGGAGGAGGAGGAGGCCUUACGGUGGCAGUCUUGGUGGAGUUUUCUAUUAUGUGUUGGAAUUCUGAUACCUGUGCUGGGAAGUAUGAAACUUCUUCUGCAGGGUAGACAUGAUCGUAUAGCACGGGAUAUGGGUGCCUGAUAUGAUAAAACACUUUAUCCUCUCUCGUGGUCAUAAAGCCUUGAUAAUUAGCCAUGCUAACUUAAUUAAAAGCUGAGAAUUGAAGUAGAACUGGGGAAGCUAGAGCUAGCUAGGUUUGCCUUGCCUUACUGAAGCAAAGUUUAAGAGCGCAAGCAACACUAAAUAGGUGUGAGAGUCACAGAAGCUCACAAGUGGGCUUUCUGAUCAAUCAGGAUCGAUCUUGUGAUUUUCUUUUGAUGCUUCCCUUUUUCCUUAUGAGCGCAAGCAACAUUAUACAGGCUUCAUGUUUUGCUUUUUUAGGUUUUUGUGGGUUUUUACUUAUGAGGGCGUUUGAGUAAUUUUAGGUGAGUUUUUUUGCUAUUUUUAAAAGUUUUUAUAAAAAUUGACAUUUAUGAAAGUAGGGGGUAAAUUUUGGCUAUUUUUGAUAAAAACUCACGUGGAACUCCACGUCAAUUAAAAAUGGGUCCCACAAAUGCCAAGUAGGCAAAUAACGGAUUUUCUGACGAUCUCGCUAAUGGAGGGGGCAAUUUGUAGCUUUCCGUGAUGUUGAGUAUGUACUCAUAAAUGUCUCCAAAAUCGGGUGUAAACUCGUAAAUGACCCUAUAAAUUGGGGGGAUUUACUGUAAUUUACCCAAAAAGAAAAGCUAGUAAUUCUCGUAGCCGAUUUUGAUAGAAAUAACUAAAUGCUUUAAUUGUCAUUUUCAGGAAAUAGUAUUUUAAAUAAAUGCGCUUCUAGCAACCAACAAAUAUAAUAAGACAUUACAUAAGAAUAUUGUUCUUAUAAGUAAUUCAUGGCUUGUUUCGUAAGUCUUUUUUUUUUAAAAAAAAAAAUUUUAAAAAAAAAAAAUCAAUGGAGGAGGGACGGGAGUGCUUUCUAACAGUCUUGGUUGAGAGCUAGUUUGUGACUUGUUUUGUAAGUUGGGUCCUUGAAAGAUGGAUGGUGGGAAGUUUAAUUAGUAAUUUCGAGAAAUUCCUAUAACUUUGAGGAGUUCCAUUCUUGUGAUAUUGUAUGUUUAAUUUUAAAUAAGUUGAGUUCAAGCAAAUCCAUGCAUGGCAAGCUCGAAUUUGAUAAGGAUAAUGAAAGUGAUAUAUAUAUAGCUUUCGAAAAAGAAAGAUCCAUAUUCAACCUACUAGGGUUUGUUGUCGCAAUUCCUGAAUUGGAGUAAGAAGAACAUAUUCAAAGAAAAAAAAAAGGGGGAGAAGAAAGAUCCUUGGGGAAAUGGGAAGGUAUUAAUUCCGUGCAUAACUUGGUAGAAUUUCACCUUCACCAUUGACACAAUGAGUUAGAAUCUUUUUUUCUUGGUUCAAAUUUCGGGAAGGAAUAUUAAAAGAAAGCUCAAUAAUUGUACGUAUAAGUUCCUCUUUACUUUUGACUAUUUUGGGAUUUUUUUUAUUCAAUAACGCUAUGUGCAUUAAUUUAUUUACCAACUUUUUAAAACCAAGUUACCAACACACGUGGCACAUGACAUGACAACCUAUGUCAUCUGUCAUCUCAUUUAUUUUAACUACAUAUUUUGUUCCUAAGAAAAGAAUUUCACCCAGCAAAAAUGAAAAAAAAAUAAAACGAUUUUAGAUUUAGCGUUAAACUCAUCUCUUUCGUCCUUCUGUAUUCCCCUCUGAAAACCCAAGAAAUUGAACAGUGCCUCCAAUUACGUAUCAAAGCAUGGGAUUGCUGGUCCAACCAGGAAAAAAAAAAAAAAAAAAAAAAGCCAUAUGCAGUCAAUUAAGCUUAUGGCUAUUGUAGGAGGAUGUGCAUAUAUAUACACGUGGGCGGAGCCAAUGAAGGCUCAAGUGGUCAUGUGACCCUUCUCAUGUUAAGCAUAUUUGAUCUUUUUACAUGUUUGUACUUGAUUUUUUUAUACAAUAUUUUUGAAAUUUGACCCUUCUCACCAUCUUACCUUGCAAAAAAACUACAAAAAUAAAGAUGAAAACUUUUGUCUCCCAUAUCCCUAACUUAUGCUACUUACCCUUUUAAUUAUUUCUUUAUUUGUAAUAACUUAAUAAUUAUUAACCUAAUUACCUAAAACUAAAAGCAUGACAUCUUACCCUAAAAAAAAAACUCAAAAGAUGACAAUUCAAAGUGAAGAUGGACAACCCACUACUACAAAAAAGCAAAAAGACGACGGUAAAUCACCGUCGUGUAUUUGGUUUUUCAAUGGUCGUGGAAUCCACCGUCAUCUUUUCCCUCAUAAACCACGACGCUAAAUAACCGUCGUUGUUAAACAAUACAACGUCAUCAAAAAAUACAAAACGACGUCUUUGUACUGCAAAAAGAUCUAAAAAAAGCAAUCGAGGAUGAUAAUAGACGACCAAUUCUCUAAAAAGACCGUCGUUAAAAAGGGAAAAUAUGACACAUAUUAAGAGAACAAGGCCGCAAGAUAGACAUACAACGACGACAAUAAAAAUACGCCGACGUUAAAUAUAAUUUUCACGACAAUAAAAAAUAUGACGUCUUUAAAUACAUUAGAAGACGACGUUAUUGAUACCUACUACGUCGCACCAUAUAAACACCAACCGUCGUACAAUUAAUUUUCCACUUCGAUUUUUCGAUAAAAGAUGANNNNNNNNNNNNNNNNNNNNNNNNNNNNNNNNNNNNNNNNNNNNNNNNNNNNNNNNNNNNNNNNNNNNNNNNNNNNNNNNNNNNNNNNNNNNNNNNNNNNNNNNNNNNNNNNNNNNNNNNNNNNNNNNNNNNNNNNNNNNNNNNNNNNNNNNNNNNNNNNNNNNNNNNNNNNNNNNNNNNNNNNNNNNNNNNNNNNNNNNNNNNNNNNNNNNNNNNNNNNNNNNNNNNNNNNNNNNNNNNNNNNNNNNNNNNNNNNNNNNNNNNNNNNNNNNNNNNNNNNNNNNNNNNNNNNNNNNNNNNNNNNNNNNNNNNNNAAUAUUAGACGUUGUUAAAUACAACAACGUCGGAAAACAAUAAAAACAGACGUGUUUAGUCUGCUAAAGUUCUACAACGUCUCUUAUUUACAAAAAACCGUCGUGAAAUAAAUUUUCCACUUCGAUUUUAUCUAAAAAAGAUGACGUGGAAAUAGUUGUCAGUGUCAUUAUUUACGACGUAUACAUUUAUAUAGUCGACGUUGUAUUUAUAUGUAUUCAUUACUCACGACGCACUUAAUAAUAUAGACGACGUUGAACGUCUAAACAACGUCGGUUCCAAAUAAAUGAGAGCCGUAUUACAGAACAUAUAGACGGCGUAGAUUAUGAUGGGAGCCGUAUUACAAAUAACGUCGUUUAAUUGUUAUUAGACGGCGGUUAUAAUGAAUUUCCGUCGGAAUUAAUUUCGUUCCUCUUCGUUUAUAAAAGAACUUGCGACCUGGAAAAUGUAUGAUGACGUCGUAUUUUUUAACGUUCAGAUUAUAUAUCUCGUUUUUUAGACGUCGGUAUUAUGGGAUUGGAGUCGUGUUAUUUUGAAUUACAUGGCGGUUCUUUAUCCUUCACCGACGUGAUAUCCUGAAUAAUUGCUUCACAAUAGCGUCGUGGUUCUUCAUUGUUACGUUGCUUUAAGACGUCGGUAAAUAUGCUGAAUAACUGAUUCACAAUAACGUCGUGUUUUAUUUGAACGUAGAAAGUGAAGAAAUCACAUUACAAUAUAUUACAAAAUUAAUGUCAUACACUGCCAAUUACAUAAGCAUCAUUCAAUCCAUAUAUCUUCACACCCAUCUCGAAUAUUUUGACCGCCUAACUCACCUACCAGUUCAUCAAAUGUGUCAACAUUUGGCAUCCCUCUAGUAAAUGGCUCACACUCAAUUAUCACAUCACCUAAUACUUCAUCACCAAUAACAUCAUUAUAUUCUCUACUAGGCAUUGAUAACACUACCGACCAACCACGAUGCAUCGGGUCGUCAACAAAAAAUAUUUGUUUGACUUGAGAAGCCAAAACAAAUUGGUCAUUCCUAUGUCCAAUUUUACUCAAAUCUACAAGGGUAAAUCCAAGUUCGUCGACUACAAGACCAGAACUAUCUAUCCAAUCACACCUAAAGACUGGGAUUGUAAACUUUUGGUAGUCAAGGUCCCAAAUUUCUUGAAUGACACCAUAGAAACCCAUAUUUGAGAGAAUUGGGUUUUUAUCCUUGGCACUAGCAACUUGCAUGGUAUGUGCAAGUAAAUAAACUCCACUAUUUUGAGUUGUCCGCACAUCAUCUUGUGCCUUGAUAUUGAAUUUAAUACCUUUAAUAAGAUAGCUCCUAUAUAAUGGCACUGACAUGUUUGGACCAGCUGCUAGCCACCUUAAAUUUUCUGAUACGCCAUGAUUGUCUUCCUCAAGUUCACUUUGAACCUGCAAAUUAAUCAUAUCUUAAUUCAUCCUAACAUAUAAAUAAGAAGAAAAUUAAAAGAGAAAUACGUUAUUCAACAACAUAUACCUUGAAGCGUAGCCAUUGAAUGAAAGUGCUAUUGUGCUUAUCCUGCAGCCACUUUGUUCUCUUUCUAAAUUUUGGAUAAGCAGUCUUGAUGUGGAUCAUAUGUUGCCUACAUGACACGAAAAAUUCAAGCAUUACGGUCCCAAAUAUAUAAGAUAAACAUAAGAAAUAAUUUUAAAUGGAAACUUAAAGAAUAAAACUCAUACGUACUCGAUAUAAGGUAGGACUUCCUCCGUAUUCUCCAAGACAUAUAGAUGUGCUUGAUUCAACAGGUCCUGAUCAACUACGCUCACUGUGCAACCUGAUAAUGGCUUUGAAACUCCCAUCUUUUGGCUUGAAGGCACUCCAACUGUACUAACAUCAGAUAAAUGCUGAGUACAAAACUCUACCGCUUCUUCAGCUAUAUACCGCUCAGCAAUGCAACCUUCGGGACGAGUACGAUUCUGAACAUACCCCUUCAGCACUUUCAUAUAUCUUUCAAACGGAUACAUCCACCUAAAAUAUACUGGCCCACAUAGACGAACUUCUCUGACAAGAUGUACUACUAGAUGAACCAUGAUAUCAAAGAAUGAAGGGGGAAAGUACUUCUCAAGCAAACACAGAGUAACUACUACAUCUUCUUCCAACUUAUCUAGCUUGGAAACAUCAACAGUCUUUGCACAUAUAGCAUUGAAGAAGAAGCACAAACGAGUUAUUGCAUACCUUGCAGGCUUCUCCAAAACAGAACGAAUUGCCACAGGGAGCAAUUGUUGCAUUAAGGUAUGACAAUCAUGUGAUUUAAGGCCAAGAAGUCUUGAAUCUUGUACAGAUACAAGAUUUUUAAUAUUUGAAGAAUAACCUUCAGGGACCUUCAUACCAUAGAAAGAAUUGCAAACCUCUCUCUUCUCUGCUCUUGACAAAUUCCAAGGCCCAGGAGGCAAACGAGUACGUCUUUCUCCAUACUCGGGUUGCAAAUCAGUUUUGACCCCCAUGUUCAAUAAAUCUAAUCGAGCAGCAAUCCCAUCUUUAUUUUUUCCAGGGAUCUCCAGCAAUGUACCAAUGAUACUAUCGCAAACAUUCUUCUCAAUGUGCAUAACAUCUAGGGCAUGCCUCACAGGAAGGUAUUUCCAAUACUCGAGAUCAAAGAAUAUUGAUUUCUUCUUCCAACAAACUCUGUCACCAUUUUCAACCAUAUGCAGCACUUCUUCUCCGGUUAAUGGCUCUGGAGGUAUGCCAUAUUCAGGUUUCCCAUUAAAAGCUGCACGUUGCCUCCUAUAUGGAUGAUUGAUUGGUAACCAUUUUCUAUGCCCAAUGUAACAAAUUUUGUGGCCAUUUUUCAACCUGUGACUAGGUGUAUCAUCGCCGCAUAUUGGACAAGCUUUAUAUCCUUUAACAACACAACCAGAUAAGUUUCCAUAGGCGGGGAAAUCAUUAAUUGUCCACAUUAAUGCAGCUCUGAGUGUAAAGUAUUCUCCAUUAUGUGCAUCAUACACUCCUCUAAUCCCAACCCACAAGGAUUUUAAAUCAUCAAUCAAAGGCUCCAAGUAGACGUCUAUAUCAUUUCCGGGUUGUUUAGGACCGGAAAUCAAUAAGGUUAACAUCAUGAACUUUCGUUUCAUGCACAGCCAUGGAGGGAGAUUAUAUGUAACUAAGAUAACCGGCCAACAACUAUAUCUGCUACUUAGAGAACUGUGGGGAUUGAAUCCAUCAGAUGAAAGAGCCAAUCUCAAGUUUCUCGGCUCAUUACCAAACUCAGGCCAUUUAUCAUCAAGAAGUUUCCAAGACGGGGAAUCCGCCGGAUGAGACAUCUGACCGUCAAUUGAUUUUCUAGCAACAUGCCACCAAGUCAAACUCUUAGCUGUCUCAUGUGAUUGAAACAUCCUUUUAAACCUUGGAAUUGGGGGAAAAUACCACACCACCUUCGCUGGCACACCCUCUUUCAAGAUUGCAUCUUUGCCUUCCUUCCACCUUGAGAUACCACAAGUAGGACAAUUAGUUGAAUCCUCAUACUCCUUCCUAUACAAGAUGCAAUCAUUGGGGCAUGCGUGCAUUUUCUCAUAACUCAGCCCCAAUGCACACAAAGUCUUUUUAGCCUCAUACAUGGAGGUUGGUAUUGUAUUUCCUUCUGGAAGCAAAUCGCCUUGAAGUAUCAAUAAUUCUGUAAAACAGACAUCACUCAUCCCAUGUUUUGCCUUCAAAUUAUACAACUUCACUAAUGCCGAUAACUUCGUGUACUUUCUACAACCAGGGUACACUGGUUGAUCUCCAUCCCCAAUCACAUUGGCAAACUCAUACGGAUCCGAACCAAAAUCACCAAAAUCAUUAUCAUCCAUAUCAAUUUCUUCAGACACAAAACUGUACCUACUAUGACCAUCAUCUUCUUCAACAUUUCUGCUAGCAUUAGUAGUUGCUUCCCAAGGUUCUCCGCGAAAUGUCCAAUUCUUAUAGCUUUGGUCAAUUCCAUUAAAGUAUAAGUGAUCCCUUAUAAUUCCAACCCCAAACAACUUCAAAUUAACACAUUUAACACAUGGACAACGGAUAUGUGUUGUAGUUAGAAGAUUUUCUACAGCAAAGUUCAAAAAUGCUUCCACCCCAAACUCAUAUGCCUUCGAUCUUCUAUCCGAGUGCAUCCAUGACUUAUCCAUCUCCGACACUAUAACCUAUUAUCUAUAAUAAAGUGAAAAUACAGGCAAUGACCAUCACUAUAGCAGAUUAUACAAUGAUCUAAUCGCAAGUAAUAAACAACAGAGACGACGGGUUUUAAUCAAAAACAGACGUAUUUGGCAUAUAUAGACGACGGAUUUUCAACAGACGUCGUCUAUUAUACGUAAUACAAACGACGGUUUAUGAAAAAACCGUCGUGUAUAAGUAAUACAACGACGGUAGUUUAAAAACACCGUCGUGUAAUCGUCGUCGUACGCCUUAAAAUUCGUCGUGUCUCAGUUUAUUUUCAAGAACACAAAACCCAUUAAGAACACAACAUAUAUAUGAAACCAAGCAAGAAACCAACAUAUACAUGAAACCAAGCAUGAAAACAAUAAAUCCAUUCCCAAUUCAACAUAACAUAGGGUGAUUAAAAGAUACGACAAAAUUAAAUCCAUUCCCAAUUCAACAUAACAGAUAAUGUAAUCCAUGAACCCAUUAAACAGAAAAUCCAUGAACCCAUACCUAUAAGCAUUGGUGCACUUUGCACCUUCUCCAGAGCGGAAAAUGACAAGAUCAAAUAAAGGUGUCCUUUUGCUGGAAAUCAUUUGGAAGUUGGUGAUGUGUCUUUUUGUGUUGAUUUCCAGCAAAAGUACACCUUUAUUUGAUCUUGUCAUGAACCCAUUAAACAGAAAAUCCAUGAACCCAUACCUAUAAGCACAUUAUUAACAGAUCGCAAAGCAUAUACCUAAAACCCUUUAACAAAACAACCUAAUAUCAUUCAAUGAAUUUACAAGGGGAAGAUAGGGUUUGUACUUACAGGUUGGACGAGCUCACAGAUUCGACGAGCCUGGAGAGUGCAACUUUUAAUUAGAGCAGAAGUGAGAGAGCGAAAUGUUAUGUCGCGUGAAAUCUGAAAUUUUAGGUUUCAGGGAUCAAAGUAUAAGACUAAGAGCCAAAUCUAAAAAAAUUUAGGUCGCGCGAAAAUUUUUAGAGCGCGCGCGUUAUAAAACGUCGAAAGAAAAACCAAGGCGAAAGUUCUACAAGUACCGACGUAAAUUUAAUAUUCCACGACGGAAACUUCAUUUUUCGGAUUAAGAACGUAAGGCCGUUCAUUUUUCGGAUUAAUUUUAAAUUUAUUUUGAAUUUUUUAUAUAACGACGACUGAAAAACCACGUCGGUGUUAAGAAAUUAAAGACGUUGUAAAUUAUAUAAACCGACUUACAUAUUAAAAUAACGUUGUUUAAAGCGUAAACCAUGUCGUAUGUUUUACUGUACGACGUAAAAUAUGUAUUCCACGACCCAACCACCGUCGUUAAAAAUUAAUACACUAAACCCAUAAAAUUAAAUUAUACAAUUUAAAAAAUUAAGUUUAUAAAAGGUUUUAUGGUUUUAAAGCCUAACAUAUAACAUAGACUACCCAAAAAUUAUACUUUAAAAAUAAACCCCAAUAAAUAACAACACUAAUCUCUAAACCCUAGACUCUAAACCCUAAACCAUUAAACUAGAAGUGAUUUUAUGACUCAUCAAAACAAUUUUGUUUUGGAUGGUCAUUUUAAAUUUUUGUUAUUCAAAAUGAAUUUUUUCAAGGUUUAUGUGGAAGAAAAUAUAUCAAUGACUUCAUAGGAGUUGACUUUUCAAUUUUCUGAUUUAUUUUAUAUUUAUUUUGAAUAUUUUGAUAUAAAAAUAAUAAAAUAUUCUUACCAUACAACAAACCACGUCGGUGUUAAAUAAAUUGUAGACGUUGUAAAUUGUAAUAGACUACUAAGUCGUUAAAAUGACGUCGUUAAAAUGAGAAACCACGUCGGUGUUAAGAAAUUAAAAACGUUGUAAAUUAUAUAAACCGACUUACAUAUUAAAAUGACGUCGUUUAAAGCGUAAACCAUGUCGUAUGUUUUACUGUACGACGUAAAAUAUGUAUUCCACGACCCAACCACCGUCGUUAAAAAUUAAUACCCUAAACCCAUAAAAUUAAAUUAUACAAUUUAAAAAAUUAAGUUUAUAAAAGGUUUUAUGGUUUUAAAGCCUAACAUAUACCCUAGACUACCCAAAAAUUAUACUUUAAAAAUAAACCCCAAUAAAUAACAACCCUAAUCUCUAAACCCUAGACUCUAAACCCUAAACCAUAAAACUAGAAGUGAUUUUAUGACUCAUCAAAACAAUUUUGUUUUGGAUGGUCAUUUUAAAUUUUUGUUAUUCAAAAUGAAUUUUUUCAAGGUUUAUGUGGAAGAAAAUAUAUCAAUGACUUCAUAGGAGUUGACUUUUCAAUUUUCUGAUUUAUUUUAUAUUUAUUUUGAAUAUUUUGAUAUAAAAAUAAUAAAAUAUUCUUACCAUACAACAAACCACGUCGGUGUUAAAUAAAUUGUAGACGUUGUAAAUUGUAAUAGACUACUAAGUCGUUAAAAUGACGUCGUUAAAAUGAGAAACCAUGGCGGCUAUUUAACUAUACGACGUAAAAUAUAUAUUUUACGACUUAACCGCAGUCGUUACAUAAACGUCGUCGAUUAUACCCUGAACCCUUAAGAAAUUGAAGAUAUUGUAAACCAUUAACGACUCAAUUGUUCAAAGAACGUCGUCUAACUAUUUUUUUACGUCGUAUUUGUUUAAAACACGCAACAACAAAAUACGACGGUUAUUGACUUUAUUAGGUCGUUGGAAAAGUAUUACACGUCGGUUAAGCAAUUUGUAUGUUUGUUUUUUUUUUAAUUUAAGAAAACCUCAACAAAUUUUUACAUUACAUAUUAUAGAGAAAAUUGGUACAUUAUACAUAAAUAUCAAGUGUUCAAUAAUUGCCCUGUUUAAUAAUUUGGAAAACAAACUCUGCCCAUUCAUUCCGGACUUCAUCAAUGGCUUCUUGGGGGUAUGAAGCUUCCUGGUUUCCCUUGGCAUACUGCAUAAACAAUGACUAUUAGGGUUUAUAAAUAAAAAGAAAUUCAAUCACAGACGACGAUAUUUUUCAUAACCGACGUAGUAUAUCCAUUCAACGACGUUAAUUUUACACGACCGUCGUUGAUAAUACAAAAAACGACGUGAAAUGUAUGAAGGUAAUUUCUUCUUACCUUAUUCUCAAACCCCAAGGAAGGAUCCAUGAUGAUGUCCCUCAUGAAGCGCAUUACAUAAUACCCGCAUUCGACAUUGCUGGGUUGCUUUGGUGUGCCUGAGAGAGUUUUCCAAAUUACAUUUUUACGUCCUGCUCGGGCUAUGUGGGUAUUAUAUAUUUUUAAAGCACUGUUCACGAUGUUUUUGGCCUCUUCAUCGACCACACGAUUUCCUGGCAGAGGAUCCAGAAAAUAGACGGUUUCUCUCUUUGCUCUUACAAUCAGCAAAAUCCAAUGACGGCUGCACAAAAUUAAUAUAAAAACGACGGUUAUUUACAAAAACGACGUAUUAUAGUAUUUCACACGACGAAGUAAAGUAGCUAACGACGACAUUAUAUAUUUAUCACGACGAUAAAUAAAUACCGACGUGGUUAGUAGUUUCAAACGACUAAAUAAAAUAAAACACCGACGUGGUUAGUUUAUAAGCUGUCAUUUAUUGAAAAUCAUAAAAACAAAAUCCUAAGGAGACUAACCCUGGAUUGUAAGGCAUCAUGAAAAUCUGUUCACCGUCUGUCUUCUGAAGUCGAGCUGCUACGAGUCGUGAUCUUUCAGUUAUUGUGCCAGAGUUGGCACUAACUGUAGCAGGGUCGAUAAAGCCAACCAUACUGCACAUAUUGGCUUUUUUCAAAACAUCGUGUAAGUACCUAAACAAAUAAAAUAAUAUAAACAAGUCAGCACACAAAACACGACGGUUAUGUAUAAAAAAACGACGUAUUAUAAUAUUUCACACGACGUACUGAAAUAGAUGAGGACGUUAUAAUAUAUUUAUCACGACGGUUGUUAGUUAAGACGACGUGGUUAGUUAGUUAAGACGACGCAAUAUAUAAACCAACGAGUUAUUAUUUUAGAAGUACAAACCUCAUAUAUACAGCCAAUACAGUAGCUCCAAUUUCUUCCAUGCCUGCAAAUUGUGUAAUAUCUUCAGGCAGGAGGAAGGUAUCGCGCUCACCACCAAACACCUCCUUAUCAAUUGUAAAUUGGACUGUCUUAUCCUCAGGCAGGAGUGUCGUUUCCACAAAACGACAAAGGGUUUUUAAAGAAGAUGGCGCCUCCAUUUUUGAAUAAGCACCAACUUCAAUAACCUGUUUAAAGAAAUAAAAAAAAUGACGUGGUAAUUCAAUAAAGACGACGGUUUAAGGAAUAAAACGUCGUUUUAAAAGUAUUUAAACGACGGUGAAAAAAUUGUCGUGGUAAUUUAAUAAAGACGACGGUUUUAUGAAUAAAGAGUCGUCUGAAACCAUUUAAACGACGGUGAAAAAACCGUCGUUUAAAUAUUUUAUUACGUCUUAAAAAAAUUCCGCCGUCUAAGUUUUAAACAAACGACGGAUUAAAUAAAAAUAUCGACGUCUGAAAUUUUGAAAAACAAAUAAAAAAGUUAUGUUAACAUACCUUGUCGUCAUGCUUUUCUUCAUCUUCUUUCUCCUUUUCUUCUUCCUUCUCUUCAUCUCUUUUUUCUUCUUCCUUCUCUUCAUAUCUUUUUUCUUCUUCCUUCUCUUCAUCUCUCUUUUCUUCUUCCUUCUCUUCAUCUGGCUGAUGUUUCCCCAUUUUGGCAGUAUCAUCCUCCAAAUGUAGGGAUCUCACAUCACCUCCAGAGCAGCUAGCUUUGUCAGACAUUGGAUUUUUGGGGCUUUGGCUAAUUCUUGGUUUAAGCAUGCUUGGAUCAAAAUUGGGAAUUAAUUGGGAAAGCUGACUCAGGAAAUGCUCCCUCUCAGCCUCUACCAAUUGUUUUGUCCUAGCCUCCAUCCUUAAGGCCUCUUCCCUUGCCUUAGCCUCCAUCUUUUUAGUCUCUUCUUGAAGGAGAACUCUUAAACUCUCCUUCAAACGGUCGUCAAAGCUCACCCUCUGUGGUUUGGGCAAAUUGAAAUAUUGCCUUGGGGAAACACCAGCACCAACUCCCCUCACCCUGCCUGGAUGCUCGGGGCCCAAAGCCAUGGUCAGCACAUCAUUGCUGCCAUCUACUCUGACUUUGCCUUCCGAGACUUGUUUCUGCAAUUCAUCCUAAAACAAAGAUAAACAAAAAAACACACGACGGUUAUUUAUGUACAAACGACGUAUUAUAUAAUUUCACACGACGCAAUAACAUAUAAAAUGACGUUAUUAUAACUUAUCACGACGGUAGUUAUACCGACGUGGUUAUUUAUUUAAAACGACGAAAUGAAUAAACAACCGACGUCUUAUGCUAUAAUUAAAGAAAACAGAGUAGUGAUUCCUAUUUAGACCGUUAACGACGUUUUUACAAAAGUUUCGACGUGGUAAUAUCAUUCACACGACGCGAGAAUGAACCACCGACGUCGUAUGCUAUAAUAACAGAAAACAGAGUAGUGAUUCCUAUUUAGACCGUUAACGACGUUUUUAAAAACGUUUCGACGUGGUAAUAUCAUUCACACGACGAAAAAUAUAACAUACGACGUAAUAAGAAUAAUUCACAGUUUAAUAAAAAUUUAAAACAGAGUGAGUAGGCUUACAAUUAAUUUUGCCUUCUCUGCCACCUUUGGAUCAGGGAUGUUACCAUGUUUGUCCUGUCUAGCUCUCUUCCAUAAGGUAGAUCGAUCAAUUUCUACCCCAGGCAUGGUUUCCUCCAAUUGAUCCUCCAAUCCAGCAUAUCCUUUUCGAGACAAUCGAUGAUUGUACUCGAGUUUCUCCCUAAUCUGUGAAUGUUGAGAAUGCACAGACUGAAAAUCUUUGGAUAGCCUUGAAGCUACAAAGGCAUCCCAUUGUGCUUUCUCUAUAAAUUUAUAUGUUUCAGGGGGUUGGCUUAAUUUCUCCCUGUCAUUGGUGUAUGGAAGGAUAUAAUGCCUCGUUAGUGUAGACUUGAAAUCCUUCCAUUUUUUGGCAGCAGAAGAUAAAACAGAGGUCUUGCCCCCUUGGCCUACGACAAAAGCCAUGUCAACUGCUUCCCAAAUCUGCUCCUUUAUAUCCUUUGGGAUUUGGGACCAUUUCUUGUCCACAAGUGGGAUCCUGGAGCGUGCCAAGACACCAAUAUACGACUGCAUCUCAAUAUGUGCUUGGCCAACACCUUUCCCCCUUUUAUUGUACUCAACAAUUGGCCUCAGUUUCUGAAGCUUUCUCUUCACAACACGAGGCAUUGUGCUCAUACCUCGACCAGUCUUUGAAUCAUCAGAGAUUGUUGUCUGGCUGGUUGGUUCUGUCUCAGCAGAUGAUGAAGCAAACUUCAUCUUCUUCGAAGACUUCAUCUCCUUCGAAGACUUGUCUUGGGGAGCUACCACUCCAAGCUUCUUGGAGCCAGAAUCCUUAGUUUGUUGAUGAGAAACCAUUUUAACAGACAAAACUGCAAGUGAAAAUAUUUCAGGAAAACAUUAAGAACACAAACGACGGUAUUAAAAAAAUACGACGUAUGAUAUGAUUUUAGACGACGCAAUGAAAUAAUCUCAGACGUAAUAAAUGUUUAAAACCAUUAUUUAUAUAACGUCGUGGUAAAUAUGUUCACACGACGUCAAUAGUAAUACACCGUCGUGGUAAAACUAUUAUUUAUAUAACGUCGUGGUAUUUAUGUUCAUACGACGUCAAUAGUAAUACACCGUCGUGGUAUUAACAUUCACACGACGUAAAACAAUAAGAUAUUUUUCGUCUAUAUUAGAUACCAACCCUAGUUUCUUUUUCUUUAUAUUUUAUCAAAUAAGGGAAAAACAAAAACCAUUGUUCAGAGAAAUCAAACCUGCAAUUAAACAAGCAUAUAAAAAAAGACUAUUAUAUUAAAAACAACUUUGUCAAUUUUCAGACGACGCUAGAACAACUGACGAACCGUCGUGGUCUACCGUCGUCUUAUUUAGUUGAGGUAGUUGUCUUCAAAGUUGGAAACUUUCCCUCUUUGUCUGUAUAUUUUAUCAAACUUGGAAAGAAGUAAAAUGAUUUUGGCCAGAAAAAAGGUAAAAAGAUUUUUCAAACAAAAAACGUAUGAGCAUGCAAAACAGUAACCAAAAUAGUGAAAAUGAAAGCUUACCUUUUGCGUGCAAUGAAAGCAAGAGGAAGAUGAUCGAUGUUUAAAUUCAGAGACGACGAAGAAGACGAGAGGAAGACGAUGAGAAACUCUGACAAUGCUCUGACAAGGAAAAAAGACGAAAAGGUUUCUCUGGGAGAUUGAGAUUUUUAAUCGGGUUUGGAAACAGUGCAUGUGUAAGUCGAAAAGUUGCUUACAUAUAAAACCAUUUCAAAAAAAAAAUACGGCGGUGACAUUUAACUACGUCGUUUUUAACUAACACGACGCAAUAUUUUUAGUUCGACGUGGACUCAUUUCAUUUAACGUCGUUAUAUUUAAUAUAACCGACGUGGAUUUUAAUUUUUAAAUUAUGAAUAGAAUUUUUUUUCCCUUGAACUUUCAGUUUAUUUUUCAAUUACAGUGCGUUAUAAAUAGAGUUUUUUUUCCGGAGGAAAUUUAAAAUGAAGGAAAUUAAUGUUCUGGAAUUUAAAUAAAAUAAGAAUAUAAAAACAACGACUGUUUUUGUAUUACUGUCGUCGUUUUUCGUCGUCUUAAGUAAGACUAAGACGACGUAAUAUAAUUGUUUAGGGACGUUGAUUGUUGUUUUAAACGUCGUUAGGUAUAAUAUAACCGUCGUUGGAAAUUGUUUCUCUGAUUGCAAAUUUGCAACGACGUUAGGUAUAAUAUUUUUAGAUAAACAAACGCACACACAUCAUCAACUUCCAAAAAAUUGUCUCUCUGAUUUCAAAUCUGUGUCAUCUGUUAAGAUUAUGAUGUGGAACAGAGUUCCAUCUGGUAAGAUUUCGUAACCCUUGGGAUCUCAGAAAAAUCUGAUUAUGUCGGCGGUUUUUUAUAUAAACCGUCGUGGGUAUUUCAAUUCUUGUCAUUAAGUAUAUCUACCGACGUAGGAUAAGAAAAUCAAAGAAAAAAAUUGUUAACAAAAAUUCUUAUUAAGACGACGGUUUAAAUUAAAGGUACGACGUAUAAAAUGCAUAAAUACGACGUUAGAUUUUAUAGUACGAUUUAAAGAGAACGUCGUAGAACUAUACAAUAAUGACGUCGAUAUAUUUAUAUUUGUCGUCGUUGUAAAUUAAUUUAAUACGGCGAUAUUUUGUAUUUUACAGCCGUGGAUUUGUUUGUAAUUAGACAGCGUCUUAUACGAAAACCUCGUCGUGUUAUUUUAUAAGUAAAAACGGCGGCUUUUAUUGAAAUCGUCGUCUUUACUUUCUACGUCGGUCGAUUCAUAACUUCUGCCGUUCUUUGUUCGCUUUGAUUUUACACUGCGGAAAUCUGUUUCAAAUAGACGUCGGUUGUUUAAUUAAGUACGUCGUUGUUUUUGAACAGCCAUUUGAAUCUCCCUUGUUAGUUGUCUAAGGUGGUAUUAAACGACGGUGUUUUUAGAACCGUCGUCGUUUUAAAAACCACGACGGUUUUCACUGAGACCGUCGUUGUUUUCUGGUCGUCUUUUUCACUUUUUGUAGUAGUGAUAAGUCACAACGACCUGUAUAUCGAAUGAUAUAGAAAUUAAUACAAAGGAUUUUAUUAUCAGAUGAAUUUUUUAUUAUUUUGUGUUAAUCUUGUCAUUUGAGGUUGACCUCUCUUAAUAGAUUUUCUGACUCCGCCAUUAUAUAUAUAUAUAUAUAUAUAUUCAUGUCUAUUGUCACAGAUUUUUUAUUCAUUAUAUUAGAGCUUAAUCAUACCAUAGCAACUUUACGGCGUCUUUUAUAUCAUAUCAUCACCACCUUUUAAGUUAAAAUUGAUGUGUCGUAUCAUAUUUAAUGAUUACAUUGCUAACUAAAUCUUAUACAAGUAUAACUCAUCGAUGAAGAUAAAUAUCUCACUUUUGUAAGAAUUGUGACCCACGAAUGAUGAUGGGAAAUGAAUAUAAAACUAAUAGCAGAUACAUUCACUUGUACAAGGAUGAGAACAUGGCCGGUUUUAAGAUUUUGAAGGCCUUGUGCAAAAUUUAACUAGAGCUCUCACAUAAUCUAAUAUGAAAAUAAUAAUUAAAAAAAAGUUGCCAUGACUUAAUUUCAUAAAUCAAAUUUUUUUAUAAAUAAAAUUCAUCAUCAAUUAGCAUGUAAUAACAAUCGCAAAUCAAAUUCAUAAUUUUUUUGAUGUUUUCAUUUGAUAAAGUUAAAUAUUAGUAUGUUCGGUAAAAAAAAUAAGAGUUCAAGAGAAACAAGAAGGCAUGAUUUUUUAUUUUUUGGUUUAGUUUUGAGUGGAAGAAAGUAUGUUUUUUUAGGAGAAAGCGUGUGGGUGUGAUAUAUUAGUUUAGUUGGAUCUACCUCCACCAAAUAGACUUAUCAAUGUGUUGCACGCUAGAUUAUAUAUACACUUUUUAUAAUAUUAAUAUAUAAUAUAAAGUAAAAAAAAUUUCAGGGGUCCUAAAAAAUUAGGGACAUUGUGCAAUGGCACCACUUGCACCAUACCAGAGCAAUCUAUGGAUGAGAAGUUGCUGAGUCAGUCCAUGAAAAACCUUUAGAAUUAGGAGAGUAGUCAUUAUAGAGCAUCUAAUACUCUUUUUUUCUUUGUUAUUUUCUUGUUUUCUUUUCUUCCUUUUUUUUAAAAUUAUAAAUUGUACAAUAAUAAUAAAUUUCCGUGAAAAGUGAUUACAUAACAAACAAGAGAGAGUAUGCAGGAGGGACUAGCAUUAAAUAUAUUUUAUAUAGCAUAAGGCCAUCUCCAACUGAGAGGCAAAACCUAAAAUUUGGGAUUUUUAGCCCAAAUCCUUCUCCAACUUAUGUAUUUAGAGGGGGGAAAUUUGAGUUGACUGAAAAAUGGGGCGGAAUUUGGCCCCAGAUUCCAGUUCAGGCAGAAUUUUUGUGGGGCCCAAUUCGCAGCAAACAAGAUUCAUGUGGGGCCUCAUUUGAAGCAAAUGAUGGGAUGUUGCCCACUACCCCAAGUUGUUGGCCAUUUGUCAAAGCCUAGGCAACUUAAAAAUUGGACUUCUAUGGCUGCAUUUCAAAUGGGCUUCUUUCAAAUUUUUUUUUUCAAACCUAAAGGCUAGAAAUCAACGGCUGAUAUUAAAUUUUGGUUGGAUCAAAGGGAAAAAAAAAUCCAACAGCUGAAAUUUAAAUCCAAAGGUAAAAAUAUGUAAAAAUAUUAUUCUAAAUUGGAUGCAACCUCCAAACAUAUCCUAAACUCUAUAAAUACCCAUCAAUUUGUUAAUAAAAUUAUGUUUGUGAAAUUUCAAAAAUUUGUCAAAAUGUUCAAAAAAUAAAUCAUGGAUAUUCAAAAUUUAAUUAAAAAAAAUUAACCACAAAAACAAAAUAGAAUUAUAUUAUUCUUUAACAAUUUAAUAAAGUUGCGGACUCAAAUUAUGAGUCGGCAAGGCUGGAGGAAAAAACAAUUUGAGUCCUAAAAAUACAUGAAUAGUUGUAUUUUGGAGGGUGAAAUUUUGGGUUUGAGUCCUCUAGAGUUGGAGAUGACUUAAGAAGUGAUUUCUACAUAUAAUUAUAAGCGGAACAUAUAAAGAUUAGGCUAGCUAUCCAAACCACUUCUACAUCUGAGAUACAUAUAUUUGUUUAUUUUAUAUAAAAACCACCACAAAAAUAGAAUAAACAGUUCCGCAGAACAACAGUAAACUUCUAAUACUCAAAAAACACAUCAUUUAGCUUACAUAAUAGCUUACAUAUUUGAAAUAUGUAUUAGUAAUAUUGCAAAUUACAGAAGUGUCUUAUAAAGUAUUGAAUGUAUGGAAGAUUCUUUGGAGCUAAGGAUUUCGUGGCAGGUUGACCCAUGGAUAAGGUUGGUACAAAACACAUUAAUGAAAAAGAGGAAUAAGCACAAAUUGUGGGAGGUGAAGAUAUUUCUUUCUGGAGAGAGUGACAGGAAUAAAUAUCAUAGUUUAUCUGGGUUUUUUUUCGUUGUUUGAGAACUGCAUAUAAUGGAUUUUUCAAAUAAACUUAUUUGAGGGAUAUUUUUGUAAAGUUCAAUUUGUAUUGUAUAUAUUUGAACAAUUCACAGAUCAAAUUGUCUAUUUCAUAAAUUAUCUUUUUUAAAAAUCACACAAAUUGAGAGCUAGAUGUGACAAAUUAAUCUCUAAAUAAACUUAUUUGAGAGGUAUUUUGUAGAAUUCAAUUUGUAUUGUAUUUCAACAAUUUGAACCAUCUAUAUAUCAUAGAUGAUAUCUCUUUAAAAAAGCACCCCAAUUGAUUUUUUUUUUUAUAACCAUUCUGAUGUAGGACAAAUUAUGAGAGAGAGAGAGAGAGAGAGAGAGAGAGAGAGAGAGAGAGAGAGAGAGAGAGAGAGAGUUUAAAACACACGAUGGAGUAGUACUGAUAUUACAAGUAGGGAAUAAUUAGAAAGAUGUUGGAGUACAUACCAAAUAGACUUCAUUCACACACUAUACUAUAGUAUAGUAUUCAUACCAUAUAAUUAAUUAAGCCGCAGGCUUCCCUUAGUAAUAUAAUUAAACAGCUCUAUAUCUAAAGCGGUAGGAAGAUUAGCUUAUAACCAAAGGAUCAAUAGUAGCCAGGGUAUUGGUUCCAGUACAAAUACAUUCAUGAUCAUAUAAUUAACUAAUAAUAACGCGUAUUACGAUUGAUGACCGGGGUUGGCUUACUGGUGCGAGUAGAAUUCGUUCCAUAUAUUUCUGUGACACAUAUCCCACCAUAGAUUCGCACUGCUUCGUCAGGGCUGAUGACAGGCUUAUUGUAAUUAGGCCGUUGCAGCUUCUGUGGAGCUCCAUGAUUCUCCAUGUUGGCCGCCGCUGCUGCCGCCACUGCGCCUCCAUAUCGACGUUCUUGAUAAUCAUGAGAAGGUGUAGGAGAAGAGGAAACUUGAUUCCCCAUGUUAAUUACAACUUAAAACUGAUUACAAGUUUUGCUUUGAUUUGAAUUCCUUGGGGUCCAAGCCUCAUUAUAUAGUAGUCCCAUUACUCACACAAGCUUAUAAUAAUACUUCACCCUUAGGGGCCCGCAGAAUGUAUAUGAUGUUAUAUAGGACUUGCAUGCACAUUCUGCUUAAUUAAUUAGUUAUAAUUCUUGAGUAAAAUAAAUGAAAUUAAUAGUGCGCUUCUGGAUUUAGUAUAUAUGCUGUACAUGCUUUAUUCUUCUCAUACCAUUAAAAAAUAGAAAAAAGAGGAUUUGCAUGAGUCCGUAAUAAUUUGAUUCAGUACUCAACUGCUUUUUUGUUUUCCUGUAUCCUUCAUAAAAAAAUAAAAAGGGGAAAGAUUAGCUAGAUUGAUUCUUGUUUUCCUGUAUCCACAAUGUUGGCGUGACUUGUGGAUAUUGACUUACUUUCCUUACACACUAAGAAUUCCUAUUAUAAUUGUAAUUGAUUUACUUUAAUUCCUGAUUUCCUACUGCAAAUAGAUUUAGGAAUUUAUUAUUUACUUGCCCAUUCAGGUUUCGUUGUAUUAUAAAUAUGACCUCCUACAAGGAGAAGAAUACACAGAAAAUUCCCACAAACAAAUAUUCUCUCAUAGUUUUCAUAUUUUAGCAUGGUAUCAGAGCGGCGAUCUUGGAAUUGCUGACUCUAGUUUCAAACCCCCGCCGCUGCUAUGGGGGUUGAUGAUUUUUUCAACCCUCAUGGAGGUAGCACCACCGACUCCUUCUCUCAUUCUCCACCAACCAUCAUUGAGUUGAGUGCCCAGAUGGCUCCGCUCCUACAGAUGCAGACUUUGACCCUGAACCCGAUCCAGAAUUCGGAUCCUUUUUUGACGACCCCGACCCCGACCCUGACUAUGACGACGACGACCCCGACCCCGACCCCGACUAUGACGACGACGACCCCGACCCCGACCCCGACCCCGACUCCGAAGACGACCCCGACCCCCACUCCGAUGAUGACCCCAAACCCGAAUUUGUCUCUGAUUCAGACCCUGAUCCCAAUUUCGACUCCGACUCCGGCCCCGACUCAGGCUCAGAUUCCGAUCCCAAUUCCUACUCAACCUGUAUCCUAUGCAUCUUCCGCUGCACAAAUUAUGACUUCUAGACUAACGACCCCGACACGUGGACUAGAUUGCGCAUAUUGUGGUGAUCCACGACACACUUGUGAGACUUGUUUUAAAUCGCAUGGCUACCCCAAUUGGUGGGCUACUCUUAUAGAUCGAGGACAAUGCAAUAUGACCAGUAAUGGUACUGGUUAUGGAUUCCAUACUUCCAAUAAGAUUGAUUCCAGGAGCUGGAUAAUUGAUUCCGGUACAACUGAUCAUAUGACGUUUGAUCCUGAUGAUUUUCUGAAUACUACACAACCUCGACGAACCUGUAUUGCAAAUGCCAAUGGUGUUACUUAUCCUGUGACAGGGGCUGGCACUGUUGCACUCUCAUCCUCUCUCACACUGUCUAAUACUUUACUUGUUCCAUCUUUAUCCACUAAAUUAUUGUCAGUUAGUCAGCUUACUGAACAAUUGAAUUGUUGUGUACUCAUUUACCCGAGUUUUUGUUUGCUUCAGGAUAUUCACACUAAGGAGAUUCUUGGUCGUGGUACUAAGAGAGGGGGGCUAUAUUAUGUCGAUGACUUCAGUCCCGACAUGGCUAACAGCGUGACACAUCCCUUUGAUAGCAAACAAAAGCAAAUCUGGUUGUGGCACCGUCGAUUGGGACAUCCUUCUUUUAGUUAUAUGAAGCAUCUUAUACCAGAUUUAUUCUCAGGUUUCAAGGACUCUGACUUCACAUGUGAUACUUGUAUUUUGGCCAAGAGUCACCGUGUGCCCUACCCGUUGAGUACGAACAAGUGUACUACUCCAUUUACGUUAAUUCACUCUGAUGUCUGGGGACCUUCUCCUAUCACUGCUCCUUCUGGUGUUCGAUGGUUUGUCACAUUCAUCGAUGAUUGUACACGGAUGACAUGGCUUUAUUUGCUGAAGAAUAAAAACGAAGUGUUUUCCUGUUUUCAGUCCUUCCACAAACAGAUGAAAACUCAGUUUAAUGCUCAAAUCCAGAUUCUUCGCUCCGACAAUGGUGGAGAAUUUGUCAAUCAUGACUUUCAGACUUACUUCCAACAACAUGGAAUUAUCCACGAGACGACUUGUCCUCAGACACCACAACAAAAUGGUGUUGCUGAACGAAAGAAUCGACAUCUUCUUGAAACCGCCCGAGCACUUCUGAUUGGCGCUCAUGUUCCUCGCCAUCACUGGGAUGAUGCUAUUGUCACCGCAGUUCAUCUGAUCAACCGCAUGCCUUCUAGUGUACUGACCUUUAAAACUCCCUUACAGGUGCUUGCACAACACAGACCUCUGCCUUCUGUUUUGGUAUUCACACCCCGAAUCUUUGGAUGUGUGGCUUUCGUUCAUCUCCACAAAAAUCAACGUAGCAAACUUGAUCCAUGUGCGCUUCGUUGUGUUUUUGUGGGUUAUGCCACUCAUCAGAAAGGCUACCGUUGUUAUCACCCUCCUACCCAACGAACCUAUGUCACUUUGGAUGUGACCUUUCUGGAAUCUGAGCUGUUCUUCCAUGACCCAUCAUCCAAUUCUACACUUCAGGGGGAGAUACGAAGUGAAGAGCAGAAUUGGAGCAACUUGGAAAAUCAAGAAAUUCUCCUUUGUACAGAAAUGAUUGAUCCUUCCGAGUCUGGAGCACGAGAUUACUCUCUGUCGAAAAGCGACCAAUCGCCCAUUUAUAGCGAUCAAUUGCCUGACCCACCUGAUCCACGCGAAGAUAUUUCUGAUCCGAGUCUCACACUUACAGACAAUACAGAACAACAAGAUGAAGACCCCCCCUCUAACUCAACAGUACCAACAGACCAAUCUCUUGAGAAUAUCCUUGAGGUAACUACUCCUACUAGACUUGUGCAUUUAGAUGAUAAAACUAUUGGAUAUCAAUUACCUUUCAGGCAAAAUCGUGGGAAGCCACCAAACCGUUAUUCACCUGAUAUUGGCAAGACAUCCAAGUAUCCAAUUGCAAAUCAUGUAUCCACUGAGAAGCUGUCUGAACCACUUAAGGCUUUUGUGCAUCAGUUGUCUGCUAUCCAUAUUCCAACCAAGGUCUCUGAAGCAUUGAAAGAUCCUAAGUGGGUCCAAGCUAUAAAAGAGGAGAUGAAAGCCCUUGAGAAAAAUCAGACUUGGACAUUGGAGAUUAUACCCCGAGGAAAAAAGACUAUCGGAUGUAGAUGGGUGUUUACUAUAAAACACAAUGCAGAUGGAUCUAUCGAGCGAUACAAGGCAAGACUUGUGGCAAAAGGGUACACACAGACCUAUGGUAUAGACUAUGAAGAAACCUUUGCUCCCGUUGUAAAGUUAAACACCGUCAGAGUCUUAUUGUCCCUUGCAGCUAAUUUAGAUUGGCCACUACACCAGUUUGAUGUAAAGAAUGCUUUUCUACAUGGCGAACUCACGGAGGAGGUGUACAUGGACAUUCCUCCUGGAUAUAAUACUACUCAGACUGGAACAGUUUGCAGGUUACGAAAAGCAUUGUAUGGAUUGAAACAGUCACCACGUGCAUGGUUUGGACGGUUCACCAUGGCAAUGAAGAAUAAUGGUUUCAAACAGUGCAACUCAGAUCAUACUUUGUUCUUGAAACAUCGAAAAGGGAAGGUAACAGCAUUAAUAAUUUAUGUUGAUGAUAUGAUUAUUACUGGGAAUGAUAAACAGGAAAUAUCACAGCUACAAGACUAUCUGGCUACGGAGUUUGAGAUGAAGGAUCUAGGUGGACUCAAGUAUUUCUUGGGAAUUGAGGUGGCUCGAUCGCAGCAAGGCAUAUUUCUCUCUCAAAGGAAAUAUGUCUUAGACUUGUUGACAGACACAGGAAUGCUAGAUUGUAAACCUGCGGACACUCCUAUUAUUCAGAAUCAUCAUCUUGGAGAAUAUCCAGAUCAAGUUCCAACUAACAAAGAAAGAUACCAAAGGUUAGUGGGAAGAUUGAUCUAUUUGUCACAUACUUGACCAGACAUUGCUCAUGCGGUAAGCGUUGUCAGUCAAUUUAUGCACUCUCCAAGUGAACACCAUAUGAAUGCAGUUCUUCGGAUACUUAGAUAUUUGAAGUCUGCACCUGGAAAAGGACUUAUGUUCUCAAAGCAUGGUCAUCUAAAUAUUGAUGGUUAUUCAGAUGCAGAUUGGGCAGGUAAUGUAACAGAUAGAAAAUCCACAUCGGGUUACUUCACAUUCGUGGGAGGUAAUUUGGUGACAUGGAGAAGCAAGAAACAGAAUGUAGUAGCUUUAUCCAGUGCAGAAGCCGAGUUCAGAGGCAUGACUAAAGGGAUUUGUGAACUUCUUUGGUUAAGAAAGUUGCUUACUGAACUUGGGUAUAAACCUACAUCCACAAUGAAUCUCUUUUGUGAUAACAAGGCUGCUAUAGCCAUUGCACAGAAUCCGGUUCAACAUGAUCGUACUAAACAUGUUGAGGUGGAUCGAUACUUCAUCAAACAAAAGCUUGAGGCUAAAGUGUUUCAGUUUCCUUUUGUGAAAUCCGAGGAUCAAUUGGCGGAUAUUUUGACAAAGGCGAUUUCCAGUAAAGCAUUCCACAAUUCACUAGAUCAGUUGGGCAUUGGCGACAUCUAUGCACCAACGUGAGGGGGAGUGUUGGCGUGACUUGUGGAUAUUGACUUACUUUCCUUACACACUAAGAAUUCCUAUUAUAAUUGUAAUUGAUUUACUUUAAUUCCUGAUUUCCUACUGCAAAUAGAUUUAGGAAUUUAUUAUUUACUUGCCCAUUCAGGUUUCGUUGUAUUAUAAAUAUGACCUCCUACAAGGAGAAGAAUACACAGAAAAUUCCCACAAACAAAUAUUCUCUCAUAGUUUUCAUAUUUUAGCACACAAGUGCUUUUUUGUUAUUGCAGUUUGAUAUUUCCUUAUUUAUAACACCUUUCAUUAUAAAUUAGCUUUCUAUAUAUUUCUAGAGCUAUUAUUUGGUGAAUCAGAUCGAUUCACCUAUGUAACAUACAUAUAUAUGUGUGUGUUCAUGUUGACAAGUCUGCCAAAGAUGGAUUAAGAAUAGGAACAAUAUAAAUUAAAUUAAAUAAAUUAAAGGAGGCCUGUUAGCUUGGUAAUUGGAUUUUCUUAACAAUAUUAAAGUAUAUAAUAUAUAUGAAGGAAAGAUCGAUGCUUAGUUCCUGCAUGUAUGAUUAGUCAGCCAUAUGUUAAUAAUUGAGUCGGUCUCUAUCCAAUCUAACGCACAGAUAUACAGGUUAGGCAGAAAGGAUGGCAAUUAGUGAGUGAGAUCCUGGACCCAAGUGAAUCAGAUUCCACACCGAUUAGGUUUAUGAACUUUAACAGUUGAUAUGAAUCAUUUCCUAAUCCUUCAAUAUAAUAUAAUAUUUACAAUCGCAAUCGGGGCCUAUUCUAAUAAAAAAAAAGAGCCUUAACGUACAUACCAGUAGCAGUAGUCUUAAUUUGAACUCUCAUGAGUAUGUGUAAGUAUAUGAAUGCGACCGAUUCCACUUUUCCAAAAGAAAAAGAUACCAAAGUCGGCUAGUGUCCCACGACCUUGCGUCAAUAAUGCUUGGGUCCUUCCUCUUGAGUCCUAGCAUCAAUAAUAGGCUCCACAAAAUAGUCACUCGACUUUUGUCGGCUGGAGGACGAAACGACAAAAGCCGCCGAAUCGGCUGGGAACCCAUCACCUUUUCCGAGGAAGAGGAGAAGGGCAUCAUCUUUUCCCAUUCCUGUAACACCCCGACUCCAAAUUUAACCCUUAUUUAAAUUAUUUAAAUAUUUAAGGACAUUUUGGUCAUAAUUUUAACCAAAGAGAGUUUGGGGCAGUGACUAGUAUUUUUGGAUAGGUCGUACUGAGACGAGUUCAUAGACACGUAGUGGGCUCGAAUCAGAGUUGUGACGAGAAAGUUAUGGUCAAAAGAAACCCAGUGGCACAAUCGUAAUUAUUUCGAAAUGGGAUUUUUAUAAAAAAUCAGAUUUUUUUUUCUCUCUCUUCCUCCCGCGAGCUCUCUCUCUCUCUCUCUCUCCCGUCGGUCUCUCUCUCUCCUCGUAUCUCCGACCACCGGCCGCGGCUGCGGACGGGACCGGUGCCAAAAGGACCGGCUCGGCCUCGGCGUCACGACCCAGCCCUCCCCCGACAUCGGCCGCCGCUCCAGCCGCCGAAAAAUGGCAAUUUUCGCCCGGUUGUCGUCCGAACUUUGUCGGCUCCGAUCUCCCUCCUCUGGCCGCCAUUUCUGGCGAUCAAGGUAUGGAAAUUCAUCCCUUCUGCAUGCUCUAGCUGAUGGUUGGGUAGGAUUGGAUCGAUUCUUAGCUGAUGGUUGAGAACGCGAUUCCGGCCACUUUCGGUCAAUUUUUGGGGUAUGUCCAAGAACAAAAGUGGCUCCAAAUAGGGUGUUAUACCUAGGGUAGGAGUUUGGAGCCGUGGUUUUGAGAUUCGCUUUGGGCACCCAUCCGCUGCCGGCGCGUGCGGCGGCGCGUGGGCACUGUAGAAAAAGUGGCACUGUGUCUCGAUGAGAUCCUUAGGUUGUCACGAGUGCGUAGGAUUUUGCGGAUCUCAAUUCGGACGUCGUUUGACUAUCGAACGGACGAUCGCAUAUUGUGCGUUAUCUGGGUUCGAUAGGUUGGGACCGUUGGAUGGUCCCGAAUUUAAUAUAUGUUAAUCUAGGUAACGUUAAGAUCGUGUAGGAAUUCACGGAUUGUGAAUCGGAGCCCCGGAUGUUCCGAAUAAUAAUUUAAAGUUUAUAUUUUAUAUUAACCGUCAGAUCGUGCGAUCAUGAGUGAUCCGACCGUCCAAGCUGAACCAAACUUGCAGGACAAGUGUCCUGUACCUUGUAAAACCCAUGGGUACUUUCGGAUCGGAAAUUGGAGGUCGUGGGCUUCGCAGGUCUGUUUGACCAGGGUUAGGGUAGUUUGACCCUUAGUUGACCAUGAGUCUCCCGGAGAAAUCUCAUCUGCUAGACUAUGGUGGAAGGUUAUACGAUAUUAGAAUUAGUAUAUAUAAUUAUAAUUAUAUAUGUUUGUACAAGGGUACAAAAGAGUCUAGAAUGUCAGUUUGGAGUGCUAUACGCACUACCUUAGGUACCUCCCCGGAUUUUGGUCUCACUAUAAGUACCACCAAGUGAAAGUUAGGUCUCACGUGGCGUAGGUUAUCCGGCGUGCGGACAGGCCCUAUACGUGGCGUUGGUUGUACCGGCGUAUGGGGAGAUUUGUGAUAUGAUAUUUAGGUCUCACGUGGCGUAGGUUAUCCGGCGUUGAGACAGGCCCCAUACGUGGCGUUGGUUGUACCGGCGUAUUGGGAGAUUAUGUGAUAUUGUGUUGAGGUCGCACGUGGCGUAGGUUAUCCGGCGUGUCGACAGACCCCAUACAUGGCGUUGGUUGUACCGGCAUAUGGAGAGAUAUGUGAUAUGAUGUGCAGGUCUCGCGUGGCGUAGGUUAUUCGGCGUUGAGACAAACCCCAUACGUGGCGUUGGUUGUACCAGCAUAUGGGGAGAUAUUAUGAUAGUAUGGCAUGGUCGCACGUGGCGUAAGUUAUCCGGCGUGUUGACAGACCCUAUACGUGGCGUUGGUUGUACCGGCGUAUGAGGAGAUUAUGUGAAAUACAGAGAAAUGAAAUAAGGUAUCGCCUAAGUGUGGAAUUGGGUUUUAUGGAAGAACUACGUGUAGCUUGAUCCCUCAAGGAGGGUACGUCGGCAGCCUAAGGUUAUAAGGUGCAGCCGCAGACUAAAUGUUAGUCAUAAUUUAUAUUUGAAUUGUUUGGUUAGCGGGUUUGGCAGUUGGUUGAGAAUUAUUGGAAGGCCGAAGGCCAUUUAUGUGGAUUGCAUGAAAUUAUAUUGUGCAUGCUGCCAGUUGUGAAUAUUAAAUGCGUUUUUAUGCAGGUUGAAGUUUUUGGGAAAUAUCCAAUUUAUAGGGGAGACUCUGCCGAAAUUUCGGCAGGAAGUCUCGAUCUUUAGUAAGUGGGCCUGGCAUCGGGGUGAUGUCAGGAAUUCUAAAGGGUUCGCCUCGGGUUUCGAAAAAUUCGGGACGGGUCCUUUCAAUUCCGACCCUAUGAUCAUCCGAGCCGACAUUAUAGACUUUGACUUAGGCCGAAUCCUCAUCGACACAGGCAGCUCGGUCAACGUACUCUUCGUCGACGCAUUCAACGCCUUCGGCAUAGAACCACGAAACCUCAACACGGAGAUCACCCCCAUUCUGAGCUACUCGGGUGAUGUUGUCGAACCCAUUAGAAGCAUCCAACUCUCGUUCGCCGUCGGCACCGCCCCCAGAUGAAUGGUUAUCUACACCCAUUUUCUAGUGGUCGAUUGCCCAACGACAUACAACACCAUCAUCGACCGACCAGCGCUUGCGAGAAUGAGGGCCAUGCUCUCUCCACACAUGCUUCUCCUCAAGUUCCCCAUGAAUGUUGGUGUCGGCCAGGUUCGAGGGCACCAAUUGAGUGCACGGACGUGUUAUGUUUCGGCCACUAAGAAAUUGGCCAGAGCAACACCUCGCGAAUCUUACUAUGUUUCCACCCCAACUGUACCUAACGGAAGAGGAGCAGAUCAACCUGACGACCCCAGAGAUGAGGCCAUCACACCGCAGGCUCAGCCUAUUGAGGACAUGGAAACGAUGUCCCUAUCCGAAGCAUAGGCAGAUCGGCAAGUCAAGAUCGGCACUACCCUUAGUUCACCAUUGCACACCAAGUUCAUCACUUUCCUCUGCGCAAAUCUAGGGGUCUUUGCCUGGUCCUACGAUGAUAUGCCCGGCAUCUCUCCCGAUAUUGUCAACCAUCAGCUCAGCAUCAGCCCUAAUUUUAAAUCGAUCCGGCAGAAACGGCGAGCCUUCGAUGCUGAACGGUACGUAGCAAUGCGGCUUGAAGUGGAGAAACUGCGGGCGAUCAGCUUCGUUUGGGAGGUUGUCUACCCAAUUUGGCUUGCCAAUUCGGUCAUGGUUAAAAAAUCGAAUGGUGCGUGGCGAAUGUGCCAAGAUUAUACCCAUCUGAACAAAGCAUGCCCUAAGGACAGUUUCCUUUUGCCAAGGAUCGACCAGCUCGUGGAUGCCAUGGCAGGUCAUGAGCUUUUGAGCUUCAUGAACUCCUAUUUCGGCUACAACCAGAUUUUUAUGAACCCUACUGACCGCGAAAACACAACAUUCAUCACAGACAAAGGGCUCUACUGUUAUGAUGUCAUGCCGUUCGGCCUAAAAAAUGCUGGAGCAACCUAUCAACGUUUAGUCAACAAGAUUUUUGCCGAACUUAUAAGCACUUGCAUGGAAGUCUACGUAGACGACAUGCUAGUCAAAAGCAGGACCGCCGAUCGGCAUCUUCACAAUAUCUCCCUCAUUUUCGACGUCCUCAAAAAAUACAAAAUGCACCUCAACCCAACCAAAUGCGCCUUCGGCGUUUCCUCUGGCAAAUUCCUAGGCUUUAUGAUCAGCCAACGGGGCAUCGAAGCUAACCCUGAGAAAAUCCAAGCAUUACUAGAUAUGUAGGUACCGAAGACGAAGAAGGAUGUUCAAAGCCUCACAGGCCAAGUCGCCGCCUUGGCCUGCUUCAUAUCCAAAGCCACCGCCUGAUGCGCCCCAUUCUUCAAAGCUCUCAAAAGGAGUAAAUGGCAGGUCGUUUGGACUUCGGAAUGUGACCGAGCAUUCGAGGACCUUAAGGCUUAUAUGAGUAGAGCCCCUCUGCUGUCCACACCUUUUCCAGGAGAAAACCUCAUCAUCUACCUCUCAGUAUCGGCAACGACAUUAAAUUCCGUACUCAUUCGUAUACCGAACGGCAUAGAGCUCCCCAUCUUCUAUACAAGUCAUGCGCUGCAGGAUGCGGAGCAACGGUACCCCUAACUUGAAAAACUGGCCUACGCUCUAGUUCUCUCUGUGCGCAAGCUUCGACCCUACUUCCAGGCUCACACGAUCGAAGUAUUGACCAAUCAGCCCCUACGCCAAAUUAUACAGAAGCUAGAAACAUUAGGACGACUGAUCAAAUGGACCAUCGAACUUGGUGAAUUUGACAUUCACUACCACCCCGACCUGCUGAAAAGGGGCAGGCCGUAGUCGAUUUUAUCUCAGAACUGACUAUUCCAUCAGAAGGCGAACGACUGGCCGACUCCAACCCCGAACCGGCCAUCACGACCUCGGAAUGACAUCCUGCCAAAAGGGUGUUCGACUCCGCGAUUCCUUAGUGGACCCUAUAUGUGGACGGUUCUUUCAACCGACAGGGCAGUGGCGCAGGCCUAGUCCUGAAGGCACAAGACCAAACCACAAUCGAGUACAUCACCUGAUUCCAGUUCGGAUCCUCAAACAAUGAAGCAGAAUGCGAAGCCCUCUUGGUAGGCCUUCGGCUUGCAAAGGACAUGAGAGCUAAACAACUAACAAUCUGUAGCGAUUCCCAACUGGUCGUCAACUAGGUCAUCACCGAAUUUGAGGCGAAGGACGAAUCCAUGGCGGCCUACUUAGCCCAGGCCUGCCGAUUGCUCAAACAAUUUAGCACAUACCACAUCCAGCAGAUCCUCAGAUCCAAAAACAGUUAUGCUGACACUCUCUCUCGACUUGCAUCUGCAAUUGACGACUGGGUCGGAUGCCACGUACAAAUUGAAAUCCUCGCUCACAGGAGCGCUACCAAAGUUGAGGUUCAUGCCGUUUGGCAGGACCCAAGUUGGAUGGACUCAAUCCACGCAUACCUAACUGACGGCACGCUUCCAACUGACAGCGAUGAGGCCAAGGCAGUCCGCCGCCUAUCGGCAUGGUAUCUCAUUCUGCAGAAGACACUGUACCGACGCGGUCAUUCUCUAUCGUUGCUCUGCUGCGUCACUCCGCAACAGAAGGACUAUGUUCUGCGAGAAAUUCAUGAGGGUGCCUGUGGCGAUCAUUCGGGAGCCCGAUCCUUGGCGUUCAAAACCAUUCGGCAAAGCUAUUAUUGGCCAACCCUUCACUCUGAUGCCGUCAAACUCGUACAGCAGUGAGGCCCGUGCCAACGCUUAGGCUCAAUCCUAAAGCAGCCUGCCGAACCUCUCACCCUGAUUGUCAGUCCUUGGCUGUUCGCGCAGUGGGGAUUGGACCUCAUCGCCCCUAUGUCGCAAAGUAAGGGACAUCUCAAAUUUACGAUCAUCGUAGUGGACUACUUUACAAAGUGGGUCGAGGCCGAAGCCCUUGCCACGAUCACUGUCGCCAAAAUCGAGCACUUCGUAUGGAAAAACAUCAUCUACCGAUUCGGCCUCCUGAACGCAAUCAUCACCGACAACGGUAAACAAUUCGAUUGCUCUCGCUUUCGGCAUCUAUGCUCCCGAUUCAAUAUCAACAUCUUCUUCACAUCUCCGGCACAUCCAUAGUCCAAUGGACAGGUGGAGGCCAUCAACGAGAUCAUCAAGAAGACACUGAAGAAGAAACUCGGGGCUGUUAAAGGCGAAUGACCCGAAAUACUACCAGAGCCACUGUGGGCCAUCAACACAUGAAACCGAAGGUCAACAGGCGAAACCCCUUUUUCCCUCGAUUUUGGAACCGAAGGUGUGGUAUUGAUUGAAAUCAACGCCCCAACAUGCCGAACGGCAUCCUACGAUCCAGAUCAAAAUCAAGCCCAGCUCGCUCUAAACUUGGACCUCAUCGAAGAACACCAAUCGCAGGCUCAGCUUCGGAAUGCCGCAUAUAAGCAAUGAACCACCACAUAUUACGACUCGCGCGUCAUAUGCCGAUCGUUCAGGGUAGGGGACUGGGUUUUAUGCAAAAUCUCUCUCGCAACGAGAAGCCCUGCCAAUGGCAUCCUAGCCCCUUCUUGGGAAGGUCCUUACGAGGUCACCGAGGUCUGCUGAUCGGGCACUUACCGAUUGUGUGGGUCCGACUGUUAGACCCUCGGUCAUCCUUGGAAUAUUUAUCUUUAGCAUUAUUGUCUAUUUACCUAUUCUAUGCAACCAGUUAUGCCUUCAAACCACACGAUAGUAUCAAACAUAUACUACCUACGGCAUGCACACAUAUAUUAAAAGACAGAAGAACAAAAAGCUAAUUCAAAAUGUACUUGGAUAGCAAACAAAAGAAGCCACAAGAUGGGCCAUUGUUUUACAAAAUCGCCGAACGACAUGAUCUUAAAAAUAUACAAAAAUAAGCUACAACUACUAAGUUGGGGGAUUGGCACCAUGAGGCGACGGUGUGGGCACGGCUUCGUCCUCCUCACUACUCGAAUCAGUCUCACUUGACGAAUCGGCAUCGGUAUCCUCACCCUUGUAGGACUCCACCAUUUCUUUUGUGAUCCCUUCGGGCAACGGAGGAGGAUUACGGAGAAAGUUCAGGUUCAGCUUCUUAUCAGCAUUGUAGCGCUUGAACCGGUAGACAAGGUCGUCACACUGGUCCAUGACUUUCUUAUCUAGCAGUACCGUGAACUCUUCCGAUGAACGGUAGUCAGCUACGGCUUUUUCCUUCUCCUCCUGUACUUCCGUGGCAUGCUACCAUUCGACUGACUCCAUAGCCACUUCCACUGCCGCCUUGGCCUCCUGUGCCUCGACCAUCGCCUUCUCGGCCAUGGCUAACCUUCAUGACAGCUUUGCAAUCUUUGCCGCAUUCUCUUCGGUAAGCCGAUCGGCAUCCUAAAUGGCUUUACCAGCAUCGGCGAUUUUCGCUCGGCUGUCUUCGAAUCUUUCCCGAUACCAAUCGGCAGCAUUCAAGGCCCGCUUCAUGCAGAGCCAUAUUUCCAUAUUUGCCCACCAAAACAGUACAUCUGUCACUACCGAUCUCGUAUACACUUUAAAUGAUUACAAAUUCAAUCAUGCACUUACCGCAGCCUGAAGUUAGAAGGCUCGGCCGGCCUGUUCGCGUAUCGUCUUCAUCGGCAGUUGCUCAAGCUCUGUCAUCUCCAUCUGCGCACCGGCAAUGACCGUGUUCACGAAUGGCACGACCUUCCGAGGAGGAAGUUCAGGUUCAGCUUCUUAUCAGCAUUGUAGCGCUUGAACCUGUAGACAAGUUCGUCACACUGGUCCAUGACUUCCUUAUCUAGCAGUACCAUGAACUCCUACGACGAACGACAGUCAGCCACAACUUUUUCCUUCGCCUCCCGUACUUCCAUGGCACACGACCGUUUGGUUGACUCCAUAGCCACUUCCAUUGCCGCCUUGGCCUCCUACGCCUCGACCAUCGCCUUCUCUGCCAUGGCUAACCUCGAUGACAGCUCUGCAAUAUUUACUGCAUUCUCUUCGGCAAGCCGAUCGGCAUCCUAAAUGGCUUUACCAGCAUCGGCGAUUUUCUCUUGGCUGUCUUCGAAUCUUUCCCGAUACCGAUCGGCAGCAUUCAGGGCUCGCUUCAUGCAGAGCCACAUUUCCAUAUCCGUCUGCCAAAAUUAUACAUCUGUCACUACCGAUCUCAUAUACACUUUAAACUAUUACAAAUUCAAUCAUGCACUUACCGCAGCCUGAAGUCGGAAGGCUCAGUCGACCUGUUCAUGUAUCAUCUUCGCGGGCAGUUGUUCAAGCUCUGUCAUCUCCAUCUGCACACCGGCGAUAACCGUGUUCACGUACGGCAUGACCUUCCGAGGGCAUGCCACGUUUACCAGCCAAGCGUCCUCCUCCGCCUCAUCCCAGGGAAUUAGAAUGACAGCCUCCUCGUUCGGCCCCCGAAGCCGCUUUAGAAGAAGUGUCACGUCGAUGGCACCUUCGAUCACCCUCUUGGCCUUGGCCACCCGCUUCUCCCGCCAACAAUCGGCCGCCGUCGCCUCUAGAGCCGAAGCCCUUUUAGCUUGAGACGGUGGCUUUGUCUUCGACCUCUGUGGGCUAUCUUUCUUCUUUGGUGGCGCCCGAGACUCCAACCGCCUCCUUGUCGCAUCAGUCAUUGCUCUACCCCCCCCCCCCCCCGCGGCUACUGCAAAGAUUAAAUAGAGUCAGCAAACGAUCGGCAUGCAGAGAUAGAAAUAGUACAAGACGUGCCGAAUAGCAUCACUUACUUUUCCUCCUCUUUCCUUCAGACGUACUCAAGCUCGCUGAUCAGACCCGCCUAGAACAGAUUCUUGUAGUCCAGCAGAGUCUUGAAGAAACAAUCUUCUUCAGCAAUUUUCGACCAAACGCGCUCGAUGAUUUCCACCUCUCUCUUUGUUGCGAUCGGCCAUUUCAAGGACACUGUAAUACGAAAAAUACAUAACCCAGGUUAGUUUCGACAGGUCCCCAAAAAAAAAAAAACUACUAAUCUGCCGAACGGCAUCCUCACGCUGUAAAGGUGGGCGAAUUGCUCGUAGCUUGGGUCUCUCUCGCCAGCUAUGCUGAACGCCGUGAUCGUCCCAAGCAGCGUAAUCCAAAAAUUCGGAUUAAACUGCCCAGGGGCGUAGCCGAUAUGGGCAAGGAUUUUCUCCUUCGAAUGUCUCAACGGUAGCCGAAACCGGUGUUUGAAGGCAUUGGUGAAGAAGACUGCUUCACCAUCUGGAUUGCUCAGAGACUCCAACGGCCCUAGAAUCCGCAUCACUACUGAAUCCUGUAUGUUAUACAGAGCCCGAAUCUUGGCCAGCUCAGCCGCGGUCAUAACAUUCGGCUCCAAAACAUCCACACCAAAGACGAGGCCCUUUAGCUUCGCCAUCGGCACCCUCUGCUGGCCAGUAACCAUGGUCAGCACACCUUCUCCCGGAAUGGUAACCGACACACCAGCCUUGGUCUCCUCUGCUUGGCGACCGGAUGUCGAUGGUUGAGAGCUAUUCACCUCAACCACCUUCAUACUUGAAGUGCUCCCGGAUUCAGUAGCCACCUCUGUACCCCCUACUACACCAAAAUCGGCACUCUCAAGCCCUACGGUCAAGCUCUUAGAAACCGAUUCUCCCUCAAAGCUCUUGGGCUAUCACUAUAGUCUGAUUCGAUAUCUGACAUCUACAAACACAAGCAAAACGAAACUAAACGCCAUGCUAUAAUUAAACCACUACCCUAAAGCCCAGGAGCUCAUGUUCAUCUACAUUUCCCUAUGUUCAUACAUGUUCUUACAUGUUCAUACAACAAUUAAAGCUUUGAUUCAAGUCAGAAGAAAACAUGGCAACAUACCUUGUUUUGCACGGUGGUUGAAGGUCGCUGGAAAUCGCCUCCGCCUUGAAAAGUUUGCCAAAAAUCGCCUCUUCUGCUGCAGUACACUCGCCGGAAAUCGCCUCUCACAAGCUCAAUUUGCUCUCAAAAUGCCAAGUACCCCUCUUUCCCUCUCUUCGGCCUAUUUAUAGGACGAACCUAGCAUUGGGAAACGAAACGACGCGACCUUCGCAACCCUACCGACUCGUGUCAUACAUGGACAGAGAAGCCCAGGCGUCGUCGCUUCCCACUUGCGCAAGCGUUUCAAAUUCUCUCAGACUUUCUUUUCGAAACACAACUUCCCCAACGAACGGCAGGCGCGCAGUGGUCAAGUUUUCACUUACCUCUUGUGCCGAACAACGGCGCGCUGUGGUCGAGUUUUCACUCACCUCUAGUGCUGAACGGCAAGCGCGCAGUGGUCGAGGUUUCACUGACCUCUAGUGCUGAACGGUAGGCGCGCAGUGGUCAAGGUUUCACUCACCUCUCCUGCCGAACGGCAGACGCAUGAUGAUCGAGCUUUCAUCAAGCUUUCAGACGCCUUUGGCUCUUGCUGCCUUUCCCUUCCAAUCUUCGACAAACCCCUUGGCUCGAGGACUUGGGGGGACUACAUGACUACCAUCGGCAUACGACGAAAGACGCUUGUACCCAGGUCAGAAUGCCGGAGCUCAGGGACACAAGCAAGUCCCCAACCAAGAAGUCCCUCCUCGAUCGGAAACUUGGGGGACUCCUGUCUGUACCAUAUCUGACCCCCCACUCACGUCUUGACAUGUGGAAAUGUAAACCAGGCCCAAACCAGCUCAGUGAGCCAUGCCGAAAGGUCGAUCGGCAUACUCCGCCGAAUCACACGUGGUCGAAUCAGUAAAGUGCUUUCAACUAACACCCCACCAGACCUUCGGCACACGAUGCCGAGCGACCAGUCAGCACAAAGAAAUUUUAGCGCAAUAAAUUCCAUUGGAUGAGAAAUUAAUUACGGUUCGAUGGAUUGAAUUGUGGGCCUUAUAAUUCACACAUGUGGCGUAUGACUCAUCAAAAUUGGGUUAGCUGUCAAAAGUGACACAUGUCAACAUCCGACGGAGUGCAUCAAACGGUUCAAGAUAAAGACAAAAUUAAGGAAAAGAAUCUUGUAUGAUUGACUUUGAUUUAAAUCAAAUAUUAAUCAGGUCAAUUGAAGAUAAUUUGGUUAAAUUGCCAGAUUAUUGGAAUUGAUUUAAAUCAAAUCAAAAUCCCACAAAACAAAGUUUUAAAUAGGAAUAGUUAUUUAGGCCAAGCAUCCUGCAAGAGCUUAUAAAUAGGAGGCCUCAAGAAGAAAGAAGGGGCUCAGAAAAAACCUAGCGUUGAGAAGAAACAGAAAACUAUCUGCAUUCUUCACCCUACUUUGGAAGAGCCACCAAGCACAACAAAUACGUGCUGGUUCCUUCACUCUAGAAAAAUCACAAACACCAAACAAGCUUCAUGCUACCCGUUUGAUCAAGAUCAAGUCUCUACGACCCUUGUAUCAAACACAAAUUUUCUUUAAACACUUUGGAGAUCGAAUCAGAGGAUUCAAUACAGAGAUUGUAAUUCUAAAUUUCAUAAAUACAAAUAUUAUUUUGUACACAUGUUCUUAUCUCAUUUGUCGUAGGAAAUUUGUGUUUACACUCUCUUAUAUCUAUCCCCCCAAAUAUCAGGGCUGCGUCCUUGCUAUUAAGAAUAGCUUGAUCAUUCCUAAGAGGAGUUUGGUGUCUCCCUGCACGAGCUGGUUGGUCUUGAUAAAAUGGAGGCUUCUUGCCGGGCUGGCCAUAGAACUUGUCUAGCAUGGCAAAAGCCUCCCCUCCAAGCUUUCCUAGCUCUUCCUGAGUUGCCAUAAUAGUAAUAUUGCUACAAUUUAGUACAAGCACACAAACAAACAGAUGCACAAAGCAGGUCAGGCAAUUUGGUUUGCCUUUGUUUUCUGAGUAAAAUGGUUCGCGGCCAAGCCCCAUUAUAUAGGAGUUAAAAAGGCCACCUUACUGUGAGACCUUGUGGAUAAGUUGGUUGGAUAACAUAGAUAUCCAUUCUUCCCAAAAGGGAUUCCCACUUUUGGUGAUUCCUUCAGAGACACUAUUGAGUCUUUGAGUUGGGGGCUUUGCUUACGUUAGAAAUAUGUAUUAGUAAUGUUGCAAAUUACAGAAGUGCCUUAAAAAGUAUUAUGAUCAAUCAAGUAGUACUGAAAUGAAGCUGUUUGUAGGGAGUCGAUUUUUCAGUUUUUGGGUAAUGUUUUUUUUGUUAGUUGCUCAGUUCUUGUGAUAUUAAUUUCACAUCAGACUUCACAUCAAUAUUUUGAUCUAUUGUUUAAAUCUCCACCUUGCAUCCUUACUAUUUUAGUCGUUGAUAUCUAUUGUCAAUGGUAUUGCAAAACUUUUUGGUUUAGGUUUUUGGUGCAUGGGUUUGAACUUUUUGAUUUGGAAAUGGUAUUGCAAAACUACAUUGUACAGGUUCUGCAUUGUAGUUUUACACAUACUACAUUGCAGUUUUGGAAACUGCAUUUCAGUUUUUAUUUAAUUACAAUUUGAUUUUUGUUCUUGCAUUGGCCUUCAACCUCACCAAUUUGAAGAGUAGAGGCUAUCCAGAUGAGGAAUUAAGUGGGCAAGAGAAGAGUAGAACUACCCAAGAGCAAGGGAACUCAAAAUUGGACUUUUGGAAACUAGAAACUGCAGUGAAGUUUUCAUUUAAUUACAAUUUAAUUUUUGUUCCUUCCUUAGCCUUCAACCUCACCAAUUUGAAGAGUAUAGGCUACCUAGAUGAGGAAUUUGGUGGGCAAGAGAAAAGUAGAACUACCCAAGAGCAAGGAAACUCAAAAUUGGACUUUUGGAAACUGGAAACUCAUUGCAGUUUUCAUUUAAUUACAAUUGUUUUUGUAGCUAUUUUUGUUUUUUUUUUUUCACAUAAUUGAUACCUACAUUGUAUUUUUGUUGCAAUUUCUGUUUUUAUUUGCAGUUUUUGUGUGAAUAAGUGUUGAAAUGAUUUUUUUUUUUUAUAAAAAAAAAAAAAUCAUUGAUUGUUUAUAUAAAUAUUGUAUAACUGAAUUAAUAUUACAAAAUCAAGUUUGGUGUAGUGGUUUGUGAGUGAGCCUUCCUCCUUUGAGGGUCAAGGUUCGAGUCCAUUCAAUGACACAAAAUCUUUUUUUUAAAGGUGAAUAAAGGGCAACGGAGUUGGUCCCCUGCAGAUGGUGACAGGUCGGCGACAGGCGGUGGUGGUGGUUAGCUAGAUAUGGACAUGUGGCAUAGUAUGCUUACCUUAGAAGGAGUGGCAUUGUGUGUAAUUUUGAUAUUUUUGUAAAAUUAGGUACUACAUUUAGUCUUUGGCCUUAUGCUAAUUAAAUGAAAUUAUAUCUUAUCUUCUAAAUUAGUAAAUUACAUUGUGUUUUAAAACUAAAGCUCUCUUUUAUCUUCUUUGUUAUUUUCUUACAUAAAUAAAAUCUCUUUGAUAUUGCAAAGAAGUUGUUUUCUUCUCCUUUUUUUUUUCUUUUUUUUUUCUUUUUUUAAUAAUAAUAACUUUCCGUGAAAAGUGAUUACAUAACAAACAAGAGAGAGUAUGCAGGUGCGGCUAGCAUUAAAUAUAUUUUAUAUAGCAUAAGAAGUGAUUUCUACAUAUAAUUAUAAACGGAAUAUAUAAAGCCUAGGCUAGUUAUCCAAACCACGUCUACAUCUGAUAUACAUAUAUAUCAUAUUACAGAGAGCUUCAUUAGUUAACUAAUUACUUAUACCAAACAAAGUUGGUAUAUGUUAAUUAGCGGCGAAUCUUGGGGUACUCUCUUAUCUCUAUCCCCCCAAAUAGCAGGGCUGCGUCCUUGCUAUUAAGAACAGCCUGAUCAUUCCUAAGAGGAGUUGGGUGUCUCCCUGCACGAGCUGGUUGGUCUUGAGAAAAUGGAGGCCUCUUGCCGGGCCGGCCAUAGAACUUGUCUAGCAUGGCAAAAGCCUCCCCUGCAAGCUUUGCUAGCUCUUCCUGAGUUGCCAUAAUAGUAAUAUUGCUACAAUUUAGUACAAGCACACAAACAAACAGAUGCACAAAGCAGGUCAGGUAAUUUGGUUUGCCUUUGUUUUCUUGGUAAAAUGGUUCGCGGCCAAGCCCCAUUAUAUAGGAGUUAAAAAGGCCACCUUAUUGUGAGACCUUGUGGAUAAGUUGGUUGGAUAACAUAGAUAUCCAUUCUUCCCAAAAGGGAUUCCCACUUUUGGUGAUUCCUUCAGAGACACUUUUGAAUCUUUGACUUGGGGGCUUUGCUUACGUUAGAAAUAUGUAUUAGCAAUGUUGCAAAUUACAGAAGUGCCUUAAAAAGUGUUAUGAUCAAUAACACUAUUGAACGUAUGUAUGGAAGAUUGUUUGGUGCUAAGAAUUUCGUGGCAGGUUGACCCAUGGAUAUGGUUCGUACAAAACACAUUAAUGAAAAAUAGGAAUACGCACAAAUUGUGGGAGGUGAAGAUAUUUCUUCCUGGAGAGAUUGAUAGGAAUCAAUAUCAUAGUUUAUCUGGUUUCUUUUCGUUGCUUGAGAGCUGCAUAUGCUGAAUUUUUCAAAUAAACUUAUUUGAGGGCUGCAUAUGAUGGAUCUUUCAACAAUAAACAGUAUAUUUAAUAUAUUAGAGUGCUACGUACUAAACGGACCCUAAAAUUUAAGGAGGAAGUGAGAAAGUCCACCUCUAACCAUGCUCCUUAGAGCAUCCACAAUCAUGCUCUCUAUUUUUUAGUUAAACUUUAGCUAAAAACAUAUAAAAGUUAUUUUAAGAGGUCUCUAUAAAAUUUAAACUCCAAUCAUGCUCUCUACUUUAGGGAGUCAUAAAUGCUAUAACUCUUUUUUAAUUGGUCCAUCUCUAUUAAAAAAUAAUAUAAACAUAAUAAACAUUAAUUAAAGGUUUGAAAAACUCAUUAAAUAAAGCAACAUUAAAUUAUAGGGAGCCACUAGGAGUUCUUUCUCUCUCCUCAGAUUUAUGAGCUCUUAGAAGUCUCCCUAUUUUAGGAGGUGGAUAGGGAGCAUGGUUAGAGUUGUAUUUUUCCAAAUCCUCCCUAAAAUUUGUCUAAGGAGAUGGUUUAGGGAGCCCAUUGUGGAUGCUCUUAUCCAACUCCUAAAAUAGGGAGACUUCUAAGAGCUCUUAAAUCUAAGGAGAGAGAAAGGACACCUAGUGACUCCCUAUAAUUAAAUACUAGUUUACUUUAAUGCUAUUUUAAGUAUUUACUUUAAUGCUAAUUAUUGUUUGCGUAACAAAAUUAUUCUGGCCUAUCUCAGGGUAGGCAAGGCCUGUGCUUCAUAUCUUCUUGGUAGGAAAUGAUAUUCUUGAUCAUACACACACACACAUAUAUAUAUAUAUAUAUAUAGGAAGUUUCAAUUGAGGGAUAUCUUUGUCGGGCUCACUCUGUAUUGCAUUUUACUAAUCCAAACCAUCUAUUUUGUAGAUACUCAUUCAAAGAUCAUCUCUACAAAAAAUCACUUGAAUCUAAUAUUAUUUUACCACUCAAUUAAAUUAUUGAAAUUACAAUUGGAUAUCAAAACGGUUUUUGAUUUAUCUAAUAUUUUGCAAAGAUGAUCUAUGAAUGUAGACUUAAAAAAUAGAUGGUUUGAAUCGUUGAAAAAAGAUUCGUAAGAAACUCUAAAAGGUGUCCCUCAAAUAAAAGUAUUUGAAGAAUCCCUCAACAUAUAUAAAGUAUGUGUGAUUUCAAUUUUUCAACAGAAAAAGAUACCAAUUAAAGUCGGCCAGUGUCCCACAAUCCCCAGCCACAACACAACCUUGCCUUCAACAAUGCAUGGGUCCUUAGUUGCGAUAAGAUAUUUGAAGAAGCUUAGGGAAUAAAAUGCCUUAAGAGACUGUUUAGGGGUGGUAGAAAUCCACCUAACUCGGGCACGAGAAGAAUAACGGCCGGGGUUUGGAGGCCAGGAUUGGAGAAGUUAGCGACCGGAAAUGUCGGGGUUCCUGCGGCCAAAAUGUUGGAGAAUUUGGGAGAUCUCGGCCGGGUCUUGAAGGAGUCUCGUGGCGGCCGAGAUUUGGAGCAGCCAGUGUCUUGGGCCGAAUAUGUGGCUGGAGUACUUGGAGGGCUACGGGGCAGGCCUGAGCCCGAGUUUUUCUAAUUGAGGCCGGGUCUUUGGCUUUGAGCAGACAAGGCUUCGGAGAAUGCGGCUGGGGUAUUUAGUCUCUUUACAAACUGGGCUGAAAGGGUUUUGGUUUGGAGUAGACAAAGCUUUGGAGAACGGCGGUUGGAGCUUUGUGGAUUUGUUAACAGCUGAAGGGUUUUCUAGGUUGGAAGUUUAAUUGUCUUAUUCGAUAUACUAGUCUCUCAUCACGCGCUUCCGCGCUUGCAAGAGGCUUUUUUUUUUAAAAAAAAAAUUAUUUUAGAAUUAAAAAAGAUAAUGGGUAGUUGUGUUCCAUAAAAAUAGGAUCCAUUAUCUGCUUUUUCUUUUUCUUUUAAUUUUUUUAAAUAUGAAAAAGUGUGAAUUUACCAUAUUAUCCUCAUUUAAUUAAUAAUUUGAAUUCAUAAUGUUUGCAUUAACCAAGGGCAUUUUCUGGUAUUUUGAAUGUUUCACCAUUUUCUGCCUUUUGCUUUAUAUAUAGAUACAUACAUAUUUUCAAAUAAGUGGGGCUGGAACUUCAAGAUAAUUGCGCCCGAGGCUUUAUUGAACCUCCUUUGUCUAAUUUUAUAUAUACAUAAUAUUUUUAUAUAAAUGCAAUUGCCUUGGAUUAUUGCAAGUGCGGUUGGAGGUUCGCAAGCUUAAGCCCUCCAUAUCCUGUUGUAUGAUAAUACAAAAUAUAUAUAUAUUGUUAUAAACUAAAGAGAUUAUAGAGAGAAUUGGAAUGGAGAGAGGGAGUAGAAACUGAAUUGUUGUGGGCUUAAGCUUGCGAACCUCCAAAAUGCAAAGGAAAUAGUUAAAGAUAUGUAGUAAAAGACAAAGAGGUGAUGUAUAUAUCCUAUUAAACAGGGGUGGUACGCUUUUGUCCAGGAGGAAAAAAAUUGGAGAGAGGAGGGUAGCGUAAAAACAAAAGUGAUUUAGAGGUAGAAAACANNNNNNNNNNNNNNNNNNNNNNNNNNNNNNNNNNNNNNNNNNNNNNNNNNNNNNNNNNNNNNNNNNNNNNNNNNNNNNNNNNNNNNNNNNNNNNNNNNNNACCCCCUUUAAAAAACCUCCCCCCUUUUUUUGUUCCGAGAAACCCCAAUCAGGCGUUUUUUUUUCAAGAAAAAGGGGGGAGAUACUUUCAAGGCCCCCUUUCACAUUUCAGGUCCCGCCCUUUUUAUCACUUUUUUCAAAACCCUUAAAAAGGGUUUUUGGGGGGGGGGGCAGGAGGCCCCCGGGGUAAAAAAAAAAAAAAAAAAAAAAAAAAAGGGGGAGCCGGCGUUGCCGCUCCGUAGGAGCUGAAAAUUUUAAGACUUUUGGGGGAGGAAUGGGCCCAAAAGGGGGCGGGGAAGCUUUAAAAUUUUUGCCUUGUGUCUUUGCCGGGGAGGUCCCAAAGGACUUUGUUUGCCGUCUCCUUGUUGGUAUGCCAUCAAUUGCAACAUUCCCAACAGGCCCUUUGGGUUUUGUCCUUCCCCUGACUUUGGGUUGGGGUUGGGGGGGUGCCCCCCCGCCCCCCCCUGAGCCACUCGCCGGAAUUUGGUUUAUUGCCGCCCCUGGACCUCCAUAGUUUUGUGCCUGCAGGGAACCUCCCUGGGGUUGGUAAAAAUGUUGAUUGGGAGACUGGGUAGUAGGCCCCCCCCCCCCCCCCCAUGCAGUGAUCCAGAGAACCCAUUGAUGGCUAAGAGGCCAAGUAUUUCCAUUCCAUUUUACCAACCGGUUUAGUUGCUGCAUAACAUGCAUGAUGAUGAAGUAUGAGUUUUCAAUUUGAGGUCCCGACUUUUGUUUUCUUUUUCUAUCAACUUUGGGACACCGCAAGGCCAAGCAUCAAGAUCAUAUAGAUGUAAUUGUACUGCACCAGCUAUAAAGCUACAGAGAACCCAUUGAACAGGGCUUGAACAGUAGUAGCCCCUCGACGAUGUCGUUGUUGGAGCGGUCAAAAUCUCCUUUGCCCAAAGACAAGGCCAUGGGAACGAAGCCAGAGUCGGCGGACGUUGAUCUGGACAUCAUGAGCUGGUGCUUGAUAUGGAUAAUCAGGUUGUUCUUACUGAGUAGGGAAGAUGAGGUCACUGCCAUUGUUGAGUCCAUUUUCAAGAACUGUCACUUUCUUUAUUCUCAAUGCUCAACAAAAGGAAUAUCACACGGAAAUGAUGAAAGCAAAAGAAGAUCCAACAGCAAACCCACCGACAGAAAGAAAAAAUAAAAAAUUAAAAAAUUAAAAAAAAAUUAAAAAAAAUAAAAAUAAAAAAGAGUCACUCACGUGGACCCUUGGUAUAUUUAUCUAUAUGUAUAAUACACUAUAUUUAUCUGCUUUUUUAUUACUAACCAUUAACAAAAUGGACCCUUGGUAAUACUAAACAUAUUAUCAGUGGGAGACCGUUACUAAUACUAACAUUUUUCUUAUUUUAUUCGGUGGUGGUUUUAACCUCACAUUUAUUUUAUUUACUGUAUGGUGUAGGUUUAUUACCCAUACAACCAGUAUUUAUUUAAAAGGGUGGUGCGGGUUUAUCAUCCACGCCUUUACUUUUAUUUAAAUGUAUGGAGCAGAAUUAGUGCCCAUACAAGCACAAUUUACUUUACCGCACAUUUAAUUUUAUUUAAGGUAUGGUGCGGGAUUAACGUCCAUACAGCAAACAAUUUAAUUUACCGCACAUUUACAUUUAUUUAAAAGGGUGGUGCGGGUUUAUCGUCCACGCCUUUACUUUUAUUUAAAUGUAUGGAGCAGAAUUAAUGCCCAUACAAGCACCUUAACUUUAUGAAUUUAAUUUACCGCACAUUUACAUUUAUUUAAAGUGUGGUGCGGGUUUAUCGUCCAUACCAGUAAUUUAUUUACCAGCAAGUUAUUUUAUGGAUUAAAUGUGCUGUAUGAUGAGUUUUUUUUUUUUUACAGUAUACAGAUCAGGACCAGAAGUUCCUUGAUCCUCAUCAUACAAUUACAUCAGGACUUGAAGAUCCUUGAUGAUGAUGUUAAUAUGAGAGCUGGCAGUCUCUCCGGUACUAUAUUUGUAAACAUGUGAUCGGACUUGAGGGUCCUUGAUCCCUGACAUGUAAAUAAGGACCUGGGGUUCCUUAAUGAUGUAACAAGUACCGUAUUGGUUCAUAAUACCGUACACAUAGAUGAUAACUGUACUGGCAAAUGUACUGGAACCUGCAGUUCCUUAAACUCAUGGAUGAGCAAUUAAAUGAGAUGCCAGAAGUUCCUCAAAAUAUGGACAAUUAUGUAAGGACUUGAAGUCCAGAAAUAUGUACAGAAAAUUGUAAAAAUGUCCAUACCAUGAGAAUACGUGAUUUUGGCCCGAAGUUCAAAAUCUAAGGGAAUUGAAUGUCCAUACCAUGAGAAUAUGUGAUUUUGGCCUGAAGUUCAAAAUCUAACAGCGUUGAGAACCUGAAGUUCCAACAAUUAAAUGGACAACCCUUGAUGUAUUAUUGCAAAUUGUGGUACGCCACAUAUCUCUUUGGCAUAAGAGAAUGAUGAAUUGAGGCUCCCCACAUAUUUUGUUAUAUCUGGGCCGGAAGCUCUUGAACCCAAAUAUAUGAGAUAUUAGCGUGGCUUUUACUCAAUUCAUAUUUCAUGUCCAUUUGAAAAGGGCAAAUAAAUUCUGAUUUUGUGUUUAGCCCAGGCCAAAAGUUCCGGGCUCCCAUACGUUGAAAUAUGAAAUUUGGGAGAGUCGAUGUGGUUAUUUGAACCUAUAAGGCACAAGGUUCCAAACCGUCAUUUUGAAAAGACGUAAAAACCACAUGUGCAAAUUUUAAGAAUGUGCGCAAUUAUUAUAACAGGAAAGGAGCAAAUUGAAACGCAGUUGCUCCAAUCAAGUUUUGUAAAGGCCAUAUCUAUAGGAGGAAAUAUGGCUACAGUUUCCAGGAUCCCAAUAUUAUCUCAAAUCCCCAUAUUAUCUUUUUCUUUCCCAGAGUCCAAAACUUCACGUGGCCUCUGAUAAUGCCUGUCGGCACUUUCGGCGUUUUCAAGUAUUAUUUUCAUCAAAAGCCGAUUUCACGGAGCUACUUUUUCAAAAGUACCCCGAGAAUCUCGCAAUUUUCCUAUGGUUAAUUUGAAAUUCACCGGUUCUACCUAUUCAUUGUAUUUGUGUAUAAAUGUGUUACUAACGAAAUUUUCUUUGCAGAAGACAUCCAGUUUUCUCCAUACCUAGUGAUGCGAUAUCUACUUGUUUUUCUUAUCAGUGAGCACUUAAUAUGCCCGAGAAGCAAGACUAUCUCUGAUCAUCCAUUCAGGAAGCGAGACUAUCCCUGAUCACGUUUCCGCUACAUCAGGAAACUGUGAAGGCGAUCUUAUGCUCUAAUCUCCGGAAGUCCUUCUAGACUAGGAGAUAUGAGAGCCUAUUGUCUGCUCCCACCAGCUUCCUUCCCUGAUUGCUUACCUUCUUUUUUUUUUGCAUUUUUUCUCUUUCUGUAAUUCUCUGAGAAUUAUUUGUUUUUGACAGAGAAAAGAGUUGUGAUUUUACUAUUGCAGGAUAUAACUAGAUCAUCAAGCGCUACAUUUACUGGGCCGAUACAAGCUUGAAUGAUACUUGAGAAAAGUUUCUCCCACCUAAGGAUGUAAGCAAUACUUGUGUUAUUUUUUGCUUAUAUACUUAUUUGAUAUUUUAUCUUGAAAGGUAACCAAAUGGGAAGAUAAGUCCGUUCCAAAAGAAUGGCUUGUAUGUAUCCAUGAAUUAUUAAUGCAAAUUUUACAGAUUGUAAGUUGGAUACAUUGAUAAUACACUGCACAGAUUAAAGUCCCAUAAGAACAGAAUAUGGGUAUAGCAGUGAUCAAUAUGAUGCACGCCUGUUGCGUAGCAAAUGAUGUGGAUUGAAGUCCCGAAAGGACAAUCCUUUGACAUGUCAAUAUUGAUAUUAUGCACGCCUAAUGCGUAGCAAAUUAUAUGGGUUAAAGUCCCAUAAUAUGGGUUAAAGUCCCAGAAAUUAAUUGACAUGUAUGUAUUAAUCUGUGGCAUGCCUGCAGCAUGACAGAUAUAUGUAUCCAUGAAUUAUUAAUGCAAAUUUUACAAAUUGUAAGUUGGAUACAUUGAUAAUACACUGCACAGAUUAAAGUCCCAUAAGAACAGAAUAUGGGUAUAGCAGUGAUCAAUAUGAUGCACGCCUGUUGCGUAGCAAAUGAUGUGGAUUGAAGUCCCGAAAGAACAAUCCUUUGACAUGUCAAUAUUGAUAUUAUGCACGCCUAAUGCGUAGCAAAUUAUAUGGGUUAAAGUCCCAGAAAUUAAUUGACAUGUAUGUAUUAAUCUGUGACAUGCCUGCAACAUGACAGAUAUAUGGGUUCUAAAUGUUCCAACUCUCUAAAUAGAGAUUAUCCACGCCCUACUGUAAAAUAACGCUCCAUUGGAGGUUAUAAUCCACAUUCUCACAUAAUAAAAGCCCCAUGAAGUGGCUUGGGUACCCAAAAGCAAAGAAAUGCUUAUAAUUGAUGCAUGCGCAUGCACAUGAGAAUGGUGAGAUCAUGAAUUGAUGAAUGACAAUUUUUAGUUUUGGAGUAGCUACUCAAAUCAUCAAUGGGCUGUGUUGAUUGGAACUACGUUCAAUUAUUAAAUGUCGACAAUAUCAUUGGCCAAAAUGGAACGAGGUAAUUCCAUUAUAAAUGAGAAUGAACGUGAAAGAACAAACCCACAAUACGAACCCCAAAAUUUGUUAAUACUGAAAGUUAUACUUGGGUGUUCGGAAUAAAAGGGAAUAUACUUACUUUGUAUGACACACUGUUUCUAGCAGAAACAAGGAAUGUUGGGUUUUCUCCAUAUUUACAGAUUCAAUUGUGCUCCCCUUAUUACACAAUUACGGAGACCAAUAUAUUAUCUUUAAGGGUUAUUAAAUGCACGGAGCAUAUCGCCAGAAGCGAUUCCCUAAAGAUGUAUAAAUAGCUGGGUUAAAGCUAUAUAAUGUGUCAUAAAGUUUAAUCCCUUUUAGACAAAAUCCGCUGAGAGGAUUGAUAUUGCAUAAAGCAAGUCCCUAAAGGACAUGUGCUUGAAGCACAAAAUUUGUACUCAAUAUUAAUAUGCAUAAAUUACCUCAGUGAGUACAUUGAUUAUAAUGUGAUUGCAACACAUUAAAGCUUCUGCAGAAUUCACGAAAUAUUUGUCUCGACUUAAGGAUCGAGCAUUAUACCAACGAGAUUCUUGCUUAUACUAAGAGAGUCUUAUCCGUUGGUCCUUAAAUGUUUUUCCGGAAGUAUACUAGACCAGAUAGAGCUCAGCUCCACACUGUACUCUUUUUCCUUCAUCCAGGUUUUUAUCCCAUUGGAUUUUUCCUGGUAAGGUUUUAACGAGGCAGUGUCGCUCAAGGGUUUAGGGUAUACUAUGAAAAUUUUUAUGGUCGCUUACUGGACAAAAGCUAGUCCUAAAUUUUUCAGGGGGAGAUAUUCACAAAGGAGAGCGUGGUUUUAAUAAAGACCUCCAUACACUGUACUCUUUUUCCUUCAUCCAAGUUUUUAUCCCAUUGGGUUUUUCAUGGUAAGGUUUUAACGAGGCAGUGUCACUCAAGAUUGACUCACAGAAGCAGUGUCAACUACGAUAUUCAGAAAGGUGAUCAACAGUAUGACUUAAAGAUAUUUUGCCGAGCAUCAGGGGGAGCGUACUAUCAAUAAAGAUCUUCAAACACUGUACUCUUUUUCCUUCGUCCAGGUUUUUAUCCCACUGGGUUUUUCCUGGCAAGGUUUUAACGAGGCAGUGUCGCACGCGCGUCAAUAUACACAGAAUUUUAUGUUACACAUGAUUAUGUACUCUUUUUUCCUUUGACCAGUUUUUGUCCCACUGAGUUUUUACUGGCAAGGUUUUUAACGAGACAUAUUCCAUAUCAUUUGUGGUCUCCAAGGGGGAGUGUUGUAAAUAUAUAAGGUGGAGCCCACAUCCAAUUGGGAGAGGCUUUGCCUAUAAAAGGGUUCACACCCUUCAUUGUAAACACACACUUGAAUGAGAAACAUUCUCUUCAGAUUUCUAUGCUUGAUCCAUCUCAAUCCCCUCUACAAUUUCCUUUUGAUUUAUAACAUAUAUAUAUGUAGCGGCGGACCUAGAAAUUUUUCAAAGAAGGGACAAUAUUUAAAAGUCUAAAAUGAUUUUUAAAAAGGCUAAAAACACUAUAUUAAUCACAUUAACCAAUUCACCAUGUUAAUUAUAUACAAAUAAACACAACAUUGAAAUAUUAAUCAUUUAAUCAAACCACAACAAUCUUUAUUAAUUAAUUACAAACUAAAAAUAUAUACAAAAAAAUAAAUUCAAAAAAAUCAAUACAAAAUAACCAAAACAAAAACUCUAAUCAAUUAACCAAAACCCAAUAAUCCAUCCUAAUUAAUUAAAGCAUAAAGAGAAAUAACUUUGAAAUUUGAGAGAGAAAUUAAUUUUCCAAACAAAUUGUGGAGGGUUGGUCCAUUGGUGGAUGGCUUAUCUCUUCUGGUUUUAGAGCUGCCAUGGCUUAUGCCCACUUCACAACCCUUCUUUUGCCUCUAAAACAAAUGGGUUUCCAUCAAAUGAAUAAAAGAAUACAGAGAUGGAGAGAGAUCCUUUCAGGGUGUCGUUGCUGAAUGAAUGUAAUGGAAUUUACUUAUACCAAUUUGAGAGAGGGAGAGAUAGUCAAUGAUAAUGAAAAAAGCACAAAGAGAAAAGCUAAUGGAUGAUGAAGGCAAAAGAGGAUUGAGAAAAAAGGGAUGUGGUUGGGGAGUUGGCCGGUGUGGGUAGUGGUGGCCCUUUCUUUUUAUUUCUUUUUAUUUUUUUUUAUUAUUUUGGUUUCACUUGGACCAAAACUAUGCGUUUUGGACAUAUCACUUUCAAAAAAAAAGAACCCAAACAGCCUUGCGCGCUGCAGCCUACGCAAAGAGCUGCUGCCUGGAGCUUCUUUGGAGCAAAUAAUCGAACAGUUGGUGGGCAAUAGAAGAGGGGCAUUUCCAGCUUCUCAAAGUGAUUUUCCGGCGAAAGGAGGUGCAAGUGCACCUCCUUGCAUCUCUGUAGAUCUGCCAGUGUAUAUAUAUAUAUAUAUGUGUGUAAGUAUAUAUAAACAAAUGAACCUGCAUGUGCGGCUAGGUACUCAAGCUGAAGCAUUCCUCAUCCUAUUAUAUAUAUAUAUUUGAAAUUUAAUAUAUAUUAUAUGGGUGACAAUAUAAGAAAAAUCGGAGGCUCAAGUUCAAGACACCAACCCAAGUUCAGGAUUUUUCGAGGAUUACAUGCACGUGACGGAGGCUUUGCAAGGGAAGAAAUCAAGGAGGUUGAUAAUAAUUUCAAAUGUUCCAAAGUAAUAAGAAAUAAUCAAGCAUGUCAAACUAUCUCCUUCAAUGCAAUCCCACGAAUUUAGGGGGGCCUCAGAAGGAAGGAAAUUUUAAAAGAGUUGACCUUUGGCCAUUCAAUGGCCAGCCCAUUGGCUGACGAAUGCCCUAUAUAAACCUUGCUCAACAAAGGCAGAAGACACAACAUCAGACAAACAAACUUAUCUUUUAUCUCGCACUUUUCUUUUCCUAGACUUAGAAUUUUACUUUUCAAGCACCUAGUGUAGUGAGUUCUUCCUUUUUUUAGUGUAAGUAUAUAUUUUUCUUGUCAUUUAAAUUCUUGUUUGAUUUAUAUUUCUUGUCAUUUAAAUUCAAGUUUAUUUCCAUUCCUUUAUAUUUCAUUGUUAUCGCACUUCAAUUAAGUUUAAUUUCAAGUUUGUUUAUUUUAUCGUUCUUAGCGUUCUUAUCGCUUUUAUUUCGUUCUUGCUUUAUUUAUCGCUUUGAUUUAUUUUAUCGCACUUCAAUUCUUGUCUUUACCUUUAUACACAUAUUUAGUUUAAUUGCAUUAUUUUUACAUAAAACUCUAAAAAUCACAAAAACAUUCGUAUGAAACCUAACCAUCCUCGAGCUAGAGGAAGUGAAAGAAUCUAGGCCAAGAGGAGGUUACUUGCUUGGCCGAUCAAUCGUUUGGUCAGAAGUUAGAAGCGCAACACAUCCAUCUAUUCUUAUUCCAUCCAAGCCCAAAUUCGGAGUUUGGUGGUGGCACACCCUGCACUCCAAAAAAGAAGGAUCAAAAGUUCAUUCCGUUAGCCAUCCCGGCCAAAAAAAGGGAACAGAGACACUUUUGAAUCUUUGAAGUGCCUUAAAAAGUAUUAUGAAUAGCACUAUUGAAUGUUUGGAAGAUUGUUUGGUGCUAAGAAUUUCGUGGGAGGUUGACCCAUGGAUAUGGUUGGUACAAAACACAUUAAUGAAAAAUAGGGAUAAGCACAAAUUGUGGGAGGUGAAGAUAUUAUCUUCCUUAAGAGAUUGAAAGGAAUCAAUAUCAUACUUUAUCUAGUUUCCUUUUUCUUUGCUUGAGAGCUGCAUAUGAUAGAUCUUUCAAAUAAACUUAUUUGAGGGGUAUUUUUGUAGAGCUCACUUUGUAUUGUAUUUGAACAAUUCAAACUAUCUAUUUAAUAGAUUAGAGUGCUACUAAACGAACCUUAAUAUUAAUUGAAUACACCAUACUACUAAACUAUUUAUUAAAUUACUAAUUUACCCUAAUAUAAACUAAAAAUAAUAUAUAUUGAAUUGUGAAACAAAUGUGAUUUUAAUAAGUGCACCUUACUAACGCAGAUCCUCUGGUUGUUUUUUUCUCAAUUUGUUUGACUUUUCUUUUAAGCAUCCCACAUCAUUUAAAAAAAAUAUCUAAAACAUGACACCCCAUAUUUUUGCCUACAAUCUUCUUCUCCAUCUUAGCAUUUGGACAACCGAACUCUUUUCUCUCUCAAAACCAAGCUCAGUAGAACCUCUUCUCCUUUCAAUCAGUCUUCUUCGCCAAACAUAUAAUUUUUUCAUUUUCCUCAUCUUUCAAUUCAGGAAAUUUCCUAUAAUAUUUGAAGCCCCUUGUGAAACUUGUUUUCUCCUAUUUACCCCCACAAAAGUAGCCACACGAAUCAUAUUGGGACUUAAUUAUAUCAGCAAGCAAGGCAAUCAAAGUUGUUUUUUGGUUUCAUAUAUUGGAUUCAAAAAACAAAAAAUUAUUUUUAAAAAAUCAGAAAGAGAAAAAUUAAAAAACAGACCGCAUGAAAUACUGUGUUUCUUGGGAAAAAAAAUUAAAAACCCCCGAAGCUGCAAAAUUGAGUGUUUUAAUAAGAAUGAUUCCCUUACUGAGUAUUACUUAUUAUUUGAUUUAGGAUCAAUAUCAAAGAAUUCUAUUGAACGUUUUUGUGCUAUUAGUUAUAUUUAGGAUAUAUAAAAAAGAACAAUAUUGUCCAGAUUGUACAGUAAAGACUUUGAGAAUCAAAGUAUGGGGAAAGGGAUCGUGGGGAGAUGAAUGUUGUUGGUCUUUUUUUGAAGAGGUAGUGUAUUAGGGUGUAUCAAGAGUAUUUUUGGUAGUUAAAUAGGGUGUACUUUGUUAAUUUUACAUUUUAAUUAGGGCAUACUCAGUAAAUUUUAGAGUUCAUUUAGCAACACUCAUAGAUUAUCUCUUUAAAAAAAUCACACAAAUUAACGGGUAUUUUUGUAGAGCUCAAUUUGUAUUGUAUUUCAACAAUUUGAAUCGUCUAUGUCAUUGAUUAUAUCGCUUUAAAAAACCACCCGAAUUGAAUAUUUUUAACCAUUUGAUUGAAUAGUAGUCAUUUAUUAAGUGUGUGUCUAUUUGUCUCAUCACAUUUAUAUAUGUUUGAAUGGUUUACAAUUUGUUCAAAUAAAUGAAAUGCAAAGUGGAUGAACCCUAGAAAGUGUCGUAUUUGAAAAAUAUAUAAAUAAAAUGAUAACCUUACACAUAUUUGUUUAUUUUAUAUAAAUAUCACCACAAACAUAGAAUAAACAGUUGCAAAACAACAGAAAACUUCUAAUACUCAAAAAACAUCCUUUAGCUUACAUGAUAGAAACAGAAACUGCCUUUUUCCACAACACUUCUAUUCAACUGAGCAUCUUAUAUCUUCUUCAGUUGCAUUAUUUGCAAAAUUUGUUCCUCUGUUUGCAAAUAUGAAGCAUUUUUCAAACAUCUAGCAUAUUGCUGAAACAUCUAUCACUAGAUCACAUCUUACAAAAGUUAUUCUUCUGUAUUUGUUGUCGCUACUUCUCUUCUAAUUAAUAGUCUAAUCAAUCUAAUAGGGUUUGCUGUUGCUAUUCCAAAAGAGUUCAAGCCAGACAACCUGCGUUAAAAUUUACUUUGACCAUUGACGCGUUGAGUUAGAAACUUUCCUUUUCCUUGGUUCAAAUUUAGGGAAGGAAGAUAAAAAGGAAAGCUCAACAAUUGCACCUAUAAGUUCCUCUUAACUUUUGACUAUUUUGGGAUUUUUUUAAAUUGUUAUAGCAACAAAAUAAUAAUAAUUUAUUUUGAUAAUUUUAAUUUUUUGAAGGGAAAAAUUCUUUUGAUAAUAAAACCUACGUGUCUUUUAUAUCACAUCACCAUCUUUUAAGUUAAACUUUAUGUGUCGUAUUGAUCACAUUUGCUAACUCAUCGAUAAAUAUAAUUCUCUCACUUUAUUAAGAAAUAUGACCCACGAAUGAUGAUGGGUAAUGUGAAACUAUAAUAUGCGCACACACACACACACACCAUUUCUAUAAGGAUGAGAAAUUGCCAAGUCAGUCUAGUGCAUCUGAUACCAGUGCUGAUCUUUUUGCUUUCUACUUCAACUCUAUAUUUCUUCUUUGUUAUUUUCUUACAUGAAUAAAAUUCUUUGAUAUUGCAAGGAAAGUUGUUUUCUUCUCCUUUUGUCUUCUAUUUUUUUUAAUAAUAAUAAAUUUCCUUGAAAAGUGAUUACAUAACAAACAAGAGAGAGUAUGCAAGAGAGGAGGGGCUAGCCUUAAAUAUAUUUUAUAUAACAUAAGAAGUGAUUUGUACAUAUAAUUACAAGCGGACACAUAGACAUUGAGGUGCAGAAAAUAAGCUAGCUUAGACUGUAGGCUAGCUAUCCAAACCACUUCUACAUCUGCUAUACAUACAUAUACUAUAUUACAGAGAGCUUCAUUAGUUAACUAAUUACUUAUACCAAACUAAGUUGGUAAUAAUUAGCGGCGAACCUUGGGGUACUCUCUUAUCUCUAUCCCCCCAAAUAGCAGGGCUGCGUCCUUGCUAUUAAGAGCAGCCUGAUCAUUCCUAAGAGGAGCUGGUUGUCUCCCGGAACGAGCUUGUUGGUCUUGAGAAAAUGGAGAGCUCUUGCCGGGCUGGCCACAGAACUUGUCUAGCAUGGCAAAAGCCUCCCUUCCAAGCCUUGCUAGCUCUUCCUGAGUUGCCAUAAUAAUAUUGCUAAAAUUUAGUACAAGCACACAAAACACAGAUGCACGAAGCAGGUCAGGUAAUUUGGUUUGCCUUUGUUUUCUUGGUAACAACGGUUUGCGGCCACGCCCCAUUAUGUAGGAGUUAAAAAGGCGACUAUGGAAGAUUUUUUGUUGCUAAGAAUUUCGUGCAGGUUGACAGACGGAUAUGGUUGGUACAAAAAACAUUAAUGAAAAAUAGGAAUAAGCACAAAUUGUGGGAGGUGAAGAUAUUAUCUUCCUGAAGAGAUUGGAAGGAAUCAAUAUCAUACUUUAUCUGGGUUUACUUUCUUUCCUUGAGAGCUG
RNAcentral lists this long non-coding RNA (97689 nucleotides) under Prunus persica (peach). RNAcentral describes it as "long non-coding RNA (PPER_LNC000371)". The record is from RNAcentral. Lineage: Eukaryota; Viridiplantae; Streptophyta; Magnoliopsida; Rosales; Rosaceae.